This 103333-nucleotide long non-coding RNA is filed under the name Zea mays. RNAcentral's name for it is "long non-coding RNA (ZMAY_LNC001661)". Lineage: Eukaryota; Viridiplantae; Streptophyta; Magnoliopsida; Poales; Poaceae. The record is from RNAcentral.
UCCUCAUUCCCUUAGGAAUGACUGAAAUCUCUUUGCCGUUUAUUCUUCGGCUGCACCGCUUAUUUUCGGUGUAAGUUCUGCAUCUCCUUAGGAACGUCUUUUGAACUUCUUCGCCUUCUAUUUCGGUGGUAUCAUCGUUGACUUUUUGGUGUAAGUUCUGCAUUCCCUUAGGAACGUCUUUUGAACUUCUUCGCCAUAUAUUUCGGUGGUAUUUGGCUCUGCAUUCCCUUAGGAACGACUUUUGAGCAGAAAACUUACGCUGCGCUCCCUUAGGAACGACUUUUUGUAGCUUCGUCGUGCUCUGCAUCCCCUUAGGGACGACUUUCGAGCUUCUCACUAUUUUUUUCUUUUCUGCACUCGAUGAUGCAUGCUCAGAUUUUACAUUUUACAUAUUUUUGGGGGAUUUUGUUGUCAUAGAGCUGGAUGAGAAAGGAAAAAUUACAAACUAUGGCCCCAUCAAAAACCUUUCUCCCCUUUGGAAAGGAAAAGGGUGCCAUAGGAAAAAUAAAAAGAUUACAUCAAGUUACACAUAAUAUCGUCGAAGCUCAUCUACAUUCCAAGAUCUAGGAAUAUCGUUGCCGUCCAUAUCCUUCAAUCUGUAAGAACCGGGUCUUGACGAAGAUACCACCAGAAAGGGUCCUUCCCACUUCAGCUGUAGCUUGCCUACUGUGUCUGGAUUGGCCACUCUCCGAAGUACCAAAUGCCCUGGCUUAAUGUUUUUCAGCCGUACUUUUUUGUCACGCCAUUUUAUUGUUUUGGCUUGAUAUUUAUUGAUAUUCUCCAUAGCCUGAAGUCUGGUCCCUUCUAUAGCAUCUUUUGCCACAGAAUAAUCAUCCUCGUCCUCUACCGAAGCUACUGUUCUAAUUGACCCUGCCUUAGCUUCUUCUAGGGUUAUAGCUUCGUCACCAAACAAUAACUUGAAUGGUGUAAAACCUGUUGACCUUGAUAUAGUUGUAUUGUGGCUCCACACCACUUUAAUCAAUUCUUCUGGCCACUUUCUUCUGGGUUGAUUGAAGAUUAAUUUCAUUAUUCCCGUCAUUAUAAUACCAUUUGCUCUUUCGACUAACCUGUUUGACUCUGGGUGCCUGACUGAUGCAAAAUGAAUCUUCGUGCCAAUCUGGUCACAUAAAUCUUUGAAAGUUUCGGCGUCAAACUGUGUUCCGUUGUCCAUAGUUAUAGCCUUCGGCACGCCGAAGCGACAAACGAUAUUUUGCCAGAAAAAUUUCUGGACUGUAACCGAAGUUAUUGUAGCCAAAGGCUUUGCUUCAAUCCACUUAGAAAAAUAUUCCACCCCACUAUGACAUAUUUCAAAUUAUCUUGUGCUGGCGGAAGUGGGCCUAACAAGUCCAGGCCCCAUCUUUGCAAUGGCCAGGUUGGCUGUAUUAACUGAGUUAAUGACGAAGGUUGUUUUUGGUCCCUUGCACAUUUUUGAUAAUUUUCGCACUUUUGGACCAGAUUUGCUGCAUCUGAAGCUGCCUUCGGCCAGUAAAAUCCCUGUCUAAAAACCUUUCCUAGCAAAGGCCUAGACCCAAUAUGAGAUCCACACAAUCCUGCAUGUAUCUCAUUCAUUAGUUCUAUACCUUCGGUUCUAGAUAAACACUUGAGAAGGGGGGAGCAAACUCCAUGUUUGUAUAAUUCCCCUUCUAUUAUGAUAUACGGCCUUGUUCUUGCUUCCAUUCUUUUAUUAUAAACUUCGUCAUCCGAGAGGCAGUUACCCUGGAGAAAAGAUAUGAUUUCAGUCCUCCAAUCUUCACUAUGUACUGGAGAAAUGGCGAGCACUGCUCUCUCCAUGAAUUCAACCGAAGGUGCUUUUAUUGUUUCAAAAAAUACUUCCGAAGGUAGAGGGAGCCCCUGAGCCGCUGAUUUAGCUAAUAGAUCUGCAUGCUCAUUUUCGUCUCUUGGAAUGUUCUUGACAGAGAAACCUUUGAAAGAAGCCUCCAACCUUCGAACUGUAUCCAGAUAUUUUUCAAGUUUCGGAUCUCUUGCCUUGCUACUUUUAUCUACAUGGCCAGAAAUGACUUAAGAAUCAGUUUUCAGAAUAGCCCUUCUUAUUCCCAUUGCCCUUAACUUCCGAAGCCCCAACAAGAGUGCUUCAUAUUCGGCAAUAUUAUUUGUACAACUAAAAUCUAGCUUGGCUGCAUAACAUGUUCUGACUUUCGAAUGUGCUACUAGAACAGCAGCUGCUCCUGCGCCGAAGGUUCCCCAAGAACCAUCGCGGAACACUGUCCAAGCUUCGGCAUCUUUAUUUAUCUCUUCUUCCUGAGCCCCUGGCGUCCAAUCAGCGAUGAAGUCUGCUAACGCCUGGGAUUGAAUUGAAGAUAUAUGCACAUAAUCAAUAGUGAAUUCAUUAAGCUCUGCAGCCCAUUUUCCAAUUAUUCAAGUAGCCUCUCUGUUCCUCAUGAUGUCCUUUAUAGGUUGUGACGAAGGAACAAUUAUGUGGUAUGCUUGAAAAUAAUGUCGAAGCUUUCUGGAGGCCAUUAACACAACAUAUAAUACCUUCUCCAAUUCUGCGUAAUUUCUUCUUUGAUGGACUUAGAACUUCAGAGACGAAGUAUAUUGGAGCUUGCUUUUUAGCCUGACUAUCUAGCUUCUCCUGUACCAGUGCCGCACUCACUGCAGAAUGCGAAGCUGCCACAUAUAGGAGCAAUGGAGCCCCUAGCGCGGGUGGAGUUAAUGUUGUUAAAUCAAUCAAAUAUUGUUUCAACUCUUCAAAAGCUUUUUUGUUGUGCUAGGCCCCAUUGAAAGACUUCGGCUGACUUCAGUAUUUCAAAAAAUGGCAGAUUUUUUUCCGUUGAUCUGGAUAUGAAUCUGUUUAAUGAUGCUAAUCUUCCUGCCAGCCGUUGAGCCCCUUUCUUCGUGCUUGGUGGCUCCAUUCGAAGGAUAGCUUUGAUCUUACUUGGGUUAGCUUCAACUCCUUUCGUUUAUACCAGACAGCCAAGGAACUUGCCUUUCUUUACUCCAAAAACACAUUUUUCUGGAUUUAAGUUUAGGCCAGCUUGCCUGAAAUUGGCAAAUGUUUCUUGCAAAUCAGCAAUGUGAUUUCCUUGCUUCGUGCUUUUCACUAUGAUGUCAUCAACAUAAGUUAGCACGUUUCUGCCUAUCUGGGAAUGAAGGACCUUGGCUGUCAUUCUGCUGAAGCUUCCUCCAGCAUUUUUGAGCCCCUCAGGCAUCCGAAGAUAGCAAUAGGUGCCAUUGGGAGUUAUGAAGCUAGUCUUCGGCUCAUCUUCCUUCUUCAUCCAGAUUUGAUGAUAGCCUGAAUAACAAUCCAAUAGACUCAUGAGCUCUGAAGAAGCUGCUGCAUCUACAAGAGAGUCUUUUAGGCAUGUCUUGUUAAGAUCUAUGAAAUCAAUGCAUAUUCUCCAUUUACCAUUGGCCUUCUUCACCAUAACAGUAUUGGCUAACCACUCUGGGUAUUUUACCUCUCUGAUAACACCGGCACUGAGAAGCCUUUUCACUUCAUUCCGAGCACCUUCGGCUUUAUCAUUAGACAUUUUCCGAAGCCUUUGCUUUCUUGGCCUGAAGGAUGGGUCCACAUUAAGUGAAUGUUCAAUGACAUCUCUGUUGACACCACAGAGAUCAUUGGCUGACCAAGCAAAGACAUCUUUGUUGUUGAAUAAAAAUCUUAUCAAAGUUUUCUCUUGCUCUUCGGAUAGCUGAGACCCCAGCAGUACUUUUUGCUCUACUAUGUCUUCACAUAGAAGCAUAGGCUUCGGCUGAUCCGCCGAAGCAGCCUUCUCUCUUUUGUUGUACUGUUCACAGGCUUCAACUCCAUCUAUGUUGUGAAUUGCUUUUGAGUCUGUCCAAUUUCCUUCGGCUUUUCUGGCAGCUUCCUGACUCCCAUGAACAACAAUGGGCCCUUGUUCCGAAGGUAUCUUCAUGCAUAGGUAUGCUGGAUGAAGUAUUGCUUCAAAGGCAUUCAGUGUCCCUCGACCAAUGAUUGCAUUAUAAGGGUACUCCAUGUCAAUAAUGUCAAAUACAACUUGUUCAGUCCUUGUAUUGUGGACGAAGCCAAAGGUCACUGGCAUCAUGAUUUUGUUGAGUGCUACAAUCUGCCUUCCUCCAAAGCCACAAAGAGGGUGUGUAGCAUCAUGAAUCUUGUCUUCUGACUCUUGCAUCUGUCUGAAGGCCUUAGCAAAUAUGAUGUCCGCUGCACUGCCUGUAUCAACCAGAACAUUAUGGACCAGAAAUCCCUUGAUGACACAAGAUAUGACCAUAGCAUCAUUGUGAGGGUAAUCUUUGAGCUGAAGGUCCUCCUGGGAGAAGGUGAUUGGGAUGUGGGACCAUUUUGACUUGAUGAAAGGUCCCUGCACCCCAACAUGCUGCACCCUUCUCUGUGCUUCCUUCUUUUGCUUCUUGUUAGCCGGCUCUGAACUUGAGCCUCCUGGUAUCGGGAGCACCAGCUUCGUAGCCGAAGGUGCUACGACUUGGUUGCUGAACGAAGCUAUCAGCUCAAGAGUGGAAGUGAGUUCAUCGGCAGUGGGCGCCAAUGUUGGGGACUUGUUCUCAAUUGCUACGAAUUAAGAACAAGGCAACACAAAAUAUUAAAGGUUAAGGCCCUUCGUUCUUCGAAGCAUUAUUUCCCUUAGGACAUAAUGAUAUUCAGACGAAGGUCAUGAAAGACAUACCUUCAUGAUUGCAUUAUAUGUUAAUGAAAGAAGAAACAUGUAAGAACUAGAAAACAACGUGAAUAAUUAUGUAACAUUAUUGAUUCAACUUUAUUAUAUUAUGGAUGAAUAAACACAAUAUGGAAUUACAUUCGUACCUUCGACUUGACAGAAGGAGAUUGUACAAGCGUAAUGCUCGAGCUAGUACAAAUUAGCGUGAACAGUAUAGGGGUACUGUUCAUCUAUUUAUAGGCACAAGACGCAACCUGUGUAAAAUUACAUUCAUGCCCUUCAUAACUGAUUACAAUCAUGACAUAGAUUAUCAUGGGCCAAUCGGUCUUUUCAUCUUUAAGUCGGUGUCAUCCUUCGUCUCAAGGCGUGUCACUACACCGAAGCUCUCCGGAUAGUAGCUUCGGCAUCACUUCUGUUUUAAUCUUCUGAAGGUGUUUCUUCUCACAGGACCUUCGGCGACGAAGCAUACCCCCAACACUAUCAAAAUGCAUCCCAUUCUCUACAAUUUCCCAAAUACUAGGAUGGAGAGAAAAUAGAUGACUACGCAUUUUAUGGCUCCAAAAUGAAUAGUCUUCUCCAUCAAAGUGUGGAGGUUUUCCAAGAGGAAUUGAUAGUAAAUGCGCAUUUGAAUUGUAUGGCAUGCGAGAAUAGUCAAAAGAGUAGUUCUGAUUGACCGUUUUCUUUUUCGACGAAGAGUCGUCGUCGUCGUCUCUUGGUGAAGAAGAGGAGGCAUCGCUUUCGUAGUAGAUGAUCUUCUUGAUGCGCCUCUUCUUCUUCCUGUCCCUCUUCUUGUGACUCAAGCCUGAGUUAGUGGGCUUGUCGUCUCUUGGCUCGUUGAAGAGGGAUUCCUUCUCCUUGUCAUUGACCACCAUCCCCUUACCCAUAGGAUCCAUCUCUUCGAGCGAUUAGUCCCUUAGAUGAAGAGUAUGACUCCGAUACCAAUUGAGAGCACCUAGAGGGGAGGGGUGAAUAGGUGAUCCUGUAAAAUCAAACACUAAAUAGCCACAAACUUGAUUAUCACUACACGACGGUUGAUCUUUAGCGACCCUUAUUAGGUACCAACUGUUGGUUGCUAAAGGUUAGAGACCUACGGUCAGUCGCUAAAUCCUUUUAUAGCAACGGUCGGUUGGUUGCUAAAAGUCUAGAAAUAUAACAACUUAUGGUUGGUCGCUAUAGAUGUCGUCGAGGACUAGCGGUGGGUCGCUAUAGAGCAAUGAUCACUAUCAAAUCUUAUAGCCUGAACGUACCUGUAUUAGUGACUACAAAUUAAUUAAAACAAGUAAACAUUGAUCGCUAAAUUGCGUGGUGAUUUAUUUCUUUUUAAUAUUGACCAAAAUUUUUUAUGAAUUUUUGAGUAAUUUAAAAAUGCAUUUCGAAAUAAAUAAAAAAAGAAAACCCUCUCUAACCCUAAGGCCCACUAGGGCCCAUCUACUCCAGUCUCCACUGCUCGGCCGCCGCCUGCCGCAGCCCGCCGUCCACUAGUCCCGCCUCCCAGCGUCCUCUCCACGCCUCCACUGCUCCCGGCGUCCGCUCCAUUGCUCCCGGCGUCCGGCGUUCUGCUCCUGCGUCGUCCUAUCUCCCUGGGAUUUUUACCAGCCACGCUCGCUUGCCGUCUUCAUCUUUCCCAGCCGAUUCCCUCUCCCUCACGGCGUCCUCUCCCAUGGCCGUCGGCCCUCCUCGCCAUGGUGGUCGCGCCUCUGCUCGUCCUCGCUGCUCCCUAGUGCUCGGCCAGGGAGUUUCCCUUCCUCUCGCGCCCAUCUCCCUCUCGCAUUUCCCUGCUCGCCAGCCAUCUCUCUGGCACUCGUCCAGGGAGUUUCCCUUCCUCUCGCGCCCAUCUCCCUCUCGCAUUUCCCUGCUCGCCAGCCAUCUCUCUGGCGCUCGUCCUGGCUGCAGCCUCCCCCAUGGCGGCUCUCUGGUCCUUUUCUGCAGCAGGUCGGCAUCCCAUCCCCUUCCCCUCUCUACUGAUGGCCGCAGCGCCCAGGAUCCUUCCCAGACGCGCUCGGUCCCCUUCCUGUAGCCGGCCGUCGUUUCCCCUCGCUGCUCUUGGAGCCGGUCGUCCCCGCCGUGAUGCCCUAUCCCAACAGCAAACAUGUCGUCACAUCUGCUCCCCAUGCUCAGCUCGCCCCUGCUCCCUAACGGCAUCACCUGCAGCAGCCGCGUUUUCUCGCUCCCUUUCCCAAUCUCGCACCAGCUCCUGUCCUCCAGCCGCCCCCAUGGCUCCCCUCACCUCUCCCGUCAGCACUAGCCCAACUGUGGUACAGCAACAGCAGGCUGGACCUCUGUAGUCCCGAUGAGAAGAAAGCUUUAGUGUGACGCUUGUCAAGUGUUUGAUAAAAUGGCUGAACCUGGAAUCGUUGUCGUGUCCACCAUGUCAGAGUCAUUUGGGUCCAUGGUAAGUUGUUUUACUAAUUUUGUUCACUACCUUAAUGAAUAGAUAUAUUGGUCCAUGAUUCUCUUGUCCAUUGCCUAGGUGUGCUGUGGUGAUAACUUCUAGGUCUUUGUCGUUGUUUGUGUCCUAUCCAUGGCAUCGUAAGGGACGACACUCCCUCUUCCCUUUUAUGUUCAUGUCAUUGUUAGUGUAUUAGAUAAUUGAUGAAAUGUCCUAGUUGGGUGCAAAAACAUUGCAAAUAUGAAUAAGGUAUUCUUGGCAUGAUUUUAGCCAUCUCUUAGUUGUUACUAUAUUGCAUGGAGGAGCUGUAGCUAUAGUUUAAAAUUAAAUUAAUCAAUGUCAUUAGAUAGAGAACCUGGUAGGUUGUGGGGUUGUAAUUUUAAUACUUGCUCAGUUGGUCCCAUCCUGGUAGCGAUAGAAACACUAGUGAGCUAUUUAUGAUCUCAAUACGUCUCAUUUGACUAUGUUUUCCUUUCUUUGUUGUAUAGUUCUUUUUCUCUGAGAAUUUCAUAUGUUCAUGAUCUGCAACUGAGCAAGUUUGUUUGUUCCUCUAUGUUUUAACGAUGCAAGAUAUAUUAAUAAUCUGCUAGCAGGAAGCCUGCAACAAUAAACAGUUCCUUGCUUUGAAUGAAACUUUCAUCAUACUUUGUUUGACUUGGUGUUUCCUGUGUAAAGCUUCUUCUACUGGCAUUUAUGAAAGAAUAUGAAAAUGGUUAUAACCUUUUAUUUCUGUUCCAAUGCUUUUGCUUCACUUUCUUGCCUUGUAUGCCUUUAAUUAACCUUUUUACAUGUUGAUUAUUUCCUCCAUAACAGUGUCUGUUUCAUUGCAGUCCCCUUUACUUUCAAAAAGUGCCUUUCUUGAACGGUCAAUUGAAGAAAAUUCUGACCAAGAAGAAUGCAUCAUCAAACUAAAUGACAUUCCUGGGGUGCCAAGUCAUUUGAGCUAGUUGCAAGGUUCUGCUAUGGUGUGAAAAUAGAGCUUUCACCUGCAAAUGCUGUCUACCUACGGUGUGCCUCAAAGCAUCUAGAAAUGACUGAAGAAGUAGCUGAGGAAAACAUGAUUGCACCACAAAUAGAGCUUUUGUGAAUGAUCUAGCUAGCUAUCCGUAAAUGAUCUAGUUGUGAAUGAUAUUAUAAUUGUGAUGCUUUUGUGAAUAUAUAAUUGUGGUGCUUUUGUGUUUAUGUGAUGGAUCUAUGACUGUGGUAUACUGAUUAACUGUGUAUGUCUUUAUGAUUUGUGUAUAAAAAUAUGUGAUUUAUGGUGCUUAAUUAAAUGUAUAUUAUUAUUAAUAACCACUGUAAAAAAGGCGACUUUCUGUUGGUUGCUAAAUGUAUAGUAUGACGACUUACAGUUGGUUGCUAAAUCUAUAGUACAGCAACCCACGGUUAGUCGCUAAAUAUACAAUAUUAGCAACGGACGGUCGGUCGCUAAAAAGAUGUCGGUCGCUAAAGCCUUUAGCAACGGCACUUACAGCGACCAUCCUUAUGGGUCGCUAAAAGUUUUUAGCGACCAACCGUAGGUCGCUGAAAGCCGUUUUAGCAACCAACCGUAGGUCACUGUAAGUGAACCGUCGUGUAGUGUAUAAAGAUGUUAGUGCGAGUUAAUCAAGUUUAUGGAGCGAGCUCUUGCGAACACAAGCAAUCAUAGAGAGGAGCAACACAUGAGACACACGAUUUUUAUCCCGUGGUUCGGCCAAGUAACACUUGCCUAUUUCCACGUUGUGGCAUCCCAAUGGACGAGGGUUGCACUCAACCCCUUUCAAGUGAUCCGAUGAUCAACUUGAAUACCAUGGUAUUUUCUCUUUUGAGUAUUCUUCCCGUUUGCGAGGAAUCUCCACAAGUUGGAGCCUCUCGCCCUCACAAUAUAGAUCACAAAGAAAGCACAAGAGUAAGGGAGGGAAAACAACGCACACAAGAUUCAAUCCGCAGCACACACACGCACACAAGCCAAGACUUGAGCUCAAAGCACAGCACAUGGAGUUCACAACUCGAACAGAGCUCAAAUCACUAACACAACGAAUCAAAUGCGUGGAGGCGGAGUCUGGAUGUCUUAGUAUGCUUAGAGAGUGCUUGGUAUCUUGCUCCAUGCGCCUAGGGGUCCCUUUUAUAGCCCCAAGGCAGCUAGGAGCCGUUGGAGAUCAACUUGGAAGGCAAUUCUUGCCUUCUGUCGAGUGGUGCACUGGACAGUCCGGUGCACCACCGGACAGCCACUGUAGCAGUCCGGUGCGCGAUCUCCUUCCAUAUCAGGCGCAGCCGACCGAUGGUCCUUGGGACUGGUUGGCGCACCGGACACUGUCCGGUGCACACCGGACAGUCCGGUGUGCCCGACCGACCGUUGGCACGGACCACGUGUCGCGCGUUGAUCGCGCGGAUGACCGUUGGCCACUGGCACCGUUGGCUCACCGGACAGUCCGGUGCACCACCGGACAGUCCGGUGAGUUAUAGCCACGUCGCCUUCCUCUUUUCCCGAGAGCGCCCAGUUGACGCCGAGUUAGCCUUGGGCACCGGACACUGUCCGAUGCCCCACUGGACAGUCUGGUGUGCCAGGCCCGAGCUGGUGUUGGCUGAACUUUGCCAACUUUUCUUCAAUUCAAAUCUUAUUUUCUUGGCACUGUUUCUAGCACUUAGAUAACCAUGUUAGUGUUCAGAAACAAUUCACUAGGUCUAGAUGUCGGUGUUUGGGACCCGACCGCGCACCCGGGGUUACCCCUCGAGGUGCUUUUGGGUAGGACGGUGUUGCUGACUGUAGCUCGAUGGUUCGUGCUAGGCGCACGAGAGACGAUAGACAAUUUUAUACAGGUUCGGGCCGCUUAGAGAGGCGUAACACCCUACUUCCUGAUGUGGAUCUUUAUGUGGUGGGUUAUAGGGGGAUUCUCUAGUAUGAAGGAUGCUAGAGAAUGGAGUAGAUGGCUGAUGAAUGACCUAUCUUUUGAUGGGGUGCCCCCUAGGCCUUAUAUACUCGACCGUGGGGUGUUACAUGUGGGUAUGAUAACAACGUGCACCUAAGUAAUAGUGAACCGACUGAACUUAUCUUCCUAUAAUCCUGCCGACUUAUCCUCAUUUAGUUCUGACGUCUGAGGGCGCUGCGCGGGAGAAUCGGAUCAAUGCUGUGGAUAAUACUUGAACCCAAUGAGCCGUCUGGGCUCGAGUCUAUCCAAUCUCGCAUCAAUCCAUUCUGCCAGCGGUUCCUCCCCUGGCCCAUGAAGGGAUGGCCUUGCGAAGUAAUGGGCCCAAAGCCUUUCGCGAGGCCUUCUAGCCUUCUAGUGGACCCGGGGGAUAUCUGUCCCCCACAAGCCCCCAAUCUUUGAGUUGAUUUUGAAAUAAUCCGCCCAAAGAUUCUAGGUCCACCUUGCGGUUUUGAUUUUAGGUAGUGGAUGCUCUGAAAGUACACCUGUCGAAUCGUUGCUUCUGAACUCUAAUCAAUCCGGUAAAAACAACCUUAUGUUAUCCUUCUUCAGCUCUUUCAACGGUCUUCGCCUCAUACUUCAGAAAUCGGUGCUCUGUCACUGGCUUAUGCUUUAGAGACCAGCGUUCUGUCCUUAGGGGUUGAGGAUUCAUUGGGUGCACCGGAGGUGCACCCAAUGGGUGUAGCCCCCGAGCUUUGAGAGGAUUACUGAAAAUAAUCCACUCAAAGGUCUUCAUCUCAUGCUUUUUAGAAAUCAUUGGUUUAUCUUCGUCUCAUGUUUUAGAAAUCAGCAUUUUGUCGUCGGUCCAUGCUUUAGAGAUCAGCAUUUUGUCCUUAGGGGUUGAGGAUUCAUUGGGAGCACCAGAGGUGCACCCAAUGGGUGUAGCCCUCGAGCUUUGAGUGGAUUACUGAAAAUAAUCCACUCAAAGGUCUUCAUCUCAUGCUUUUAGAAGUCAUUAUCUUAUCUUCGUCUCAUGCCUUAGAACUCAACAUUAUAUCAUUAGCUUAUGCUUUAGAGAUCAGCAUGUUGUCUUUAAUUCCUGCUUUAGAAACCAGCAGCAUGAUCUGCCCAUGUCCUGUUAGGUUUGAAAUUUAUUUGAUUGUCGAUAGAUUGGACGUCUGGUAGAUGGCUCUUGGCUGGUCUUCAUUUCGCUUUGUGCUUCAAUGCUUCUGUUGAUUAGACUUGUACUUCAGUAGCUAUAUUUGGAUUUUCUCUGAACUCCAUCGAUAUCUUUCUUCUGUCUUGAUACAUUCAUUGCGUAUACUGUAUGGAUGUGACUGCUUCGGAAAAUCUAUUGAAAAUUCUUGGACGUUCCCUCCCCAAUGGGUAUAACCGAGGGACGGCUUGGUACGUCGAGCGUUUAGCAAACUGUCCUUGAGUAGUAACUGGACGUGACCGCGGGGUGUAAUCAUAUCAUCCAAGCAGUUGACCUUAGUCCAAAUGGUGUCGUGUUAACGGUGUCUGCUGCCUGACUUACUUCCAAACGAUUUGAAUUGCUUAUUGAAUACUUGUGAUUGUUCGGUGACCGUGGUAGGAGAUGAGCGGUUGCUUCCGGCCUCUAUAAAUAGACUGCCUGACUCACUGGUGUCUUCACACAUCUUCUAGUCGUUUGUUGCUUAUUUUCCCACUUUUCUCUUCUCUUCCAACCAACCAUGGGCAAGAACAAGAAGGGUGGAAGUUCGUCGCACCACUCCAGCGACAAGUGGAAGCGUGAGCCAAGUUCCCCCUCAGAGGACUUUGGUGACUCCGAGUACUCGGAGGAGGAGUUUUCCUCCGAGUCUGAGGGGGCGCCGGUCUACGCCUCUCCUCCGGUGUCGUUCGAUGACUCGAACAAUUUCUAGAAGAUCGCCGCCGAGGUGUGGACAUACAUCCGGAUCGUCGAGCGCUCCGGGCUCGAGGGCUCGGAUGAGUCGGAGGUCUACUCGGACGAGGAGAACUCCUCCGACUCGUCUGAGGAAGAGAGCGGUGGUGACGGCGACGACGACGACGAGGGCGACGGCGGCGAUGGUGGUGACGGCGGCGAUGACGGCAACGACGACGGCAAGGGCGACGGAGGCAACAGCGGCAAGGGCGACAGCAACGGCGGCAAGGGCGACGGCGACGACAAGGGCAGCGGCGGCAGCAACAAGGCCAUAGCAAAGCGCCGUUGGUUUAAAUAUUAGUAUAGAUAAUUAGUAGUAGCAGUAGUAGUAGUAGCAGAAUAAUGUAGUAGUAGGUAGUAGUAUUGUGUAGUGUGAGUAAUGUUGUAAUGUAGUAAUGUAAUGUAGUGAAAAAGGGAGAAAAGGCCGACUCAUAAUGAGUUGGUUUUUAAGUUUGUGAAAAACUUCCCUCCUUUAUGUAUCCAAGAAAAUUUCAGCUUGUUCCGGGCAACCUUUCGCUUUUCCGCCAUUCUUCCUUUAUAGUCGAUUGAUAGUUUGCCCUCGCGCCUAACGCUACUAAUGUUAUUAGAAAUAAUUACCAAGUGAUAACUGGUAACUGCUGAGUCGUGUUUGGUGAGCCUCGGCAUUUUUUAGAGAAAACGACCGAGUUAUGACAGACACUGUUAGCGUUUUAGAGGUAACAACCAAGUUAUGCUUGACCCCAUCGGUGUUUUGGAGAUAACAGCCGAGUUAUGGCAGACACUAUCGACGUUUUAGAGGUAACAGUCGAGCGGUGUUUGACCCCGUCGGCGUUUUAGAGAUAACAGCCGAGCUAUGGCAGACAUUGUCGAUGUUUUAGAGGUAACGACCGAGUGGUGUUUGAUGUUGUUGACGUUUUAGAGGUAACGACCGAGCUAUGUCGGAAAUCUCGUUUUCCCGAGUGAUGACUUGGCACUAUUUAGAAACGGUGCCCAACCCGGGAAACCCCCAUUUAUACUCAUGUCAUCGUGCGCUUUUGAGUUCUGAGCACUAACUUCACAUUUCCGCCUCGAACUACUCCUCUGUUUCCCUCUGAUUUCGCCCUUGUUCGACCCACCGGCGAGAUUGCGAUGGCGCCCAAGUGGAAGAACCAGAGUUCUGUUAUGGUAGUCAUGCCUCCCAUCGACCCCAACAGCCAGUUGCCGUUCGUAGGUAACCACAUGUCUGUUGUCUCGGAAUCAGAUCUCCUCCACCUUGUUGAUGUCGGAGUUCUUCCUCCAAAAGAGUUCUGUUCUUGGCGGAUUUGCCGUGGGGUCACUGUUCCGACAGAAGAUACCCACGAGUCUGUCGUCUACGUUCCUUUUUUCAUCCGCGGUCUUGCUCUUCCCAUUUCUCCCUUCUUCCGCGGUCUCCUUGAUUUUUACAAUCUAAACCUGACCCACCUGAAUCCCAAUUCCAUCUUGCAAAUUUCUAUCUUUGUACAUUUGUGUGAGGCCUACCUCGGAAUUCUUCCUCAUUUCGGAUUAUGGAAGUAUUUGCAUCACUGUCGGCCUGGGAUGGCUGGAGGGCAGCACCAGCUCGUUGGUGGUGCAAGUCUGGAGAUGCGCCGUGGGAGGAAGAUAGAAUACCUUGACAUUCCUCUCAAGGACAGCAUUAAAGGGUGGCGCCUUGAGUGGUUUAUUGUGGAAAACCACUGCAAGUCCCUCCCCCCUCGGUCGGGGAGACAUCCAGAUGUAUGUACUCCGAGUUGGGUUGAGUCCCCCACUGCUUUGGAGGUGACGGAGGCUAGGGUUCUGCUUGCUGAGAUCUAUCUACUGAAGCAGAGAGGUCUGACUGCCGAAGCUGUGGUUGCUGACUUCGUUUUCAAGAAUAUUUAGCCUUUGAAAGACAGGACAUAUCCAGCUUACUUGUACAGUGGUAUUACUGACUCAACUCGGGUCACCAACAAGAAAAUUCCUACUGAGGAUCUGGUGAUCCGACUGGACAUGAUACUGAGGGGCAAGGUAUCAAAUGUUCGUGCUCCUAUUGCCUAUUCUGCUUGGAAUCUGUCACCUCAUAGGUCAUUUUUCAAUUUCUUGUCCAACCCUCCUGCUAGUGAUAGUGGUAUGGGUCUUAGAGUGCGACCCUCUCCUGAAGACAUUGAGGCUCUGGUUGCUCCCCUUCGUGAUCUUCCCAAUGAUGAGAGACAAGUUCACUUUGAGAUGUCGGCAAGUCCGGAUGAUGCAGAAAUAGAUGUUGUACUCAAUAUGUUGGCUGGAGAAUCUUCUGACUCGGCCCAUGCUGAACCGAUGGUUGUUAUAGUUGGACAAGAGCUUGACAAAACAGUGGACACCCGAAAGCCUGAGGGUACUCGCCCAAAGCGUCCUCACUAAAUCAGCCGUCCGACUACGCCUGUUGAGGAAAAGAAGAAGAAGAAGAGGCGGCUUCGACGACUAUCAUGUUUGGACCAGGAUGCAGGCCCUUCUGCUCCUGUUUUUGAUGAAGUACCGGCAGAAGUCCUUCCUGAGGUUGAUCCCAAUGAUGGUGUACAUGUUGAAGCUGAUCCCAAUGGGUGUGACCGUGCACCAGCUGAUCCCAAUGGGUGUGACCUUGUUGAAGCUGAUCCCAAUGGGUGUAACCGUGUUGAAAUUGAUCCCAAUGGGUGUGACCGUGCACCGGCCAUUGUCCGUAUUUUUGAUGAGGACGAAGAAGAAGAAGAAGUUCUGCUGAUUCGUAAGAAUAGCCUGCGUUAUAGAGGUAGUAGGGGGGAUAGUGAUAUUCCUUCUCUAGCUCUGUCUGCUCUUGUCAGCCUUCAAGAGUUGUCCAUAACGGAUUUUGAUCAGGCCCUUGAGGAUGUCGUUCCUGAGGAUAUGCUGUCGGAGCCGACUGCUGACGACAUGAUGGAUGUUUGCUCUAAAAUUCCAGACAUGGGAUUAGAGGUAUCCCGAGUAGUGUCUCGUGCAUCAUCGACUUUAGAAGGCAGUCUCCAAUGUCAAGAAGUUGGUCUGGAUUGCCCGACUCCCAUGGAGGUGACUGAGGAUCCUUCAGCCUUAGAGGUGGCUGUUGCAGAAAACUCAGCCCCCGAGGGUGGUGCUGGCAGUUACCUAGCCCCCGAGGGUGUCGCCGGUAGUGUUCUAGCUCUGGUGGGUAGCGCGAGCUAUGACCCAGCCCCCGAGGGUGUUGCCGGUAGUGAUCCGGCUCUGGUGGGUGGCACGAGCUACAACCCAGCCCCCGAGGGUGUCCAAGUAAGUUCUCCUUCCCACACCUCCAUGGAUGUCCAUGUUGGGUCGUCUCCAUCACGAUCUGAUGGGGUGAUGGCGAUGCACGCUUCUUUGAUUUCGAGCAAGCGAGUUGCUUUGGAGGUCGGUGAGCCAGAUGCAAGAAUUCUGAUAUCCGCUGGCGAGGCUGAGUCAACCCCUGACAAUGUUCUUCAAAUUGUUCCGGUUGAUCUUCCUUCAUCGAGCUACGAUGCAGCUUCUCCUAACUUGGGAUUACCCUCAUUCUUCUCCAAUCUUCAGGUAACUUAGCUCUCUCGUUCUGUCGUUUCUCCUGGUAAAUUAUCUUCCCUAUACUCAUUUGCCUUUGAUAACAGGCUUUGGUUGACGGAAUGUUCGCUCAGUUGAGAUCACAUGGUGCCACUAUCCCAGAAGGGGCUCUAUUUCUGACGCAGUGGAACCCAUUGCUGCUUCAGAAACAGAUAGCUGACUUGAAGGCGUCAAACACUGGUUAGUAACUUUGUUUCUUCCUCGGCUGAUUGAUCAACUUGUUUUUAACCGUGUAUCCUUCUUCAACUAUUUUGUCAGAUAUGGCUCGGCGGUGCUCUGAGAUUGAGGAAAAACAUCUUCAACAUCAAGCCGACUCAACCCGAAGGUACUCUGAUCUUGAAGAGAACUAUUCUCAAGGUCAGACUGACCUGGCUCGGGUUUCUGCUUCUCUAGAUGAUGCGCAUUCUUUGAUUUUUUUCUCUCAAUGCUCAGCUUAACUCCGAAAGGGCAGCUCAUGAGGUAAGCUUCCUUAAUUGGCUCUACCGUGCUUACUGUUUAAUGGAUGCUUGAAAGUUGAUUCUUGUUUGUAGGAGGAGAAACGAGCACUUGCAGCUUCUCAUGACAAUCUGGAUAGGUUGUAUCGUGAUGCCAGCAAUUCCUUAACUAUCUUGGAGAGGAGCCAUCGCUUUACUAUGUCAGAUCUGGAUCAUCAUCGUCGCGAGCUGCAAGUGUCCCAAGAUGAGGUCCUGUGGCUUAGACAGUUAGUGUCAAGUAAGGAUUCCAUCAUCAAAGAUCAGCGUGCCUCCAAGAAGUUAGUCGCCCAGGAGCUAGAGGCCGCUCGACUGGCUACCAAAGUUUUAGAAGACAAUUGCGCCAUUCUGAAGGCUCAACGUGAUAAGGCUAUGGACAAAGCCAUUCGCGUGGGGCGGAUCUUGAUGAGAAAGCCCGGUGUAGUUGUUCCUGAUGACAUUGUUGCCGACGUCAAGGCUGCGCCUGAUGCCUCGAGUCGCCCUUCUUCCUUGAUUGCCCCUGCGAAAGACAUUGCCAAGUAGAGACGUUUCGCCGUAAUGACGUUUUAGAAGAUACUGAAUGUAUUUGUGAAUUCUAUGUGUGUGUGAUCAUUGUGUUCGGAUAUCCAAUGGCUUUUUCCUGACUUAUGCCAAUCGCUUGGCUGGUAAGGCAUAGUGGUCGCCCUAAAAUGAGUAGAUGUGAGCAUGUCGCACCGGCUUGAGUCAUUGCCGACUUAAGCCGAUAGCUCCGUUCGUAGGGUAUAGUGGUCACCCUAAGUCGAGUAAGCGUGAGCAUGUCGCACCAUCUUAAGUCGUCGCCGACUUAAGCCGAUUGCUCCGUCAGUAGGGUAUAGUGGUCACCCUAAGUUGAGUAAGCGCGAGCAUGUCACACUGUCUUAAGUCGUUGCCGACUUAAGCCGAUUGCUUCGUUGGUAGGGUAUAGUGGUCACCCUAAGUCGAGUAAGCGCGAGCAUGUCACACCGUCUUAAGUCGUUGCCGACUUAAGCCGAUUGCUCUAUUGGUAGGGUAUAGUGGUCACCCUAAGUCGAGUAAGCGCGAGCAUGUCGCACCGGCUUGAAUCGUCGCCGACUUAAGCCGAUUGCUCCGUUAGUAGGGUAUAGUGGUCACCCUAAGUCAAGUAAGUGUGUUGAUUCCAAGUCUAAUCAAAUCGAAGUCGAUUGAUAAUCAACAGUUUGAAUGCCUUUGAGAAUGAAAUCUUUUAUUGAUGACAUAUUUUCCAAUUACCGAGAACAACGUUCCUCCGAUAGCUUUUGAAGUCUUGCUAAGGGUAAAACUUCCUGAGAUGCUCUAUAUUCCAUGAAUUCCCCACUUCCGUGCCAUCCAUUUGAGUAAGCCGAUAUGAUCCUAGCCAAGUGACCUCCGAUACCAUGAAUGGCCCUUCCCAUAGUGGUGACAAUUUGUGUCGUCCUUCUCCCGUUAGAAUUCAGCGAAGGACCAAGUCUCCCACUACAAAGGAUCGAUAUCGUAUAGCCUUAUCAUGAUAGCGCCUCAAGGUCUGCUGGUAUCUAGCUGACUGAAUUACUUUAUUCAAUCGCUCUUCCUCCAGCACAUCAAUAUCUUCUUGUCUGGUAGCUUCUGCUUCAGCUAUGCUUUCGAAGACCAGCCUUGGUGCCCCUAACCUGAGGUCGGCAGGUAGCACUGCCUCCGAACCAUAGACCAUGAAGAAGGGGGUGUUUCCAUGCAGAGCUCGACUGGGUUGAGUUCUUAGGCUCCAAACCACAUAAGUCAACUCUCUGAUCCACUUUCCUGUGAACUUUUCAUUCUUGUCGAAGACUUUCUUCCUGAGUGCUUCCAGUAUCAUUCCAUUAGCCCUUUCCACCUGACCAUUAGCUCUUGGGUGUGCUACUGAUGCAUAUUUGAUCUGGAUGCUCCGUUGCUCGUAGAAAUCAAAGAAUUCAGAGCUAGUGAAGUUGGAUCCCAGGUCGGUUAUGAUGCUAUUCGGUAUCUCAAACCUAAAUAUUAUGUCUUGUAUGAAUUCCACUGCCUUAGCUAAAGUUAGAGAAGCAAUGGGUUUGUACUCUAUCCAUUUGGUGAAUUUAUCGAUGGCGACCAGCACGUGAGUAUAACCUCCCUGAGCUUUCUUGAAGGGUCCAAUCAUGUCUAAUCCCCAGCACGCAAAUGGCCAUGUUAUAGGUAUGGUCUGCAGCUGCUGUGCUGGUAAAUGUUGUUGCUUUGACAAGAAUUGGCAAGCUUCACAUCUCUGGACUAACUCGGCUGCAUCACUCUUUGUUGUUGGCCAAUAGAAUCCAGACCUAAAGACUUUCCCAACCAGAGUUCUGGAUGCUGCGUGUAUUCCACACUGUCCGACAUGAAUCUCAUCUAAUACCUGUCUCCCAGUAACCGAGGAAAUGCACUUCAUGAGGACUCCUGUUGCACCCCUUCUAUACAGUGCGCCGCCUAUGAGGGUGUAGUGGGCCGACUGUCUUGCGAUGCGUUCUGCUAUAGCCUUAUCAUCUGGUUCUUCCUCAUUCUUUAUAUAUCUGAUGAUAGGCUCUCUCCAACCAUCAGAGUCUGACUUUGGCUGACUCAAAGUGUUGCACUCUUCUGCCUGAUCUGAGGGAAUGCUUGGGCGUGACACUUCCUAGACGAAAACUCCGGGUGGGGCCUGGGCUCGACUGGAUCCUAGCUUCGACAAUGCGUCUGCUGCUGCGUUGCGAUCUCUUUCCACGUGAUGGAACUCCAGCCCUUCAAAUUUGUCUUCUAAUUUUCGGACAGCUGUGUAGUACUUGCCCAUAGAAUCAGUCGAGCAAUCCCAAUCUUUAUUUAUCUGACUUAUGACCACCAGUGAAUCUCCGUAUACCAUCAACCUCUUAAUGCCCAGUGAUAUGGCAAUGUUCAACCAAUGGAUCAGAGCCUCAUAUUCCGCUGCAUUAUUUGAUGCUGGGAAUGAUAACUGAAGAGCAUCCUUGAGUUGUUCACCUCUAGGGGCAAUGAAGAGGAUUCCUGCGCCUGCUCCCUGCAGUUUCAGCGAGCCAUCAAAAUACAUUCGUCAUACUUCUGUAGCCUCCGGGUUGUCAGGUACUUGUUGCUCGGUCCAUUCUGAUACAUAGUCGACCAGUGCUUGAGUCUUUAUUGCUGUGCGAGGCCGAAACUCGAUGUCGUGAGCUCCUAGCUCGCAGGCCCACUUGGCUAUUCUUCCGAUGGCUUCUUUGUUGUGAAGAAUAUCUCCUAUUGAAAAUCCGGUGACUACUAUGAUUUUGUGGUCAUUAAAGUAGUGACGGAGUUUGCAAGCAGUUAGAAGUACUGCGUACAAUAGUUUUUGAACUUGGGGAUAUUUCUUUUUAGAGGGUCCUAGGACCUCGCUGAUGAAGUAGAUCGAAUGUUGUACUGGAUAUGCGUGCCUUUCCUCUGCUCGUUUGACUACUAACGUGGUGCUUACCACGUGAGUCGUGCAGGAGAUGUAUAACAGCAGAUCUUUUGCUAGCUGAUCUGGCAUGGCUCGGCGUGGCGGCUUUAACACUGGUGGCGUGGUCAAGAACUUCUUCAGUGCAUCGAGAGCUUCCUGUGCUUCUGUGGUCCACUAGAACUUGUCCACCUUCUUGAGAAAUUUGUAGAAUGGUAAGCCUUUUUCUCCUGACCUUGAUAUGAACCUGCUCAAGGCUGCCAUGCAUCCAGUAAGCCUUUGCGCUUUCUUCUGUGAUCGUAGUGCUUCCAUUCUCAUGAUAGCCUCGAUUUUUUCCGGGUUAGCUUUAAUUCCUCGGUGGCUGACAAUGAAUCCGAGCAACUUCCCUGCUGGUACUCCAAAAACACAUUUUUCUGGAUUGAGCUUCCACUGGUAUCGCCUCAGGCUGUUGAAGACCAGCUGCAAAUCUUCAAUGAAGUUUUCUGAGUUUUCUGUUUUAAUCACCACAUCAUCAACAUAAGCUUCUACCCGCUUGCCCCAGUGAUCAGCUAAGCAUGUUUGAAUAGCUCUCUGGUAAGUCGCUCCAGCGUUCUUGAGGCCAAACAGCUUGGAGGUAUAGCAAAAAGCUCCAAACGGGGUAAUGAAUGCAGUUUUUUCCUCAUCUUCUUUUGCCAAGUUGAUCUGAUGGUAUCCAGAGUAGCAGUCCAGGAAGGACAACAACAUCCGGCGGUCGAAUCUACCACUUGAUCUAUUCUAGAAAGUCCGAAGGGAUCCUUCGGACAGUGUUUGUUGAGAUCUGUAUAGUCGACGCACAUGCGUCAAUCCACUUUAUUCUUUUUGAGUACAAGAAUAGGAUUUGCUAGCCCCUCAGGAUGUAGUACUUCUCUAAUGAACCCUGCUGCGACUAAGCGAGCUAGCUCGGCGCGAAUAGCCUCUCUCUUGUCAGGCGUGAAAUGACGCAAUUUUUGUUGAAUCGACUUUGCCUAGGGAUAGACCUUCAGUUUGUGCUCGGCCAGUUCUCUCGGGACUCUCGACAUAUCCGCAGGCUGCCAAGCGAAUACGUCUCGGUUAUCUUGCAGAAACUGGACGAGUGUGCCUUCCUAUUUGUCGUUCAGGCUAGAGCUGAUGAUGGUAGUUUUGCGUUCAUCAUCGAACCCAAGGUUGAUUCUCUUUGUCUCUUCAGUCGGUCGCAUAGAGGUCAUGGCUUGAGCUUCAUUCUCAGGUAUCAUGAGGUCCUCCUCAGGCUUUGACUUCGCCUGCACGGAGGAAGUCGUCGGUGGUUUGGUGGUGAGGGCCGCCUGAAUGGCCACUCAAAAACAUUCUGUGGCGCCUUGGAAGUCAGCGCGCGGUGAUGAUUCCUUGUGGUCCCGACAUCUUCAAUAUCAUGUACAAAUAGUGCGGAAUGGCCAUGAAUUUUGCCAACCCUGGCCUGCCGAUGAUGGUGUUUUAUCCGCAGUCGAAGCUUGCUACCUCAAACCUCAGGAACUCAGUUCUAUAGUUUUCUGGAGAUCCAAAGGUGACAGGCAUGUAGAUGUGUCCAAGCGGGUAUUCUCCUUCGGUCGGCACAAUGCCGAAGAAAGUAGUGUCUAACUCGUGGAGCUCUUUGAGUGUAACUCCCAAGCUUAAGAGUGUCCGGGGGAAGGUGACGUUGAUGCUGCUUCCCCCGUCCACCAACACCUUCUUUACCCUGCUCUCUCGGAUCACCGAAUUGACGAGGAGUGGGUACUGUCGGUGUUUUGGGUCCGACCGCACACCCGGGGUUGCCCCUCAAGGUGUUUUUAGGAGUAGGACGGUGUCGACAACUGUAGCAAAAUGGUUCGUGCCGAUUGCACGAGGGACAGUGGACAAGGUUUACAGGUUCGGGCCGCUUAGAGACGCGUAACACCCUACGUCCUGGUGAGUAUGCUUGGUGGACAAGGUUACAAGAGAGCUCUCUGAAUUGAGAAUGCGGAGAGUUGAUGUGGAUGGCUAAGUAAUAUGGUCGAUCGUUCUGAAGGGGUGCCCCCUAGGCCUUAUAUACUCGACCGUGGGGCAAUACAUGUGGAUAAGAUAACAGCGAGUAGCUAAAAGAUAGUGAAUGGCUUGAGUUUAUCUCCAUGUAGUUCUGCCGACUUAUCCUCGCAUGGCUCCGUUGCAUGGGGGCUCCGGCGCGGGAAAGUCGGAUCUCUGUUGCGGUCACUCGCUCGACGUUGUGGGUCGUCCGGGUUUGCACUAAUCCGGCCUCAUGUCGAUCUGCUUUGCUGGUUAUCUCUCCCCAGGCCCACGAAAGAAUGACCUUACGAUUUAUUGGGCCUUUGGGCCUUUCGUGAGGUCUUUUACUCUUUUAGUGGACCCGGGGGAUAUCUAUCCCCCACAAGCCCCCGAUCUUUGGGUUAAUUUAGAGGUAAUCAGCCCAAAGAUCCCAGGUCCAGCUUGCAGGUGUUUUGAAAAAAUGACUUCUUGUUGUCUUCUCCUGCUUUGAUCACUCGUAGACCGAAGCCUGGUUUCGUGCUUGUGCCUUAGAGGUCGGCGUUUCAAUUUGUAGGAUUCUGAACUUCAUUGGGUGCACCGGAGGUGCACCCAAUGGGUGUAGCCCCCGAGCUUCGAGUAGAUUUUAGAAAAUAAUCUACUCGAAGGUCUUCCAGAAAUUAUUUCCAUUCGUGCUCAUGCGUUUUGGUUGAGGGCUGGCCUUUUAAUCUUGUCCCACGCCUUAGAAUUCGGCACUAUCUUGGCUUGGAAUGAUAAUCCAUGGGGUGCACCGGAGGUGCACCCAAUGGGUGUAGCCCCCGACCUUCAAAUGGAUUUUUUUAGGAUAAUCCAUUUGAAGGUCUUCCUUUUGUGUCUCUUUGCUGAAAAUUAUCCUUUCUGUUUGUAGAAGUUGGCAUGAAGCUAUUCACAUUAUGCUUUGGAGGUCAGCAUUAUGUCACCAAUAUUUUGCUUCAGAGGUCAGCAUAUAUUUUGUCUUUAGCAGCCGAGUUCGCAAUCCAUCCAUAUCUUGCUAGGUAGUGCAAUUUAUUUGCUCUGCGACUGAUUGGACGUUUGAUGGACGUUCUCUGUCUAGUCUUCACAUCGCUUCUGUCGGCCAUAUUUUGUACUUCACUGGCUAUAUUUGGCUUUCCUCUGAUCCUUACUGAUAUCUCAUUUUUGUCUUGAGGUAUUCACUGCGUGCCCUGCACAGAUGUGACCGUUUUGAAAAUAUACUGAUAAUUCAUGGGCGUCCCCCCCCCCAAUGGGUGUGGGCAAGGGAUGGCUUGGUACGCUGAGUGUUUUAGCCGGCUGCUUCUGAGUAGUAAUGUGAUGUGACGGCGGGUGUAAUCAUAUCCUCCGCGCUGUUGACUGGAGUCCCAAUGGGUGUUGUGUUGCGUGAAACGGCGUCAGCCGCCUGACGUGUCUUUAGACGUGUUGAAGUGCUUAUUGAAUGCUUUGCGACUGUUCAGUGACCGCAGUUGGAGGUGAGCGGUUGCCUUCUCUUUCUAUAAAUAACGCCGUUGUCUCUCUGGCUUUUUCACAUCUCUUCGUUGUUCUCUGCUGCUUCCCUUUCUUCUCUCCCUUCUGCUUCCACCAUGGGCAAGAACAACAAGCGCAAGCGUGAGCCAACUCCUCCAUCGGAGGAGUUUGGUGACUCAGAGUACUCAGAGGAGGAGUUCUCCUAUGAGUCUGAGGGGUCUCCGGCUCCCGUCCCCCUGCGUGAGUCGUCUGACGACUCAGACGACUCCUAGGGGCUUGCGGCGGAGGUCUGGACGUACAUCCGGGCCGUCGAGCGCUCCGGGCUCGAAGGCUCGGAUGAGUCGGAGUACUCCUCAGAUGAGGAGGACUCGGACGGCGGCGGCGAGGACGAGGAUGACGACGACGACGACGACGGCGACGACGACGAUGGCGACGGUGACGGUGACGGCAGCGGCAGGGGCGGCGGUGACGGCAUCAAGGACGGUGACGGCAGCGGCAAGGGCAGCAACCGGGGCGGCAGCAGCAGGGGCAGCACCAGGGGCGGCAGCGGCGGCGGCAGCAACAGGGCCAGUGGCUAGAUGCCACUGGUCUUUUAGAUAUUAGUAUAGUAUAGUUAGAAUAAUGUAGUAAUAUUUAGUAGUGUAGAGUAGUAUAGUGUAGUGUAGUAGUAGUAGGGAAGUAUCAACUCAUAAAGAGUUGAUUUGUAAGUUUGUUAUCUUCCCUUCUAAUGAAAGAAUGAUGUUGGCUUCUCCUUAAUGACUGUCCUGCUUAUUUGUGAGGCUAAUUCCUUUGAGAGAGUAAGUGAAUAACUCGGGCAUCAAACUGAUGCUUUUAGGAAUUGCCGCCGAGUAACUUUGUAGAUGGUGUUGGUGCUUUAGAGUAAUUGCCGAGUGACUGAACUCAAUAUCGGAGUUUUAGAGAUACCUGCCGAGCGACUGAAUACGGUAUCAGCGUUUUAGAGGUAACGCCGAGUGACUGGAGGGCGACGUCAGCGUUUUAGAGGUAACACCGAGCGACUGAACACGAUAUCAGCGUUUUAGAGGCAACGCCGAGUGACUGUACGGCGACGUCGGCGUUUUAGAGGUAACGCCGAGCAACUGAACACUAUAUCAGCGUUUUAGAGGCAACACCGAGUGAUUGAAAAACGAUAUCAGCAUUUUAGAGGUAAUGCCGAGCGACUGAACACGGAAUCGACGUUUUGGAGGCAACGCCGAGUGAUAGCAGGCCGCGCGAGCCACUUUGAGGAUGAUGGCCGAGUGAUGAGGUGGUGUACCAGUGUUCUGGAGAUAACUGCCGGGUGACCACGUGGCACGCUGGGUGCUGACUGGGCACUUUUCGAAACGGUAUCUGGCUCGAGAAUAUCCCAUAAGUGUUGCGCUUUUAGCCGCCUUUGCUUUCCGUGCCCUAGUUCUUGCUUUCCCGCUUCCGAAUCCUCUCUGCCAUCCGCUUCCCACUCUGCUCGCUGGUAGAAUCGAGAUGGCGCCCAAGAGGAAGACCUCGAGCUCGUCUGCUGUGGUGAUUCCUCCAAUCGAUCCCAACAGCCAGUUGCCUUUCGCAGGUAACCACAUGUCUGUCAUUUCUGAAACUGAACUUCUCCACCUCGUAUCUAUCGGGGUUCUUCCUCCGCGAGAACUCUGUUCUUGGCGGAUUUGUCAUGGGUUUACUGUUCCGACAGAGGAUACCCAUGAGUCCGUUGUUUACGCCCCUUUCCUUCUCCGCGGCCUUGGCCUUCCCAUUUCUCCCUUUUUCUGCGGCCUUCUUGACUUCUAUCAUAUUAACUUGACCCAUUUGAACCCCAAUUCGAUUCUGCAAGUCUCCAUUUUCGUUCAUUUAUGCGAGGCCUUUCUUGGCGUGCUGCCGCAUUUCGGUCUGUGGAAAUACUUGUAUCAUUGUCGCCCUGGGAUGGCCGGGGGACAACAUCAGUUGGUUGGGGGUGCCAGCUUGGAGAUGCGCCGCGGGAGGAAAACUGAAUAUCUUGAGAUCCCUCUCAAGGACAGUAUUAAGGGAUGGCGCCUGGAGUGGUUUAUAGUUGAGAAUUAUGGGAAUUCUCUCCCCUCCCGGUCGGGAAGACAGCCGGACGUUCGCACCCCAAGCUGGACCGAGUCUCCCACAGGUCAGGAGGCAGGUGUGUUGCUAGCUGAAGUUGGACUGCUGAAAGAGAGGGGUCUGACUGCUGAAGCUGUGGUUACUGAUUUUGUUUUCAAGAAUAUUCAGCCAUUGAAAGACAGGGCCUAUCCAGCUUAUCUGUAUCGAGGGCUAGCCGACUCAACUCGGGUUACUAACAGAAGAAUUCCCUCUGCAGACUUGGUGAGCCGACUAGAGAUGAUCCUUAGGGGCAAAGUGUCAAAUGUUGGUGCUCCAGUGGCAUACUCGGCCUGGAACCUGCCUCCUCCCAAAGCCUUCACCCUUUUUGUGUCGAAUCCACCUAUUACUGAUGGCAGUUUGGGCCUUAGAGUGCGACCCUCUGCUGAAGAAGUUAAUGCUUUGGUUGCCUUGCUUGGGGAGAUUCCUGAUGACGAACGGCAGGUCCAUUUUGAGGUGCCCCUGAACCCUAGUGAUGCAGAGAUAAGCGCUAUGCUUGAUUUGCUAGCUGAGGAUUCAUCCGACGCUGCUCCUGCCGGGGCGUUGGUAGUGGCGCCCCGCCCAGAGGCUGAUACGACUUUGGAUGUUCAGAAGCCUGUCAGUACUCGCCCGAGGCGCACUUGCCGAGCCAAUCAGCCUGGUCCUUCUGCUGAUGAGCAGAAGAAGAAAAGAAGACGGCUCCGGCGAGUAUCCAGUUUGGAUCAGGACGCUGGUACCUCAGUUCCUGCUACUGAAGAAGUGCCUACGACUGGAUUUGCGGAUGCUGACCCCAAUGGGUGUACCCAAUCUGCUGCUGAUCCCAACGUGGGUGCUCCAUCUGUUGCUGAUCCCAAUGGGGGUGCUGCUUGUGUUGCCAAUGUGGAUGACGAGGAGGAAGAAAAGGAAAUUCCUUUGACUCGGAAAAACAGUCGACAGUUCAUCGCCAGUGGUGAAAGUAGUGGGGUUCCCUCUCCUGCUUUGUCUGCCCUCAUUGGUCUGCAAGAACUGUCCCUGGCCAACUUUGAUCAGACUCUUGAGGAUAUGGUCCCAGAGGACUUGUUAUCGGAGCCAGUGGAUGAUGGUGCAAUGGAGGCUUGUGCUGACGUGCCUGAUGCUGGGUUGAGGUCAUCCCGUGCCUCGUCGACCUUAGAGCGCGAUCUCGAGGGUCGGGAGACUGACUUGGAUCGUCCUGGUCCUAUGGAAGUAGCUGAGGGCCCGUCAACCUUAGAGGUUGCCACUGCAGAGAACUUGGAUCCGAAGGAUGGCGCUGACACAUGCCCAGCCCCCGAGGAUGUCGACGGGGAUGACUUGGCUCGGGUGGGGAGUGUAAGCCACUGCCCAGCCCCCGAGGGUGCUGCCGGGGAUGAUCCGGCUCAAGUGGGCAGUGCAAACUAUGACCCAGCCCCCGAGGGUGCCCGAGCGGGGUCUCCCUCCUGUACUUCCAUGGACGUUCAUGUGGGAUCUCCUCCACACUCUGGCUGUAUGGUGGUAGCCCAAACCUUGGACCAGGGAGUCACUUUAGAGGACAGCGUCCCCGCUGACCGAGUGUUUGGCUCUGUUGAAGGCACCGAGCUGAUUCCUGCUGGUUCGUUGCAAGCUGCUUCAGGUGGUGGCCUUACGCCUGAUUAUCAACUGAUCUCUCCUGAUUUGGGGAUUCCUUCGUUCUUUUCCAACCUCCAGGUACCGUGAUGUAUUUUAGCUUGAUUUUUACAUUGCAUGAACUGCUGUCAUUACACUCAUAUGUUCUCCUCAUCAGGCUUUGGUGGAUGGGAUGGCUAGCCAGCUGAGAUUACAGGGUGCUUCCGUCCCAGAAGUGGCUUCGUCUCUUGCAUGUUGGAAUCCAGUCUCACUUCAACAUCGCCUCUCUGAAUUGGAGGCGACCAACGCUGGUUAGUGCUUUUUUGCUUCUCUUUGCCUUCACUGUGGACUGCUUUACAUUCUGACCUCUUUUUGUUUGAUUAUCUCCUGCUAGGAAUGACUCGGCGGAUUUCAACUCUUGAGGAAAAACAUUCCCGGGAUCAGGCUGAAUUGGUCCAGCGGUGCACUGACUUUGAGGAGAAGUACUCUCAGAGCCAGACUGAACUGGGUCAGGUCUCCGCUGCCUUGGAUGACGCCAAUGCACUGAGUUCUUCUCUUCAUGCUCAGCUCAAUUCUGAAAAGGUGAUCUACAAAACUGUGCUUUGCCUUGCUGUGUUCCUAUUACUUGCUUGGUCUUUGAGGGAGUUGACUUUUGCUCGCAGGAAGAAAAACGUAUCCUUGCUGCUUCUCGUGACAAUCUUGACAGAUUGUAUCGUGAUUCUAGCAACUCGCUGACCAUCUUAGAGAGGAGUCACCGCUUUACAAUGGAGGAAUUGGACAAUUAACGUUGUAGGCUGCAGGAAUCCGCGGACGAAGUGACCCGCCUCAAGCAGUUGAUAUCAGCAAAGGAUGCCACCAUCAAAGAACUCCGAGCUUCCAAGAAAUCCAUUGUCCAGGAGUUAGAAACUGCUCGACUGGCUGCUAAGGUUGCCGAAGAGACUUCUGUUACUCUCAGAGCCCAGCGCGACAGAGCCAUGGACAAGGCUAUUCGGGCGGGACGAAUCUUGAUGAGGAGGCCUAGCGUGGUUGUUCCUGAAGACAUAAAGGCCGAUGUGAAUGCUGCCCCUGAUUCCUCGAGUCGCCCUUCUUCGUCGGUCGCUCCUGAGAAAGACAUUGCGAAAUAGAGAAACAUUUUGCGUGCUUUGAGCGCGCGGUUAGCAUGAUUGAAUAUUUGUUAAAGGACAUCAGUUCAGCAUUCGAAUGAUAUAAUUACUCUCUUAUUGUUUCAGAAUUCAUCAGUUCGUAAAUUUGCAGUAGUGAAAUGACGCGCAACGGUUAUGAAAUUUGUUUGCAGGAUAUAGAAGUCAUCCUUGUAUGAGUAAUUAUAACUAUGUCAGAUCGCCUCAAAUCGCUGCUGACUUAAGUCGAUUGUUUUUGUUAUUAGGGCGUAGUGGUCACCCUGAAUUGCAUAGGCAUGAGCAUGUUGCACCGCCUUAAGUCGUCACUAACUUUAGCCGAUUGCUUCAUUAGUAGGGCAUAGUGGUCACCCCGAGUUAAGUAAGCGUGAGCAUGUUGCACCGCCUUAAGUCGUUGCCGACUUAAGUCGAUUGCUCCGUUAGUAGGGCAUAGUGGUCACCCCGAGUUAAGUAAGCGUGAGCAUGUUGCACCGCCUUAAGUCGUUGCCGACUUAAGUCGAUUGCUCCGUUAGUAGGGCAUAGUGGUCACCCCGAGUUAAGUAAGCGUGAGCAUGUUGCACCGCCUUAAGUCGUUGCCGAUUCAAGUCGAUUGCUCCGUUAGUAGGGCAUAGUGGUCACCCCGAGUUAAGUAAGCGUGAGCAUGUUGCACCGCCUUAAGUCGUUGCCGACUUAAGUCGAUUGCUCCGUUAGUAGGGCAUAGUGGUCACCCUGAGUUAAGUAAGCGUGAGCAUGUUGCACCGCCUUAAGUCGUUGCCGACUUAAGUCGAUUGCUCCAUUAGUAGGGCAUAGUGGUCACCCCGAGUUAAGUAAGCGUGAGCAUGUUGCACCGCCUUAAGUCGUUGCCGACUUAAGUCGAUUGCUCCGUUAGUAGGGCAUAGUGGUCACCCCGAGUUAAGUAAGAAUGCAAGUCAGUCGUAAACAAACUGAGUAUCUUUGAAACCUCUUUUUUAUUGAUGACAUAUUUCCACUUUACAGAGUACGUCGUCGUCCUGGCAGUUUUUGAAAUACAGCUAGGGAUAAAACUUUCUGAGGUGUUCUAUGUUCCAGGAGUUUCCGACUUCUGUGCCAUCCAUCUGAGUGAGACGAUACGAUCCGGGUCGAGUGACUUCUGCUACCAUGAAGGGUCCUUCCCAUAAGGGUGAUAACUUGUGCCGUCCCUCCCCCGUUAGAAUUUGGCGGAGGACGAGGUCUCCUAUUGAGAAGGAUCGUUGUCGUACAGCCUUGUCGUGAUAGCGCCUUAGAGUCUGCUGGUACCGUGCUGAUUGGAUUACCGCAUUUAGCCGUUCUUCUUCAAGUACAUCAAUGUCCUCCAGCCUGGUGGCCUCGGCUUCUGCUAUGUUUUCGAAGAUCAACCUUGGCGCCCCAAACUUGAGAUCGGCGGGCAGCACUGCUUCCGACCCAUAGACCAUGAAGAAAGGAGUGUUUCCAUGCAGGGCUCGGCUAGGUUGGGUUCUUAAGCUCCAAACGACAUAGGGCAAUUCCCUUAUCCACUUUCCUGCGAACUUUUCAUUCUUGUCGAAGACCUUUUUCCUGAGUGCCUCCAGUAUCAUCCCGUUGGCUCGCUCAACCUGCCCGUUGGCUCUUGGAUGUGCUACAGAUGCAUACUUGAUCUGAAUGCUCUUUUGCUCGCAGAAGUCGAAGAAUUCUGAACUUGUGAAGUUGGAUCCUAAGUCAGUUAUUAUGCUGUUUGGUAUCCCGAAUCUGAAUAUUAUGUCUUGUAUGAAUUCCACGGCCUUAGCAGAGGUUAAAGAAGCAAUGGGCUUGAACUCUAUCCAUUUAGUGAAUUUGUCGAUUGCUACCAAUACAUGAGUGUAUCCCCCUUGAGCUUUCUUGAAAGGUCCAAUCAUAUCCAGUCCCCAGCAUGCGAAAGGCCAAGUUACUGGUAUGGUCUGCAGUUGCUGUGCUGGCAGGUGUUGUUGCUUUGACAAGUAUUGGCAAGCUUCGCACCUCUGAACUAACUCGGCUGCAUCAUUCUUUGCUGUUGGCCAAUAGAAUCCUGACCUGAAGACCUUCCCGACUAGUGUUCUGGAGGCUGCAUGUAUUCCACAUUGCCCAGCAUGGACCUCUUCCAGAAGUUGCUUCCCAGUGGACGGGAGGAUGCACUUCAUGAGGACGCCUGAUGUACCCCUUCUAUACAAUGUCUCCCCAAUGAGUGUGUAGUGAGCCGACUGUCUGGCAAUGCGCUCGGCCGAGUUCUUGUCAUCUGAUUCUUCUUCAUUCUUUAUAUACUUGAUGAUUGGCCUUCUCCAGUCAUCAGAGUCUGACUCGGGUUGAUCUAUAAUGUUGCACUCUUUUGCUUGAUCCAUUGAGAUACUCGGUUGUAGUAUUUCUUGCACAAAGACUCCGGGUGGGACCUGAGUUCGACUGGAUCCUAGUUUGGACAGUAUAUCGGCUGUCGUGUUCCGAUCUCUUUCUACGUGAUGAAAUUCCAGACCCUCGAAUUUAUCUUCCAGCUUUCGGACUGCAGCACAGUAUUUUCCCAUUGAAUCGCUUGAACAAUCCCACUCUUUGUUUAUCUGGCUGAUGACUACCAGAGAGUCUCCGUAUACCAUCAAUCUCUUGAUGCCCAAUGAGAUGGCGAUGUUCAAUCCAUGGAUCAGAGCUUCGUACUCGGCUGCAUUGUUGGAGGCCGGAAACAACAACUGGAGGGCAUAUUUGAGAUGCUCGCCUCCAGGUGCGGUGAAGAGAAUCCCUGCUCCUGCUCCCUGCAGCUUCAGCGAGCCAUCAAAAUACAUUCGCCAUACUUCGACAGUCUCUGGGUUAUCUGGUACUUGCUGCUCACUCCACUCUGAUACGAAAUCAACCAGUGCUUGAGUUUUGAUGGCAGUGCGAGGUCGGAACUCGAUGUCAUGAGAUCCCAACUCACAAGCCCAUUUGGCUAUCCGGCCAAUGGCUUCCUUGUUGUGAAGAAUAUCCCCUAUUGGAAAACCAGUGACUACUAUGACUUUGUGGUCAUCAAAGUAGUGACGUAGCUUGCGGGCAGUUAGAAGUACUGCGUAUAAUAGCUUCUGAACUUGAGGAUACUUUUUCUUUGAGGGGCCUAGAACUUCACUGAUGAAGUAAACAGGAUGUUGCACUGGAUAGGCGUGUCCUUCUUCUACUCGCUCGACUACCAACGCGGUGCUUACCACGUGAGUCGUGCAAGAGAUAUAUAGUAGCAGAUCUUCAGCUGGUUGAGUUGACGUAGCUCGUCGGGGUGGCUUCAGUACUGGUGGUGUUGUUAAGAAUUUCUUCAGCGCAUCUAGAGCUUCCUGUGCUUCUGAAGUCCACUGAAACUUAUCCACCUUCUUGAGUAGCUUGUAAAAUGGUAAACCUUUUUCCCCCAGCCUGGAUAUAAAUCUGCUCAGAGCUGCCAUACAUCCAGUAAGUCGCUGAACCUUCUUUUGUGAUCGAGGUGCUUCCAUUUUCAUGAUAGCUUCAAUCUUAUCCGGAUUAGCCUCAAUUCCUCAGUGGCUGACGAUAAACCCGAGCAACUUUCCUGCUGGUACCCCGAAAACACAUUUUUCGGGAUUAAGCUUCCAUCUAUAUCGUCUCAGACUGUUGAAAACCAGCUGUAAGUCUUCGAUGAAGUUUUCCGAAUUCUCCGUUUUGAUUACCACAUCAUCUACGUAGGCCUCCACACGCUUGCCCCAGUGAUCGGCUAAGCAUGUUUGGAUGGCUCUCUGAUAAGUCGCUCCAGCGUUUUUGAGGCCGAAUGGCAUGGAGGUAUAACAGAAAGCACCAAACGGAGUGAUGAACGCCGUUUUUUCCUUGUCUUCCAUCGCCAAACUAAUCUGGUGGUAUCCGGAAUAGCAAUCCAAGAAAGACAGCACAGAGCAUCCAGCGGUGGAGUCCACCACCUGAUCUAUCCUCGGGAGCCCGAAGGGAUCCUUCGGACAGUGUUUGUUGAGAUCGGUAUAGUCGACGCACAUGCGCCAAUCCACUUUAUUCUUUUUGAGUACAAGAACAGGGUUGGCUAACCACUCGGGGUGUAACACUUCUCUAAUAAAUCCAGCCGCAACCAAGCGAGCUAACUCGGCGCGAAUGGCCUCUCUCUUGUCGGGCGUGAAACGACGUAGCUUUUGCUGAAUCGGCCUUGCCUGGGGAUAGACCUUCAGUUUGUGCUCGGCCAGUUCUCUUGGGACUCCCGGCAUAUCCGCAGGUUGCCAUGCGAAUACAUCUCGGUUAUCUUGCAGAAACUGGACGAGCGCGCUUUCCUAUUUGUCGUCCAAGCUGGAGCUGAUGAUGGCAGUCUUGCGUUCAUCAGCGAACCCCAGGUUGAUUCUCUUGGUUUCUUCAGUCGGCCGCAUAGAGGUCGCGGCCUGAGCUUCGUUUGCCGGUGCUGCAAGGUCCUCUUCAGGCUUAGAGUUCGCCAGUGUCGAAGAAACCACUGACGGCUUGGUGGUGAGGGCUGCUUGGAUGGCCACUCAGAAACACUCUGCGGCGCCUUGGAAGUCGGUGCGCACAGUUAUGAUUCCUUGCGGUCCUGGCAUCUUCAGUAUCAUGUACGUGUAAUGGGGGAUGGCCAUGAAUUUGGCCAGCCCCGGCCUCCCGAUGAUGGCAUUGUACCCGCAGUCGAAGUUCGCCACUUCGAACCUCAGGAACUCGGUUCUGUAGUUCUCCGGAGUUCCGAAGGUAACUGGCACGUAGAUGUGGCCCAGCGGGUAUUCCCCUUCCGUCGGCACGAUGCCGAAGAAAGGAGUGUCCGACUCGUGGAGCUCUUUGAGGUGAACUCCCAAGCCUUGGAGUGUCCGGGGGAAGGUGACGUUGAUGCUGCUCCCCCCGUCCACUAGCACCUUCUUUACCCGGCUCUCUCGGAUCACCGGAUCGACGAGGAGCGGGUAUUUGCCUGGAUGGUCGAAGUUGAGCCAUUGAUCCUCCCGAGUGAAAGUGAUCGGGUGCUCCGACCACCGGUAUGGGGCGGGAGGACCAGUGGUCGCCACCAGUAUCUGGCGGUCGUUGAGCUUUUGUUGUCUUUUGUUCUCCUGCGACCCAUGUCCGCCGAAGAUGACGUUGACCUCCCUGUCAACGCGCGGGAAGGCUCCUCCUCCUCCCUCCUCCUGCUGAUGGGGUUGUCGUGGUUCAUCUGGCCCUCCCCUCGGUGGAGGAGGAGGUAGAGGUUGGAAGGGUCGACCGUGCCCGACGGAGUGCUUGAAGUCUCGACAGUUACGAAGAGUGUGGCGCAUGUCCUUGUGGUACGGGCACUGGGCGUCGAGGAUGUCGUCCAGCGAGCGCUCGCCUCCGCGGGGUCCUCCUCGGGCGCGAGAGGCAGGUGGUCCGGCGGCGUGUACUUCUUCGCGAGGCCUCUUUUCCCAGCGUUUGUCGGGUUGCUGGUUCGCGUCGCGUCGUGGUGCUGCCGGUGCAGGCUUCGCUCCCCCGAUGAGGUCCUGGGCUCGCUCAUCGGUGGUGAUGUAGAGGUCGGCUUCCCGGAACAGCUCCUCGGAAGUAGUCAGCGCCUUCUGUAGUAUGGCUCGGACGAAAGCUGAGUCAUUGGAUCCUCUGUAGAAGUCCUCGAUCAUGGCCGCCUCCGUGACCUCGGGGAUACGAUUUCUCAUGGUCUGGAACCUUUUGAGGUACGACUGAAGAGUUUCGUCUCCCCGACGCUUGAUGGAUUUGAGGUCCCAUGGUUGCGCCGGUUUGUCGGAGAGGGACUGGAAAUUGGCGGUGAAGCGUCGACUGAAGUCACCCCAGUCGUCGAUGCAGUGUCGGGGUAGAUGUCGCAGCCAUUGCAGUGCGUCUUGCCCAAGGACAAUGGGUAAGUACGCGGUCAUCACGUCUUCAGACGCCCCGGCAGCUCGAGCAGUGGUGGUGUAGACGGCUAGCCAACCCCUGGAUCCUGCUUAGGUUCAUAUUUGUCGACAUUGGAUACCUUGAAGUUGGGAGGCCAUUGGAUGGCCCUAAGGCGCGGAGUAAGAGCAGACACUCCGCACGUGUCCUCCUGUUGUCGGGGAUGAUGUCUGUCCCGGGGAGGGGAGUAGUGGUGGUGGUUCCUCGACCGCCCCCGGGUGGUACCGCCAGUUGAGGCCGUUGCCGACUCAGUUCUGGUGGCCUGGCUCUGAGCUGGGAUGCCAUGAUCCCUGUCGUACUCUUCCCGGCGGCGGAUCUCGUUCUCAUGCCGCCGUUCGCGCGAAGCAUUGAUGGAGCUUCGCGCGUCUCGGCGACUGUUGAUGGCGUGUCGUAGAUCGUUCGGUGGGUGAGCAAGCGGUAGAAGAUGGUUGGCCGCCUGGGUGAACAGUCGUCGGUAGCCCUCAGCGUCGGGAGUCCGAGGGAGUCCAUCAGCUAUCCGAGCUAGUACCCCUCCGACUUCGCUCGGCGUGUUCAUAGCUCGGGCGAAGUCGGGAUUCAGGUUGCGCCCGAAGAAUGGAUUCUCCCGGCGUUGCCUUGCAUCUUGCUCGGCUUGUUCCUGAGCCCGGCGGCGAUCACGUCGUCGGGAGUUCCUUCGUUCUCUGAAGACGCGUUCUUCCGGAGUUUCUCCUAUCUCCGAGACCUCGUUUCGCGAGACAGGCUGCUCUGGAUCCCGUUCUCUGGCCGCAUGAUGUCGUCGAAUGUUCCUGCGCCGGUUCCUCCGUCGGCGGGAUUCUCGCUGAGGUGGUUCUUCUCCGGGUGCAGUCGGCUCGUCGUCGGAGACGGUAGGCGACUCCACUCUCCCGAUGAAGAGGACGUCAGGGUAGAAUGGUGUUGCUGUCGUGGCGACCUUCUUUCCGUUCUCCUUUGAGGGCGGAGGAACGGAAAGAACAACUUGCUUCUCCUUGGUCUCCUUCUUCCUUGCGAUCUGUGUCCAUUCUUUUGUCGGAGAAGUAGACAGUGGAGUUCUCCGGGUCAGCGAGCCCUCGGCCCCCGACUUUUCGGAGAUGAUCUUUUUCCGGAGAGCUGGAGGUUGCGCUUCUCCGGCAUUUUCGGAGUUCGUUGGAGGAGACUUCUUUUCCGGCGGAUCCGCAAUGCGGUGUAGAGUUCCCUCUUCAUCCGCUACGGAUGAGAUUGUUCCGAAGCAGAAUACGGAUCCGGGACGCAGGGUGAUCUUGCUGUAGAAGGUGACGGCCAUUGAGCUAGCUUGGAUCAUCGACACACCCCCUACCUGGCGCGCCAGCUGUCGGUGUUUUGGGUCCGACCGCACACCCGGGGUUGCCCCUCAAGAUGUUUUUAGGAGUAGGACGGUGUCGACAACUGUAGCAAAAUGGUUCGUGCCGAUUGCACGAAGGACAGUGGACAAGGUUUACAGGUUCGGGCCGCUUAGAGACGCGUAACACCCUACGUCCUGGUGAGUAUGCUUGGUGGACAAGGUUACAAGAGAGCUCUCUGAAUUGAGAAUGCAGAGAGUUGAUGUGGAUGGCUAAGUAAUAGGGUCGAUCGUUCUGAAGGGGUGCCCCCUAGGCCUUAUAUACUCGACCGUGGGGCAAUAAAUGUGGAUAAGAUAACAACGAGUAGCUAAAAGAUAGUGAACGGCUUGAGUUUAUCUCCAUGUAGUUCUGCCGACUUAUCCUCGCAUGGCUCCGUUGCAUGGGGGCUCCGGCGCGGGAAAGUCGGAUCUCUGUUGCGGUCACUCGCUCGACGUUGUGGGUCGUCCGGGUUUGCACUAAUCCGGCCUCAUGUCGAUCUGCUUUGCUGGUUAUCUCUCCCCAGGCCCACGAAAGAAUGACCUUACGAUUUAUUGGGCCUUUAGGCCUUUCGUGAGGUCUUUUACUCUUUUAGUGGACCCGGGGGAUAUCUGUCCACCACUGGUACUUGCCCGGAUGAUCGAAGUUGAGCCAUUGAUCCGCCCAAGUAAAGGUGAUCAGGUGUUCUGACCACCGAUAGGGGGUGGGGGCACUGGUGGUCGCCACUAGUAUCUGUCGAUCGUUGAGCUUCUGUUGCCUUUUGUUCUCUUGUGACCCGUGUCCGCUGAAGAUGACGUUGACUUCUCCAUCAAUGCGCGGGAAUGCUCUGCCUCCUCCUUCCUGCUUCUGAGGUUGUCGAGGUUCUCCGAGUCCUCCUCGUGCUGGGGGAGGUGGCAGAGGUUGGAAGGGUCAGCCAUUCUCGACAGAGUGCUUGAAGUCUCUGCAGUUCCGAAGGUUGUGACACAUAUCUUUGUGGUACGGGCACUGGGCGUCGAGGACAUCGUCCAAUGUUUGUUCGCCUCCACGGGGUGCCCCUCGGGCACAAGAGACGGGUCGUCCAGCGGCAUGGACUUCUUCACGAGGCCUCUUCUGAUAUAGCUGAGGUGCCCGAUCUUUUGGUGAGUGGAGAUAAUUCCGAUUUGGCGGAAGAUGGCCCUUGCGAUCCGACUAUGACGAGCAAGCCCGAGGCGCCAAAGCAAUCGCUGAACCAACUCCUUGUGGUUACCGACCUUGCUGAUGCGAGAUCAGCUUGAUCACGAAGAUCGUUUCCUGUGCACAAUCGAAGAACGAACAAGAAAAAGAUGUGAGCAAUCUAAUUUAUUACUCGAGGGUGGAGUUCUGAAUACACGAAGACAGCGCUGAUUUGCGCGUGUUCGAGAGUAGCUAAAGCUAACAUAAAACAAAACUCAAAGAACAAAGGAGGUGCAGCUCCUGGAUAAAUAGAGAGAGGGGGUGCAGCCCCUAGUGGCGGCCAAAGGUGAAAAACACAACCCUAGGUCGCCCACUAUGGGCCGCAGUUGGGUUGGUCGUCUAUUCUUCUGGGUCCUCAUUCUUCAGUAGCAUGACGAAGUUAAGAUCUCUGGCACGGGCCCGAGUGAUUGGCCCAGCUAAUGAAGGAAGUGGCGCUUGAUGUGGAGGUGCUGCUGGUGUAGUCGUACUCAUGUUGCAAGUGAUGUCCUCAUCAUCCUCCCCUUCUUGAAGUGAAGUCGUCCUCGACGGCAACUCCUCAUCCUCGGCCAUAUAAGGUUUCAAAUCUGCAACAUUAAAACUAGUGGAAACACCAAAUUACGCAGGCAGGUCAAGGAUAUAAGCAUUAUCAUUAAUCUUUGUUAGCACCUUAAAAGGACCAGCAGCACGAGGCAUUAAUUUAGAACGAAGCAAAGUAGGAAACCGAUCCUUUCUCAAGUGCAACCAAACCAUAUCACCUGGCUCAAAAGUAACAAGUUUUCUUCCUUUACUACCAGCAACCUGAUUUUUUGCAUUAGUAGCAGCAAUGUUCUGUUUUGUUUGUUCAUGUAUGGUAAUCAUUUGUUCAAUAUGUGCAGCAUCAUCUACAUGUGGGGCGUUCGCAGCAUUAAGUGAAAUCAAAUCAAUAGGUGCCCUAGGGAUGUAACCAUAAACAAUCUGGAAAGGGCACAUCUUUGUAGAAGAAUGUGUGGCAUGAUUGUAAGCAAAUUCAACAUGAGGCAAGCAAUCCUCCCAACGUCUCAAAUUCGUGUCUAAAACAGCCCUAAGCAUGGUAGAUAAAGUUCUAUUUACUACCUCAGUUUGUCCAUCAGUCUGAGGGUGACAAGUAGUGCUAAACAGCAAUUUAGUUCCCAAUUUAUUCCAAAGAGAUCUCCAAAAAUGGCUUAGAAACUUAGCAUCGCGAUCAGAGACUAUUGUUUUUGGAAUACCAUGUAAACGAAUAAUUUCUCUAAAGAACAAUUCAGCAACAAUGCUAGCAUCAUCAGUUUUAUGACAAGGUAUAAAGUGAGCCAUUUUAGAGAAUCUAUCAACAACCACAAAAAUACUAUCCCUCCCCUUUUUAGUUCUAGGCAAGCCCAAAACAAAGUCCAUAGAAAUAUCAAGCCAAGGAGAAGAAGGGACAGGCAAAGGCAUAUACAAACCAUGGUUGCCCAAAGGUGACUUAGCUUUCUGGCAAGUAGUGCAACGUGCAACAAGACGCUCAACAUCACGGCGCAUCCGAGGCCAAAAGAAUGUCUUGUAAACGCCAAAGUGUCCCAUGAGACCGCCUCCAUGAGCUUCCUGCAGCAACAAAAGACGAACCGAGCUUGCUAGAAUACACAGCUUGUUAGCACGGAACAAAAGUCCAUCUUGUAUGUGAAAUUUUCCCUAGGGUUUGCCAUCCUUACAAUGUAUAUAGAAAUCUUUAAAAUCAGCAUCAUCCACAUAUUGAUCUUUCACAGUUUGCAAGCCAAAGAUUCUAAAUUCUAACUGUGAAAGCAUGGUAUAUCUACGGGACAACGCAUCAGCAAUGAUGUUUUUCUUCCCGUUCUUGUGUUUAAUGAUGUAAGGAAAGGACUCGAUGAAUUCUACCCAACUAGCAUGACGAUGGUUCAAAUUUGUUUGGGUACGAAUAUGUUUUAAAGCCUCAUGAUCAGAAUGAAUUAUAAACUCACGAGGCCAAAGGUAGUGUUGCCAUGUUUGCAAAGUGCGAACUAAAGCAUAAAGUUCCUUAUCAUAAGUAGAAUAUCUCAAGCUAGCACCGCUUAAUUUUUCACUGAAAUAAGCAACCAAUUUUCCUUCUUGUAACAAAACAGCACCUAACCCAAUACAACUAGCAUCACAUUCAAGUUCAAACACUUUCUGAAAGUCGGGCAAUUGUAAGAGUGGAGCAUGGGUUAACUUAUCUUUCAAAGUAUUGAACGCCUCUUCUUGUGGGGGAUCCCAAGCAAAAGACACACCUUUCUUUGGGAGUUCGUGCAAAGGGGCAACGAUGGAGCUAAAAUCAUGCACAAAACGGCGGUAAAAUCCUGCAAGUCCAAGAAAACUCCGAAUUUGGGUGACCGUCGUUGGUGUAGGCAAGUCCUGAAUGGCUUCAACCUUGCUGCUAUCCACCUCAAUGCCCUGCGGAGUAACCACAUAACCAAGAAACGAGACACGUUGCGUGCAAAAUGUGCACUUUUCCAUGUUACCAAACAAGUGAGCAGCACGCAAAGCAUCAAAAACAGCACACAAAUGUUCUAAAUGCUCCUCUAUAGACUUGCUGUAAAUAAGGAUAUCAUCGAAAUAAACAACAACAAACAAACCUAUGAAGGCCCGUAGAACUUCGUUCAUUAAACGCAUAAUGGCAUAACCAACCAUUCAUAUAAACCAAAUUUCGUUUUAAAAGCCGUUUUCCAUUCAUCACUGAGUUUCAUUCUAAUCUGAUGGUAACCGCUACGCAAAUCAACCUUUGAGAAAAUAACGGCACCACUAAGCUCAUCUAACAUAUCAUCAAGGCGUGGAAUAGGAUAUCGAUAACGAACUAUGAUGUUAUUAAUAGCACGACAAUCUACGCACAUACGCCAUGACCCAUCUUUCUUUGGAACGAGUAAAACAGGAAACAAGCAAGGGCUAAGAGACUCACGAAUGUAACCUUUAUCAAGCAGUGUCUGCACCUGGCGCUGGAUCUCCUUCGUCUCAUCUGGAUUUGUACGGUACGGGGCGCGGUUCGGAAGAGAAGCGUCGGGGAUGAGAUUGAUCUGAUGCUCAAUGCCACAGAGCGGAGGAAGACCCGGUGGUAAGUCCAUAGGAAAAACAUUAGCACCAACAGCAGGGGGUAUAUCCAAAGACGGUGCAUCAUCAAGCGGAACAAACAUGCGCGAGCAUACAAGUGCAUAAUAGGGCAUAUAAGCUUCAUGGAGAUCAUCAAAAUCAGCACGUGUAGCAAGUAAAUCAGGAGAGUGCAACUUGAUUUUAGAUUUAAUAGGUGCGGGUGAUGUCGAUUUGACUUGUUGUGCAGUUUUAGCAGCCCUAGUAAGAUCAUCUUUCAAAAUUUGGUCAGGGGUCAUUGGAUGUAUAAUUAUUUUCUGGCCUUUAAAAAUGAAAGAAUAAUGAUUUGAACGACCAUGAUAUAAACUAUCAGUAUCAUAUUGCCAGGGUCGACCCAAUAACAAAGAGCAUGCUUCCAUAGGAAUAACAUCGCAAUCAGCAUAAUCAGAAUAAGAACCCAGUGAAAAGGGGACACAUACCGACCGUGUUACCUUUAUUUUACCACCAUCAUUAAGCCAUUGAAUGUGAUACGAAUGUGGGUGUGCAUGAGUGGGCAAGGAUAAUUUCUCUACCAAAGCUGUACUUGCCAAAUUGUUGCAGCUGCCACUAUCGAUGAUGAUGUGAAUCGACCGUUCGUGCACAACGCCCUUGGUAUGGAAUAGAGUGUGUCGCUGAUUAUUUUCGGCCUGGGCAACCUGUGUGCUGAGAACACGCUGCACAACAAGACUCUCAUACCUAUCGGCGUCGAUGGGAUCAACGUGGACUUCCUCAUUUUCUGCAUGGUUAGUGGCAAUCAUAGCAUGACUAGUUUCCUCAGAAUCACUGGCUGAAGAGUACUCACCAUUGGAAACAGUGGUGAACUGCAAUCAACAGGUGGAACCGGUGAAAGAUUGGAUGAGCGAUUGCCUGGAGAAACAGAAACCUACUCGUCGUAGAAAUAUGUGGAGUUCUGCGUAGGCUGCACUCAAGUCAAAGAUUAGCAUGAUCAAACAAUAAUGCAAAGUUGAAUUAUAGUGCAAAACACGAAACUAUAUUGCUGGCCACAAGUGCAAAGAACAAUGGAACUAACAGAAUGGCAAUACCGUAAAUAUUGUACUAGCGAGGCCAAAAAGGCACUAGUAGGAAUCACAGGUGAUUUUGUUUUUCUUUUUUGUAUAAUUUUUUUGAUAUUUUUCUCAGCACAAUAAGCAACAAAAUAGGAGCUACACCAAGUUUCACCUAAAACAGAGAUCAGUUGUGGUCUACAGAAAAAGAGCAAGUUCUGUGAAAAGCGUGCAAGAACUUUGACGAAUUUUUUUCUUUAUUUUCCUGAAUUUGUUCUGACAAUUUUAUCGAAACCAAACAGGCCGUAGGCGAGUUUGGCUGGCCUCAGAAUGGUGUCAACAAGCUCCUGUAAAAAUUUCAGAUUUUUUGAACAGCCGAGCGAAAAGUUAUGCCCAGUUUAAGGAAGCUACCUCAAGUUAUGUUUAAAACGACCGAGAUGAGACAACCGCUUUGUAUCCUUUCUCCUUUCUUUUUUUUUGUUUGUUCUCUAGUUCUAUCCUUUCUCUUUUGUUUCCUUUUUUUCUUUUUUUGUUUCUGUUUUUUUACGUAACCGAAGGAGAAAAACAAGGAAGCGGCGUUGACUCGGUUUGUAGCGUGAUCAAACGGGAGAUGGUGGCGGCGCGCUAGGGUUUGAAUGGUGGAAAACACAAUGCGACCAGCAACAAAUGACGUGAAAGCACACAAAUUCAACCUGGAAAUAUGAUACCACUUGAUAUAGCUGAGGUGCCCGAUCUUUCGGUGAGUGGAGAUAAUUCCGAUUUGGCGGAAGAUGACCCUUGCGAUCCGACUAUGACGAGCAAGCCCGAGGCGCCAAUGCAAUCGCUGAACCAACUCCCUGUGGUUACCGACCUUGCUGAUGCGAGAUCGGCCUGAUCACGAAGAUCGUUUCCUGUGCACAAUCGAAGAACGAACAAGAAAAAGAUGCGAGCAAUCUAAUUUAUUACUCGAGGGUGGAGUUCUGAAUACACGAAGACAGCGCUGAUUUGCGCGUGUUCGAGAGUAGCUAAAGUUAACGUAAAACAAAACUCAAAGAACAAAGGAGGCGGAGCUCCUGGAUAAAUAGAGAGAGGGGGCACAGCCCCUAGUGGCAGCCAAAGGUGAAAAACACAACCCUAGGUCACCCACUAUGGGCCACAGUUGGGCUGGUUGUCUAUUCUUCUGGGCCCUCAUUCUUCAGUAGCAUGACGAAGUUAAGAUCUCUGGCACGGGCCCGAGUGAUUGGCCCAGCUAAUGAAGGAAGUGGCGCUUGAUGUGGAGGUGCUGCUGGUGUAGUCGUACUCAUGUUGCAGGUGAUGUCCUCAUCAUCUUCUCCUAACGCUUGUCAGUCUGCUUGUUCGCGUCACGCCGUGGUGCAGAUGGAGCGAGCUUUGUUCCAUCAAUGAGGUCCUGGGCCCAUUUGUCGGUGGUGAUGUAGAGGUCCGCCUCCUUAAAUAGCUGCUCGGAAGUGGUCGGCGCCUUUUGUAGUAUGGCCCGGACGAAGGCCGAGUCAUUAGAUCCCCGGUAGAAGUCCUCGAUCACUGCUGCUUCAGCGACCUCCGGAAUACGAUUUCUCAUGGUCUGAAACCUCUUGAGGUAUGACCGAAGAGUCUCAUCCCCUCGGUGCCUGAUGGAUUUGAGGUCCCAUGGCUACGCCGGCUUGUCGGAGAGGGAUUGGAAGUUGGCGAUAAAGCACCGACUGAAGUCGCUCCAAUCGUCGAUGCAGUGCCGGGGUAAGUGUCGUAGCCACUACAGUGCAUCUUGCCCGAGGACGAUAGGAAAGUAUGUAGUCAUCACAUCUUCAGUUGCCCCAGCGGCCCGGGUAGCGGUGGUAUAGACGGCCAACCAGCCUCCCGGGUCCUGCUUAGGCUCGUAUUUGUCAACGUUGGAGACUUUGAAGUUUGGGGGCCAUUGAAUGGCCCUGAGACGCGGAGUGAGCAUAGAUACUCCACAUGUGUCCUUCUAUCGACGACCGUGGUGCCGGUCCUGGGGAGGGGAGUUGCCGAUGUGCUGUCUCGACCGUCCCCGGGUUGUGCCGCCAGUUGAGGACGUUGCCGACUCAACCCUUGUGGCUUGACUUCGUGUAGGGAUGCCAUGAUCCCGAUCGUAUUCUUCUCGGCGCCGUAUCUCGUUCUCAUGUCAUCGUUCGCGUGAAGCGUUGAUGGAGCUCCGCGUGUCUCGUCGACUAUUGAUGGCGUGUCGUAGAUCGCUCGGAGGAUGAGCGAGAGGCAGAAGAUGAUUAGCCGCCCGAGUGAGUAGCCGCCGAUAGCCCUUAGCAUCUGGAGUCCCGGGGAGGCCAUCGGCUAUCCGAGCCAGCACUCCACCGACCUCACUCGGUGUGUUAGUGGCUCGGGCGAAGUCAAGGUUCAGGUUUCGUCCGAAGAGAGGGUUCUCUCGGCGUUGUCUCGCAUCCUGCUCGGCCUGCUCUUGAGCCAGCCGACGAUCAUGCCGGCGGGAAUUCCUCCUUUUCCUGAAGACUCGUUCAUCGGGAUUUUCUCCCACCUCCGAGAUCUCAUCUCGAGAAACAGGCUGUGUCGGGUCUCGUUCUCUGGCUUCAUUAUGUCGCCAAACAUUCCGGCGUUGGUUCCUCCGUCGGCGAGCUUCUCGCUGAGGAGGUUCUUCCCCAGGCACGGUUGGCUCAUCGUCGGAGAUGGGGGACAAUUCCACUCUUCCCCCGAUGAAGAGGACAUCGGGGUAGAAUGGAGUUGUCGUGACGACAAGCUUCUCUCUAUUCUCCUUUGAGGGCGAAGGUGCCAGAAGAGCAGCUUGAUGGGUCUUUAUCUCGUUUGCUUCUUUUUUCCUUAUAAUCCGUGUCCAUCUUUCCGUGGAUGAGGUGGACAACGGGGUUCUCCGGGUAAACGAAUUCUCUGCUCCUGGCCUGCAGGAGGUAGUCUUCGCCCGGGGUGCUGGAGGUUGUGCUUUUUCCUGCUCUGUUUCGACUUUUUCGGAGAUUUUCGAGGAAGGCUUCUUCUCCGGUAGAUCCGCUAUACGAUGCAGAAUUCCUUCUUCGUCUGCCACGGAUGAGAUGGUUCCGAAGCAGAACACGGAUCCAGGUCGGAGGGCAAUCUUGUGUUGGAAAAUGAUGGCCAUUGAGCUAGCUUGGAUCAGCGACACACCCCUACCUGGCACGCUAGCUGUCGGUGUUUGGGACCCGACCGCGCACCCGGGGUUACCCCUCGAGGUGCUUUUGGGUAGGACAGUGUUGCUGACUGUAGCUCGAUGGUUCGUGCUAGGCGCAUGAGAGACGAUAGACAAUUUUUUAUAGGUUCCGGCCGCUUAGAGAGGCGUAACACCCUACUUCCUGAUGUGGAUCUUUAUAUGGAGGGUUACAGGGGGAUUCUCUAGUAUGAAGGAUGCUAGAGAAUGGAGUAGAUGGUUGAUGAAUGACCUGUCUUUUGAUGGGGUGCCCCCUAGGCCUUAUAUACUCGACCGUGGGGCGUUACAUGCGGGUAUGAUAACAACGUGCACCUAAGUAAUAGUGAACCGACUGAACUUAUCUUCCUAUAAUCAUGUCGACUUAUCCUCAUUUAGUUCUAACGUCUGAGGGCACUACGCGGGAGAAUCGGAUCAAUGCCGUGGAUAAUACUUAAACCCAAUCAGCCGUCUGGGCUCGAGUCUAUCCAAUCUCGCAUCAAUCCAUUCCGCCAGCGGUUCCUCCCCUGGCCCACGAAGGGAUGGCCUUGCGAAGUAAUGGGACCAAAGCCUUUCGCGAGGCCUUCUAGCCUUCUAGUAGACCCGGGGGAUAUUUGUCCCCCACACUAGAAACAUACCUUGUUCUUGAUUUCACACUUCUCACUCAUUUGGUACAUAAGAACUCACUCAAUAUGUGUUGGACAUCUAAUCACCAAAAUACUUAUAGAAAUGGCCCAAGGGCACAUUUCCCUUUCAAUACCAUGGUCACACCAUCGAGUGUGGAGCGCAUUGCCUUAACAAUACUUCUGAAGCUACAAAGUCAUUCCUAAGGGAGCGCAGAAUAAGUUCUAAAACCACAAAGUUGUUCCUAAGGGAGCGCAGAGUAAGUUCUGAAGCUACAAAGUCGUUCCUAAGGGAGCGCAGAGUAAGUUCUGAAGCUCAAAAGUCGUUCCUAAGGGAAUGUAGAGCCAAGAUGCCACCGAAAUAAAAGGUGAAGAAGCUCAAAAGUCAUUCCUAAGUGGAUGCAGAGCUUAAAUACCACCGAAAUAGAAGGUGAAGAAGCUCCAAAGUCGUUCCUAAAGGGAUGCAGAGCUCAAAUAUCACCUUAGAAAAAGGUCAAGAGACUCAAAAGUCAUUCCUAAGAGGAUGUAGAGUCUGGGUGCAUUUUCGAGUGGGUGUGUGUCUUCGGCAUAAACAUCAUGUUGCAUCAUAUCAUCGCAUCAUUUCGCAUAGCAUUACAUCAUACAUCAUAUCUCAUCAGCAACAGAACUGUGGAGAAGCAAAGAUGCUUCUUUCAAAAUAUUUGAUGAAUGGAACAAUGUGCGGAAGCACAAAGUGUACCUUCGGCAGCUAUAAUGUUACAUUCCAAGAAAAUCUUCGUCGACAACAAUAUUAUAUAACAGCUACGAUAUAAGAAGGGGUGAUUUUUUAUUUGCGAAGCAUGAAAAGAAGGGAAGGUGUUUUUUCGCCGAAGGCUAAAAAACAAGUAAGUACAUAGAUUUCAUGCAUCACAAAGAAAUAUAUUACAUUAAUAUACAUGCAAAUGUUCGAUGUUCGACUCAUACACGAAUAUUACAUUUCUUAGUACACAAGAAUUCAGUCUUCUUUCAAUAUCUUCUCGGCAGCUUCAUUUAGGAGUCCGUUGACAGUGUCGUCAACGGUUUCUUCGGUAAUCCUUAUUGUUUCCAAUGCUUCCAUCAUAGGCGGCGGUGAAAUUUCAGUUGUAGUAAAGAACAAGUUGUUAACCCGAAGCCAAAAACAAACACUGAAGCUAAAUUUCAGUAAUAAUACCUUACGCCUUGCGCGCUCAGCAGCCUCUUCGGCUCGCUUAGCUUCUUCUCGGGCAUCAUGGGAUUUUUUUUCAUUUUUCUUCAUAGCUUCGUCGGCUAUCUCGCGGCCGCACUUCAUCCAAACAUUGGAAUAGAAUUUCCCGCCCAUCAAGGUAGCUUUGGUCGAAGGCUCCUUCGUGUCGUCUAUGGAGAAGAUGAUUUCUGCCUUGGCUGCAAAUUUAACAUGUUCACAUCCAGUUUUCUCCAAAACUGCUGCAACCCCUUGGGCACCUGCGAAGGCACAAAAAUCCCCACGAUCGCUAAAUAUUUCAUCAAAAGCUUCGACUUCUUCGCCGAUCCAUUGAAUGACUCCUUCGGGAUCGCCUCGAAUAAAUUUUUGCUCCGGUGAUUAUGCACCCACCUUUGCAAAACUGUCUUUCAGUUUCAUUACACAGUCCAUGGAUACUUCGUAGCAUUUCUCUCUGGAACCCCGAAGUUCUUCAACAUUCUUUUCCAGCCUGGAGCUUGUCCAUUCACUUAUCUCUUGUUUUGCCUUUGCAAGUUCAUAAUUUUCGCUCAUUUUGGCAAGUUUUUUCUGAAGGUCUUCGACUUCGACUUUGUGAGCUUCUGAUUGUGCAUUAUGUUUUGCUUUGUUGCUCUUCAGCUUAUCUACUAAGGAAAACAAUAUUUUAUCUUUUUCAAGCGCCUCGUUCCUUAGUGUAAUAACUUCUGCCUGAAGGUUCCCAAGGGCUAUUUGGCAACUUUUGUCUUCUGCUUUUUUUUGUGCCCUUAAAGCCUUGCAUAGGAUUAAGCCCUACAAAAAAUAAAGGAUUAGUACACAAUAAUAAGAAAAGAUAGAAAAAGUAAUCUGCUUAUAAGCUAAAACAUCCUCACCUUCAGACUGUUAUAAGCAAGGUUGUCUGCAAGUUCAUCCUUCGACAUGGCAGACAUGCCAAGCUCUAGCUUCGGGAAUCCUAUAUUUUCUGCCAUCUCCCGGCAAACAGAUAUCUCCUUGUUGUCCGAAAGGCAGUACAAAAAGUCGUCUUCGUCAGUGUCAUUAAACACCAAGGAUCCUUUUGGGUACUUUAAAUCACUGGCAUAUUGCUUAGCUUCAACAAUCUACUCUUCCAACAACUGUUUUCCCAAAGCAUGUCGUAUGAUGAAAUAUAGCUCUUCAGUAGGUGCCUCGUGGAUAGGAGAUUUAACCUUCUUGGGUGCGCUUUCUUUUUCCAAGAUCAAAGUAGCUCCCGAAGGAUUUGCUUCAGUAGAAGCUGGCGGUCCAGCUCCGCUAGUUUCCUUUGUAUUUCUCUCACCCAUGCUACUGUAGAGGCAGGAGUUAGUACCUUUUUUGACUCUAUGACAGCGUCUAGUACGCUGGCCCUUCUUCUCCUUUUUGGAGUUACUGCAGGCAUUUUUGACAUCUUCGGCAGCUCCGUCUCUUGCGACGGACUCAGAAUCUUCGGUUCCUCUGCCGACUUCCUCAAAUCUGGCUCUUCGGCUGUUUUUGCCUUAGCUUCGGCAAGACGCUUCGGCACUUCAGCUGUCUCAGCUUUCAGCUAUUCUGUUAUUACCUUCGGUUCAGGCACUUCGGCCGACUUUCCCUUAGCUUCAGUGUGAGUGGGGCAGUCUGAUCCAGAAGCAGAGGGCCCUUCAGCAGGUUUCGGCGCUUCGGCCACCUCAGCGCGCUUGGGGUGAUGUGUUAAAAUCUUAAUAUUUUUCUGCUUCGGCGUGCUGGCGAUCACCGAGGUAGCAGAUUUUCUCUUUAUUCCUUGUUUUUCCAAAGGAUAGCGAUAAUCCGGGUAUACGAAGCCAAUAACGUCAAAAACACUAUUCAACCUUUUCUUGCCCCAUCCUCCGAUGGCCAAUGUCAUGGCAUUGUCUUCGGCCCUUGUGUAGGCACCUAGUAACUCAUCGCUAGUUGCCUCAGUACAAUCCAACCAGUCAUCAUUCGGCUCAUCGAAUUGAUCUAUGUACCUGAAGGUGUAUUUCAGAUAAAUUAAGCCGCUUUGACUGGACCCGGCGACAGCUUCCUUCGGCAUCUCCAAGCCACUUCCAAGAGGCCACACUCUAUAAGCAAUAUGCUCCUCGACUAAGUCCCUUGUGCCAAUAUAAGUGCAUACAAUGUUAAAGGCCACCUGACAUGCUUGAAUAUCAUUUCCAAGGGCAGUGGCUGGCCUCCUAAUGCCGAAGCGAGACCAGAUAGGGCGUUGAAUGAUCCCUUUAUAUCUUCUCUUUCAACUAAGUUAUUCUUCACAUAAAACCACUCUUGGAUCAAGGCUCCUGGCCACCUUUUCCGAAAUGUCGGGACUGGAUAGCACACAUCAGAGCGAGGCACGAAAUCAUAACAACCAAAAUUAUUAUGAUAUUGUUCUUUGCCAGUAGCCUUCGUCUCACAGGAUAGCUCAUGCAUGUUGCAGAAUGUAGCAUCCCAAAAAUUCAAAUCUUGAAUUUUUCUCAAACUUGCUCUAAAUUCAAAAUGAAUUUUAAAUUUUGUUUCAAAAUGUUUGUUUGCAAGUUGAUCUCAACAAAUAAAUUAUAGUGGUCUAUAUUCUCUCCAAAAUCCUCCUCAAAAUAUCCUACAAAUAUUUCCCCAGAGAUCCCCUCUGAUUCUUUCCAGAAAUACUGCCCAAAUAUUCCACCGAUAAUUCUCCAAAUAUUUUCCUCCCGAGAAAUACCUUCAGAAUCAUUUUUAAAGUCCCCACAAAUAUUUUAUUCAAAACUUUCUUCAUGCUCAUACGUAUACGUACGCCUCCGGUGUCAUACGGUGAGCUCUACAAGCUAAUUACACUUAUACAAGACAAAUCCAUGCUUAUCUCCCACUAAUCCUCGUAUCCUCCCACUAAUCCUUUCAUCCUCCCCCCUAAUCCGCCCACCUUGGCUAUAAAUAGAGGGGCAAGGGCCUCCUCUUAAGCCACCCAAGCCAUUUCAUGGCAACUCUCUCCCUCCCCCCCCCCACACGCCUACUCCACUUCCCACACAAGCACACACUAGCACAAGGAUCGUUCGGUCGUUCUUCGAUCGUUCGUCCACCUGUUCUUAGUUUGUUCGUUCGUUCGUCCGUUCGUCCGAUCAUUCGAUCGUUCAUCCAAAUAAUCUUUGUUCAACCGUUAUGCUGCCGAAAUUCCGAUCGUUCGUUCGUUCGAUCAUUUGAUCGCUCAUCGUUCGUUCAUAGUUCCUAUUCAUCGUUCAUCGUUCGUUCAUAGUCCCUAUUCAUCGUUCGUCCAAAUAAUCUUUGUCCAGCCGUUAUGCUGCCGAAAUUCCGAUCGUUCGUUCGUCCGAUCAUGCGAUCGUUCGUCUGUUCAUUCAUAGUCCCUAUUCAUCGUUCGUUCAUAGUCAUUAUUCAUCGUUCGUUCAUACGAACUAUUCACCAUCACUAUUUAUCGUUAAUACUCAUUAUCAUUACUAUUCAUCGUUACUAUUCACCGACACUAUUCAUCAUCGUUACUAUUCAUCCCUGUUACUAUUCACCGAUGAUAUCUAUAAUUACUUUUCAUCGUUACUAUUCAUCGACCAUUCGAUCACCCCAAAUUUCAACUACUCAUCCAUCAUGUUGUCCAGUCCACCUAAGACCUGCCAGACCAAUAUUCCAGUCAUACGAACUCCGGUGACUAUGAUUUUCCUUCCAGUAAGAACUUCCCAUCUGGUCACCCAUCCCAGGUUUCUCCAAGUUGACCAUGCUUAACUUUGAGAUUCCUUCGAACCAGGCUUCCAAACUCAUAUUCUAAUAAUUCUUGUUUCUAAAUUCUUAUCAAACUAUUCCCUAUCCAACCAUGUCAUCCCUUAAUCAUGGUUCAUAUUCCAGAAAACUGCCAAAAUACUCUUGUCCCAUAUUCUGCCUAUAACUCUCAUGUUCAUACUAAGUCAGACGAUUCAUUUGUCACUAUUCUCACCAACAGUGAACUUCACUAUGCUACACCACAUACACCCAGCUAUAAAUACACCCAGUUACCCUCUCCCUCUCCACACACACUCACACCCUCAGCCAAGGCAAACACCCCACCCACUCAGUUACUCCGCUCUGCCGACUACGCGCAUAGUGUCUCUUUGCCUCCAAUCCACCCUCCUGGUGACCUCCACUCCACCACCAGUAAUAUCACAACACCACAUGACACCGAUUCUGCUCAAGACUCUACCCGUUCGUAUAUCGCCAUUCUGACCACUAUACUAAAUAUUUGUUGGUAUACUUGCUGGUUUGUAUGUUUACUUAUUCAUGUUGCAUAGUUAUCAGAGCAUUCGUGUUGUCUCGUGAAGGCCAGAUCUGCAAGUCUACGACAGGCGGUGGAGCUAGAAGCCAGUUCCGCGAGCUCUCCCCUUUCGCUGGAUAAGCACGGCAAGCUCACUGGAUCCCUUUGAUGCUUAAAUUACCUAAGCAUUUUCAACCACAACCCUCGGCCUGUUAUUUUAUGCAUGAUAUGAUUUUGAGACAAGUUAUUAUGGCCACCCAGCCGCUUGUUGCAAUCAAUCUUUAUACUCCUUGACAUAUUUGUUACAAAUGAUUUGAGAAAAGGUGUGAGUUUUCAAAAGAAAAAGUUUUCCAAAAUGGGUAUGAUGAAGGGUUGUCACCCUUAUCACCUUUUAAGCGGGAUGACCAGGGGCUCCCUGGUUUAGGGGAGGGCCUCAGGUGUUGGCUCAGCUGGUUUAGGUGUGAGCAAAAGGAUUGUCCCCUCAUAUAAGGACUGGUUUGUCAUCCUUCACUACCUGUACUCAUGACAAGUACAACCACUCGAGACUGUAUGGGCAGUCACUCAAUCUGAACUCGUACGGUCCAAACCCCAUGGUUGUGAUGGCUGGGGAGCACCGGGAGGAUAAGGAGGGGAAAUGUUUUGUCCGAUUUGGACAUGGCGGUGGCCUGAAUCCUUCUGGUAUAACCAUUAAGGUAAGGACGUGCAAGGAAAGUGAGAGAUUCGGCAUUCGGAUCUCACGACGAUGAGAUUGCAGAAGCUGGACUAGUGGGUAAAGUGUACACCUCUGCGCAGAGUUCAAACCUAUUCGAAUAGUCCAUGUCCACUGGAAUGGACGAGUCUGGUGUGGUAUGACAAUUAGUGUUAUGUUUUCCAAAAAUGCUUUUGAAAAAUGGUUUUAAAAGGUCCAGCGGUUGAGCCGUGAGCUAUGGUGGACGGGAAGUCCAGUAGUUGUUUUUGAAAAUGAAAACCAGUAGUAAACUGCUGAGAUACCUGGAUGGUUUAGUCCAGGGGAUUUUGCUCUAUAUUGAAAAACUUCCUGCUCCUUAGGGAGAGGAUGCGCUUUGAAAAAUACAAAAUGUUUUCAAAAUAACCCUGCAUCAAAUAGUGCUAUUUCUGCAAAAUAUCCUGAGCUCCACAUAUUCCAUGAAUUAUAUCUGAUUUCCCCAUUCCGUGGAUGAAGGUGGGCUGCUGAGUACGUAAGUACUCACCCUUGCUUAUUUGUUGUUUUUCAGAAAAGGAGAUCGCUGAUCGGGUAAGAGUUACGUCUGUUCCCAACCUUGCCUGUGGCUGUUGGACCGCUGAUUUGCUUCACUGCGUAUAUCGGGCUGCUUCAGCCCCACUCUGAUGAUAUGUAUCGAGUUGUGGACCAACUCUUAAAGUUGUUCGCCACCUUUAUAGGUUUGUCUUGUUUAAGCAGAUCUGAAAUUAUCUGAUGUAUAAAUGUGUUUACUAGCCUCCUGGGACUAGUAAUUGUAUCACAUUUGAGUCCCAGAGGAUUGGGGCGCUUCACAGAAGCAUUUUGCAUUCGACUCUAAACCCUGGCUUCUCUUGGCCCAAACGAAAAUCCCCAUUCUGAUGAUGGCUUCAGGGGUAAUCUAAUGAAGGUAAGUUUCAAAAGUCUUCAAAACUUCAACUAAAAAUUUGUUCAGGGGGAAUCGAAGCCCUACUUUCAUAAAACUCUUGUAGACAACAACUUCAUCUACUUCGGGCACAGGGGCACUGCUAUCCCCUCCAGCCCUCACGAUAGAGAUAUCGCGGAAGUAUCUUCCUUUCAUUGCAUCAAUCUGACUCUGUUUGAUGGUUGAUUUACCAAAAAUGGUAUGACUCGGUCGCCAGGGCCGAUCUUCGGCACCUUCGUUUCCACUUUCUAAGUCAAAACUUUCACUAUCGCUAGAUUCUUCAGAUAAUCCAGCCAGCAUCUCAUUGGUAAUCUUCUCUGUAUUUGUCUUCUCCAUAGCUUCAUAAAACCCGGCCAAUGCAGGGUCAGCAAUCUUCUUCUCUCCAGCCAUUUAGACAACGGUUGCACGAUUGCCGAAGCUCACAAUUCAAUCAAUGCUUGGAAGAGCAAGAAAAUUUAGAACGAUGAGCACAAUAUAUGCAGCUAAAAUGGUGCAACAAAUGCUAUCAAUGUGGGUCCCUAUUUAUAUGCCCAAUGCCUCACAACUUGGUAGGCCAUACAUGUCGGUGUCUUUCGCUAUUAUAGCGAUGGGAAGGUGUUUUUUCGGACCUUCAGCUAAAGGCCUUCGUUUACGUCACAGUCUAAAUUUGUUACAAAGAAACAAAUUAAUACUGCGAGGGGCUACUAUUGGGGACCUUCCUCUUCCGAAGGUCCUCAAAAACGUGACUAAUCAUAUGUUUUCAGUAUCACAUAGACUAUUACUGGAAACUUCGGCUUUGGGAUUAAGACGUGUGACAUGAGGAUACAACCCGAAGGCAACAUGGAUGGACGCCGAAGCUAUGGCUAAAGGAGCUUCGACUUGGCAUGUUAGUGAAGAUGAAGGACGAAACCGACCUAAGGAGAAAAGACUACUUAGUCCUUGAUAGUUUGCAUUAUGAUUAAGAGUAGAUGUCAGGGGCAUGAAUGUAAUCUUAUCUGGGCUGUGUCUCAUGCCUAUAAAUAGAUGAACAGUAACACCGUACUGUCCACGCUGGAUUGUAAUCGCUCCUACGUCACUCUCGCAUCUUCACCUUUUGGCAAGCCUAAGGUAUCAAUGUAAUAUGAAUAUUGUUGAUGUUUAUUCAUGUCUAUGAAAUGAGAAUAUAAAUAAUUUACUGAUUUGUAAUCAUUAUUUAUAUUCUUUUGUAUUUCAUGUACCUUUACUUAUAUUUGUUCACUAAGAUGAUGAAGGUAUGCCCUUCAUGACCUUCGUCUGGAGGCCAUUAUAUCCAAAAGGAGAUAAUGCUCCGAAGGACGAAGGUCUCUAAUUAUUAACAAUCGUGUUGUCUUGUUCUUGAUGUAUAGCAUUUGAGAACAAGGACCAACAAUGUCCAACUAUGUAAUCGAUGUGUACGUGAAUUUCUGAUCCUAACACGUACAUGGUUCGCAUUCGGUUUCCCUUCUAAAACUGGUUGUGACAGUUGUCAACUCUAAAGUUACAUAACUUUUCGAGAUCCACAACUUUUAUAUUGAUAGUUUCUUCAUCCGUGGUCAUUUACAAAAUUUAAAAACUUAAAACAUAUUUUUCUAUGACUGUAAUGGUGUAUGUUUAUUUAUUUGGCUUACGUAUUCUUUUUGUAUGUACGAUACGCAAAUCGAUGCUAGAAGUUGACUGUGAGGUAGACGAACCAAACUCGUUCGAGGACGACCCACAUGACACUUUCGAGCAAGGCAAGUGGAUUCUCCCUCUGCAUAUUCUAUUUGUACCCAAGUAAUACAUAUAAUAAUUGUGGCGGAACUGCCCGAAUUAUUCCAACUUAAGUGCCUAAGCCCCGCCUUAGAGGCUAGACCACACUUAAAUGGGAAUAACCCGUCAAUCCCUCGGAUCUUGUCCGACACGACCACUGACAGGAUCAAGUACCACAAUCUCACUCGAAGGUGAGUCACAGAGCAAAUACAAUAAAGCAUAAAACCAUGCAGGUAAGAGUAUUAAAAUUAUUACAUCACCAUCGGAGUUUUGCCAAAAGUAACCAUCAUUGUUCGAAGUGCAGCGGAAAUAAACUAACGGUAAAUAAUUAGAGAGAUGGGGAAGCCCGUCCCAUCACUCCUCAUGCUCCUCCUCAGCCGAGGCAGGGUCCCACUCGACAGUCCAACCCGGUGGCAAGGUGGACGGCCAAGUUAUUCCAGCAACCAUUUCCUCCAGGGAACCUGUAAAAAUUAUGCCACAAGCAAGGCUGAGUAUACUAAUACUCAGCUAGACUUACCCGGUGUGAGGAGUCUACUCCUCUACCUCUAGACAUGCAGUUGUUUGGCUGUGGGGUUUGGUUGCCAAAAGCACUAGCUGAGUUUCUAAAUCAAGUUUUUAACUUUGUCAAAAUUAAGUGUGACUCUCUUAAGGCUAAAAGUGUACUAUCUACUCAUACAUAGUAGCAAGCAUUAUUAGCAAUCAACAUCUUAUAUCAACUCAUCAUAUGUCCACUUGUUACUCAAUGCAGUACAAUGGAUCAAGCAGUCUCAUUAGCUGCGAGAAGCAGACGAUUCGAAUCGAGUUUUUAUCCUUGCAAGGUAAACCUAAACACACGACGUGGCGAGGCACUCCGUCCCCACACACAUCAACCGUUCCCAUCGAUUCCCCGUCAGUAGAGAGGGGCUCACCGCCUUGGCGUACAAUGCCUCACUGACCCCGACUGCCGUCGUGCAGUGACCGCACUUGUACCCACCAUAACCGGAAUGGGAGACCUCGUCUCAGGUCGCGUGAGGAGGGCAAACUGCUGCCAUGUUCAAUCAGGUACUAGGCUUACCGAUUUACCAUAUUUCUCGGCAUGUGCUUAGUACGUUCAAACGCUUGACACAGGUAUCCGCACGUUAAUCCUUAUUCCAUUUUCCCAUCUCGUAAACAACCAAUCCCCAUGGAUUGUUGUCCACCAACUAGUAUCAUGAUAGUGUGAAAGUGGGUACAAUCAAUUUCUUGAUCUCGCGCGAGUGCUAGAAAAAUCACUCGUCUUCUACCGAGAUCCUAAUUAAAUAAAGCAACUAAUCGACCUAUCAUACUAGUAUUCAUCUCAAAAGGAUUCCUGAGAUCAUGCAACUAGGGUUUCAAACAAUUCCUACACCUAAGUGCACAAUCAAUCCUACAAUCAUUAAGUGAAGUAAAAUAGCAUAAAUAACAGGUUAUGCAUAAAACCGGGGCUUGCCUUCCAAAGCAGUGGCAGGCAGGUCCUCUGGUGCAGGCUCGGGUGCUGGAUCCGGGGCUACCUCCUGAGCAGCUCCUUGCUCCGGCACGGGGAUGUACUCUCCGUCAGCAAGGUUAGAGUCUAUCCAAUGCAAUGAACAUGUAUGUCAUGAUUAUGCAGGAUUUAAUAACAUUCUGCUAAAAAGAAACUAAGUCAAGAAGUAACUUAGGGUUUUCUUGGUUAUGUGGGGCUUUUAGUGGGUUAGACUUAUCACCCUUAGGCUUAGGUUUUUGUUGAGGAUAAAUAUAGGGAAUUUGUAUUGCUCUUGUACCCUUCAGUGGAUGAGAUGCAAAGGAUUUUAGGAUGGCACCAUUUUCUAUUACCCACUUUCCCCUUUCUUUUAUUUUCUACUUAUGGUUUCUAGGGUAGGUUUGAACUAUGACAGGGGUCUAAUAUUUUCCAAAAAUUCUGUAAAAAGUACAGAGGGUUGCCAUUGGCUAUUCUAGCCUGUUUUAAGAAUUUGAGGCUUAAUGUACAAAGGCUAGGCUUUAAACAAAAAUAACAAGAGUUAUGCAAAAUGGGCCACUUUACACUACAUCUCUUAGUUAGGGGUGGGUUCUGUCCUAAAGGUUAUUUUUGCUGGCAUCCAAUAGUAAUAAUAGGCUUAUGUGCUAAAAAUCACAGAAAACUAAGGGGUGGUUAUUGAGUUAUGAUUUUCUUAAGUUUAAUGUCAAAAAGGCACUUUCUACUACAUUAUUAUUUGAAAAAUGUCAAACAGCAGAUUUCAUAUUUUUCCUAAGUUCUCAUUAAUAAAACAUUAGUUAUCCCAAGGGUGGGGGUGUUUUUACCUUGGGGUUUUUUUAUAGGUUUUUUCUAAGUUAUCCUUAUUUUAUUAAAAUAAAAGGUAUCCUACUUAUUUUAUACUAAACCAGGGUAUGAUAGAUUUUUCCAGUGAACUAUAUUGAAUAAGGAUCCUAACAAAAAUAGAGGUGCUCUCUGGUUCAUUAUUUAUACCCCCUUUUCUAUUUUUCUUAAUCCUAAGCAUAUUGCACAAUAAGGGGUAAAGACUAACUUAUUGGGGUGGACAGAGAGGUUUAACAUUUUUAAACAGGUCAGUAGGUAGAUAUAAACUUUUCCAAAUUUUUCUAACCCUAGUCAAAUAGCACAACUAUUUUUCUUUCUAUUAUUGAGCUUUUGGCUAAAACUAACAUUAAAUCAGAACUUUAAAGUUUUCUUUAGUACAUAGGGGGUUUUAUAUUUUUCUUAAGUGGGUUACAUUAUUUAGAGUCUGACAAAAUUGGUUUGACCAAAUUUGGAUGAACUAAACAGAAGUUAUGGAUUUUCAAAGUUUCUGUUCAAAUUUAAAAUCAGGUUUAAUAAGGUUUUCUGAAAAAGCAGUUUACACCGAGGUCCCUGGGUUUAAACUAAAUCAACCUUCGCAACUCUACCCUUGCGCCACUAUUCCCCUGAGUCUCUGACAUUUCACAAAACCCCCUGACCUUCUCUCCCUCUCACCCGCAGUCCUUCCCCCUAUGUAAAUAGUAACCGCGGGAAAGAAAAGGGUGGCACGGCUUACCGGCGGCGAGGGAGGUCCGGCGAAGGGUGGGGUUGGCUCGGGGAGACUCUGGCGGUCACGUCGAGGUACGGCUUGACGUCGGGGAUGGCCGGAAUCGCCCGGUCCACGCGCGCAGGCAGGUGUUCUCGUCGGCGGCGAGUGUACCGGCCAAACCACGGCGAACUGGUUCAAUCCAAGGGCACGGUGAGCUUCACGGGGUAACGUAGUGACCGUGUGCACAAGGAAUCGAGGGAUGGUUGAGUGGAUUACCAGGUCCACGUACUCCGGCGGGGUUGAGAGCUCCGGCGAGCGUGGACUGGCCUCUCCGGCAAAGCAAACUCCGAUUCCUCGCUCGGGGAGCUUCACGGAGGUGUGCACAGUCUUCUCCGAGGGCUGGACGGGGUUGGGAAUGGCUCUAUUGGCCGGUCUACGGUGGCAGAGGGAUUGGGCGACCGCGGACACGCUGCGCAUGGGCAAACGGCGGCGAGCUAAACUCCGGUGAGGUUUGAGGGUGCGCGGAAGAGUGCAGCCGAAGCCUGGGAGGGCUUUAUAGGCGCGGGCGCGGGCCAUGGCGCUAGCUUGGCUCGGGCGCGGCGCUGGGCAUGCGGGGGCGCGCGCGAGCGUGCUCUGGCGCGGGCAGGAAGCGUCGAACACGUAGAGGUGUGUUUCUUCCAUUGUUCAAACGCCUGCAGAGAUCGCAAACGUGCGAAUCUUGCCAUGAAUCCGGCGCAGACCUCUUCCUGGCACCUAGGGCUAUCUCUCAUGUGUGAGUUCCAAUGGAGGAUACGCCUUAGAUCAGGAGAUAGACGGGCGCCAAAUCUGGCUUGUCUCACUGCCCACCUCGCGACAAAACUGAUGCCAAUACCUGUCAAACGUCAAAGUCUCGGUUUCCACUUUUUCCAGGGGGUGCCUUAGGUGGUAUACCACAUUUUUGGUAUAGGACCUAAGUGGUUUUGGUGCCAUCUUCAAGGUGAUCACGGUUGGUCUUUGGAUUAGGGUUAGAAUUUGACUUAGAGGGAAAAUAGAGAGCUCUAGCUCUCUCUCUCUCCACUUGGGGAUUUGAAUUGGGGUUUCUCCAGGGGUCUUUUUGCAAUAUUUCCCUCCCCUAAUUGCUGGUUAUAAGGUUACUUAAGGUUUGGGUACAUGUUACUCAUGCUUUGCACACUUGCUCACUCUCUUUUCCCUCUUAUCUAGGGUUUUGGGAGAUAGGGUUUAAGAGAGGUCUAGGGUUCUUCUCCCCUCUUAUCCAAGGUAGUAAGUGUGCAAGGAUUAGAGUAAUGCUUCUUAGGUCAUUGGCAACUUGAUUAGCACAUGAUCUCCAAAGUUCUUAUGUGUUGCCCUAAGCCUCUACCACAUAUAAUUCACAGUCCUUAGUGCCAAGGUGUGCUCUAGCCAUGGUAACACCUGGGGUGUUACAGCCGUCCCCCCUUAAAGGAAUCUCGUCCCGAGAUUUUAGGUAGAGUCCCUUGGAGGGUGCUUGAAGGUGUGUUGGUGUUAUUUUUCCUUUACACUUAAAUUUCUCUUAUUAACUGCUCUUCGAAUGUCAUUCUCUUUGCAACUUCAGAAGGAAGCCCUUCUUAAGUUAAAUCCACAACUUAGACUAUCCUUGUUAUCUAAGUUUUUCUUAUAAUUGAAUUCAAAGGGCAGGUGGGGGUGGGGUUUUGGGGUUACGUACCGACUCCUUUGGGCAGAAAGUCGGGAAAGCGAGAGCGUAGAAAAUCCUCAGUCUCCCAUGUAGCUUCUUCUGCUGAAUGGUGACUCCACUGAACUUUAUACAUUCUGACCGACCUUGCCCGAGUUGAUCUUUCCUUUUGAUCUAAUACCAUGACGGGGUACUCUUGGUAGGACAAGUCUGGUUCUAUCUCAAUGUCUGGUUCCGGUAACACUUCAGUGGGUAGGCGAACACAUUUCCGCAGCUGAGAUACAUGGAACACAUUGUGAACUGCUGACAUGUGAGGUGGUAAUUCCAACUGAUAGGCUACAGGUCCACAACUUGCUUUGAUUUCAUAGGGUCCAAUGUAGCGAGGGGCUAACUUGCCCUUGAUCCCGAAUCUCUGGACACCCUUGGUGGGUGAUACCUUAAGAUAGACAUGAUCUCCCACCUCAAACUGUAGAGGCUUCCGCCUCUUAUCAUGAUAGCUCCUUUGCCUAGCCUCAGCAGCUUCUAAGUUCUUGGUAAUAGUCCUGACCUUUGCCUCUGCCUCAAGUACCAAGUCUGGCCCAAAAAUUUCCCUUUCUCCUGCUUGAGACCAAUUCAGUGGGGUCCUACACCUUCUCCCAUAUAAGGCUUCAAAAGGUGUCAUCUUCAGACUGGACUGAUAGCUGUUAUUGUAAGAAAACUCUGCCAAAGACAGACACUUGUCCCAAUCCUUUCCAUAGUGUAGUGCACAUGCUCGCAACAUGUCUUCCAAAAUCUGAUUCACCCUUUCUGUCUGGCCAUCUGUUUGAGGGUGAUAUGCUGAUCUUCGGAUUACUUGGGUCCCAAGUGAUUCUUGCAGUUUCUCCCAAAAGCGUGCCACAAACAGUGCUCCUCUGUCAGAUAUGAUGGUCUUUGGAAUACCAUGCAAUCGCACUAUUUGAUCAACAUAAAUUUCUGCAUACUUUUCUGUCUUGUGGGUGGUGUGCACUGGCAAGAAAUGAGCGGUCUUAGUCAACCUGUCCACGAUAACCCAAAUAGAAUCAUGGUGCCUGGAGGUAUUGGGUAAUCCCACUAUGAAGUCCAUGCAAAUGUCCUCCCAUUUCCAAGAUGGUAUGGGAAGGGGUUGCAAAGGGCCUGCUGCCUUCAAAUGACUAGCUUUGAUUCUCUGGCAGGUAUCACACUCAGAUAUGUACUUGGCAAUUUCCCUUUUCAUUCUAGUCCACCAAUAUAAAGAUCUAAGAUCAUGGUACAUCUUGUUGCUACCAGGAUGCAUGGAGAAUUUGGAGAGGUGAGCUUCAUCUAGUAUCUUCUUUCUGAGCUCAGGGUCCUUGGGAACAACUAAUCGGUCUCCAAACCAUAGAAUUCCCUUGCUGUCCUGUCGGAAACACGUGUAUUUCUCUGCCUUUUGCUUGACCAUUUCCUUAAUCAUUUGGACACCUUUAUCCUCAAUCUGGGCCCUUACUAUUUGCUCUUGCAAUGUGGGUUCCACCGAGAUAUAACUUAAGUCACCCGAAGAAACAACUUCCAGGUUCAGCUUGCACAACUCAUCGCACAGGGUGGUGACUCUUGCAUCCAUGCUCAUACAAUUGCAUUGGGCCUUUCUGCUCAAAGCAUCCGCCACAACAUUGGCCUUACCUGGGUGGUAAUGCACCUCCAAAUCAUAGUCCUUGAUUAACUCUAACCAUCUCCUUUGCCUCAUGUUCAGAUCAGCCUGAGUGAAGAUGUAUUUGAGACUCUUGUGAUCGGUGUAGAUGUUACAGUGAGCUCCCAUCAAGUAGUGUCUCCAUAUCUUAAGAGCAUGAACUACAGCUGCCAAUUCUAGGUCAUGUGUAGGGUAGUUCUGCUCAUGGGGCCUGAGUGCUCGGGAAGCAUAAGCAAUGACUCUGUUUUCUUGCAUCAAGACACAUCCCAAUCCAGUACCAGAAGCAUCACAAUAAACUUCAAAUGGCUUGGUGUUGUCAGGUUGAGCCAACACUGGGGCUGUUGUCAAAUGCUGCCUCAAUGUGUGAAAGGCAUCUUCACACUUUUGGCUCCAAUUAUACUUGACUCCCUUUUUCAACAGUUCAGUCAUUGGUUUGGCAAUUCUGGAAAAAUCCGAGAUAAAUCGUCGAUAAUACCCUGCCAAUCCCAGAAAACUCUGAAUCUGCCUCACUGUAGUCGGGGGUUUCCAAUCCAUCACUUCUUGUACCUUCUCAGGAUCAACUGAUAUCCCAUCCUGAGAAAUUGUAUGACCCAAGAAUUUGAUUUCCUUCAGCCAGAACUCACAUUUAGACAACUUAGCAUAAAGAUGAUGAUCGCGCAGCCGCUGAAGCACGAUGUGCAGGUGCUCAGUAUGUUCGUCUUCAUUCUUGGAAUAGACCAGAAUAUCAUCAAUGAAAACGACCACGAACUUAUCCAAUUCUGGCAUAAACACUGAGUUCAUCAGGUACAUAAAAUAAGCCGGGGCAUUGGUCAGCCCAAAAGACAUCACCAAAAAUUCAUACAACCCAUAUCUGGUAGAGAAAGCCGUCUUGGGAAUAUCGCUGGCACGGAUCUUGAUCUGAUGGUACCCUGAGCGAAGGUCUAUCUUGGAGAAUACCUUGGCUCCUACCAACUGAUCGAACAGAACAUCAAUACGGGGCAGUGGGUAUUUGUUCUUGAUAGUCACUGCAUUAAGAGGGUGGUAGUCAACACACAUCCUCAAACUCUCAUCCUUUUUCUUCACAAAUAAUGCUGGACAUCCCCAUGGUGAAGUACUUGGGCGAAUAAACCCCUUGUCCAACAAUUCUUGAAAUUGCUUCUUCAAUUCUGCCAAUUCCGCGGGAGGCAUCCUAUAGGGUCUCUUGGAGAUAGGAGCAGUCCCGGGUUGCAACUCAAUUGCGAACUCAAUGUCUCGGUCAGGUGGCAUUCCUGGCAAUUCAUCCGGAAAAACAUUCGGGUAGUCACAGACCACUGGGAUCUUUUCCACUGGGGACUCUAUCAUAACGAAAGCACAAGAACGAGUACAUCCCUGGUCGGGCAAAUACAAAACAGUCUCGCCAUAAGCAGGGGAAUGAAUUUCAAUGGCCCUGGCUGCAAUAUCCAAUACUGCCUGAUGCCUGGUCAACCAGUCAGCUCCCAAAAUAAUAUCCACGCUAUCCAAUCCUAAGAUGAGAAGGGUGGUUCUAAUCACCAGACUACCAAAUUUUAUAGGCACUUGCCUGUUGAUUUGAUAAGUGGCAACUCUGCCUCCUGGUGUUGAAAUUGUAAUGCCCCCAUCGGUAUGGUGAAAGGGCAACUGGCAUUUGGCACUAAACUUGGCACUGAUAAAACUAUGUGAAGCACCGGAAUCAAAAAGAACAAUAGCGGGAUAAUUUAAAACUGUAAAGAUACCAGUCAUGACGGGUGCUCCCUCUGGAAUAUCAGCCAUGGUGGUGAAGUUCAGCCUGCCUUGCCUCACUUGCACCUUAUGCCUCUUCCCUUGGUUCUGAUUAACAUUCUGCCCCUGCCUCUGCUAGUUCCUGGGGCAAUUCUUGGCAUAGUGCCCGGUGUUGCCACAUGUGAAACACCUGUUGUCAUUUGUCUGGCGGUACUGCUGCUGCUGCUGACUGUUCCUCUGAGCUGGAAACUGGGCGCGGUUGGGUGCCUGCUGCUGCUGCUGCUGCUGGGGUCGGAUCACCCAUCGCCCUUGCUGCUGCUGGGGUCCCCUGUUCUGAGUGUCGGAUACAAUCCUGAAGCGCUGUGGCUGAGCUGAUGGUCCUGCCACAGGGGUCUUCCUCUUCUUCUCCGCCUGUCGGGCUGAAAUGCAGUCCUCCUGGGAGAUAGCCAUGUUGACCAACUCAUUGUAACUGUUGGCCCUGACGGUGUUGAGACGGUCACGGAGCUUGGUGCUGAGCCCCCUCCUGAACCUGUCUCUCUUCUUCUCAUCCGUAUCUGCGUGAUACCCAGCAUACUGGCAUAGGUCAUUAAAAGCCUGGGCAUACUGCAACACUGUCAUGUUGCCCUGAGUGAGUGCCAAAAACUCAUUGAGCUUCCGGUCCAUAAUCCCGACUGGUAUAUGGUGUCCCCUGAAAGCUGCCUUGAACUCCCUCCACUCCACCUCUCGGUCCUCUGGCUGCAUAGCAAGAAAAUGAUCCCACCAAGUCCUUGCAGGUCCGCGAAGCUGCUGGGUGGCGAACCUGACUUUGGUGACCUCUGAGCAUGCUCCAUGGAGUAGUGGGAAUUUGGAUUCCACCACUCGCAACCAUACAUCUGCAUCAAGUGGGUCCUCCGCCCUUGUGAACAAUGGAGGCUGGGUGCUAAGGAACUCCUGGUAGGUGGUUGCCGCAGGGUGACGCUGAUGGUCCCCACCACCAUAGUGCUGAGGUGGUGGCUGACGCUGAGCUAGCUGCCUCAAAAUCUCAUUCUGCUGAGCCAUGAGCUCCUGCAGAGUGGGAGGCGGUGGAGGCGGUGGAGGAACGCGCUCGUUCUGGCCACGACGCUGCCUCCCGGCCAUCUGAAAAACCACAUACAUACUUAACACCACAUUUCCAAGUUCAAGAUUUUAUCGCGGAGGAAAAGUUAAAACAACAUGAUAGACUCCGACUUCAACAAAAGGAUUUUAAAAAGGCACAAAUUCUUCCUUCCAAAUUUAAACUGAUGACAGCAUCCAUCAAACAAGCUUCCAAGAGAGUUUAGCACGAUUACAUCAAUUGUCCCAAAAUGACUCAACUCUAUCUAGCCUAGUACCCCAAGGGUGCAAAAGCUAAGCUAGCUGCGAGGAGUCCGACUAUCCAACUUCUAAGCCUAUCCUGAACACCUAGUGAGCGAACGAAGCAACACUUGACUCGGGGGAAGGUGGUCUUCCCGAGCCAGCAGUGUCCACACUGGAGGCAGGCUCAUCUCCUCCCUCGAUGUCGACGUCCUCGUUGGCCUCCAGGUCCUGGAUCUCCUGGUGAUGCAUAUCCAGGUGCUCGUUAGCCUCAGCAAGCUGCUGCUGAGUGUUAAUGAGCUGAUCCUCUAGAACCUCGAUGGUGUUCUCCCUGGUGCCCACUAGCUCCUCCAACUCUUGGAUAUCAGUGGAUAGCUGCUCCACCUGCAAGUCCUUCUCCACCAUUUCUUGGGACAAGUCAACCACGAGUUCCUCUCUGUUGUCCAACAUAAUCUUUGUUGCCUCCAGCAGUGCCAUCAGAUGGGACAUCGCCUCACCGCGCAUCACCUGCAGACGGUACAGAGCAUUCAUGCACCGUACGGUCAAGUGCGCGGUCUGUCCUGGGUAGAUGGCCCAGAUAUCCUUGGCAUGCUCCACCCGAUCCUUCCACAUUGGGUCGUCCUCCCUCUCAACGGGGAACAAGCCAAUGGGGUGGGUAGCCAGCUCCAAAGGAUGGAAUCCGCAGAAAGUAGUCAAUCCAUGCAGAGCGAUCGCCUCGAUCGUGUCCUCCGCUCGGUAUCCGAAAGACUCGGAGUCCAAAGAGCGCCAGCCUGGCUGCAGGGGAUGAGGCUCCAAGGUCAUCCUCACCCUAUAGCGGGGCACUCGGUGCUUCUCGAACUGCUGCACCGCGUACUGAAGGGGUGUCGCGUAUCCGGCCCCCUGAAGUACCUCCCAUAAAAUGCGGGGAAAGCCCUCUCGUGCAAGUCCGUCAGUGUGGGACAGUGCAUUUCCGUCAUCGGAGAAUCCGUGGGAAGUCAUCUGUGUAUGGUUAAGCGUAAAAAGAAAAAGAAUUAUAAAAAGAACAAGAAAAAUAAAACUCAGCCUUUCUCUAGUUAAAUAAAAAGGCACUGGGGACCUAGUUGGUUGUUAUCUGGUGUUUAAGUCCUUAAUUAUCCAUUUGCUUAAUUAAGAAUGCAUGCAUGCUCGUCCUGAACGACCUCACAACAAGAUAAAAGGAAUAGGGAAGAACUCCCAUCCUGUAAAUGUGGCCUGUAGGGCCUAAUCACUUAGCCACCUAGCUACCCUUCUAUCAUCCUAAGGCUUCACGUCCUAGGUCUAUCCUGCUCGUCCUACUAUCUAUCCAACAUUGUUUCUAUCAAGUUUUACUUUGGAAAAGGAUGGUAUUCAUAUUUUAUUGAUUCCUCUGUGGUGGUACAAGCUCUGAUACCAGCUGUGGUGGAACUGCCCGAAUUAUUCCAACUUAAGUGCCUAAGCCCCGCCUUAGAGGCUAGACCACACUUAAAUGGGAAUAACCCGUCAAUCCCUCGGAUCUUGUCCGACACGGCCACUGACAGGAUCAAGUACCACAAUCUCACUCGAAGGUGAGUCACAGAGCAAAUACAAUAAAGCAUAAAACCAUGUAGGUAAGAGUAUUAAAAUUAUUACAUCACCAUCGGAGUUUUGCCAAAAGUAACCAUCAUUGUUCGAAGUGCAGCGAAAAUAAACUAACGGUAAAUAAUUAGAGAGAUGGGGAAGCCCGUCCCAUCACUCCUCAUGCUCCUCCUCAGCCGAGGCAGGGUCCCACUCGACAGUCCAACCCGGUGGCAAGGUGGACGGCCAAGUUAUUCCAGCAACCAUUUCCUCCAGGGAACCUAUAAAAAUUAUGCCACAAGCAAGGCUGAGUAUACUAAUACUCAGCUAGACUUACCCGGUGUGAGGAGUCUACUCCUCUACCUCUAGACAUGCAGCUGUUUGGUUGUGGGGUUUGGUUGCCAAAAGCACUAGCUGAGUUUCUAAAUCAAGUUUUUAACUUUGUCAAAAUUAAGUGUGAUUCUCUUAAGGCUAAAAGUGUACUAUCUACUCAUACAUAGUAGCAAGCAUUAUUAGCAAUCAACAUCUUAUAUCAACUUAUCAUAUUUCCACUUGUUACUCAAUGCAGUACAAUGGAUCAAGCAGUCUCAUUAGCUGCGAGAAGCAGACGAUUCGAAUCGAGUUUUUAUACUUGCAAGGUAAACCUAAACACACGACGUGGCGAGGCACUCCGUCCCCACACACAUCAACCGUCCCCAUCGAUUCCCCGUCAGCAGAGAGGGGCUCACGGCCUUGGCGUACAAUGCCUCACUGACCCCGACUGCCGUCGUGCAGUGACCGCACUUGUACCCACCAUAACCGGAAUGGGAGACCUCGUCUCAGGUCGCGUGAGGAGGGCAAACUGCUGCCAGGUUCAAUCAGGUACUAGGCUUACCGAUUUACCAUAUUUCUCGGCAUGUGCUUAGUACGUUCAAACGCUUGACACAGGUAUCCGCACGUUAAUCCUUAUUCCAUUUUCCCAUCUCGUAAACAACCAAUCCCCAUGGAUUGUUGUCCACCAACUAGUAUCAUGAUAGUGUGAAAGUGGGUACAAUCAAUUUCCUGAUCUCGCGCGAGUGCUAGAAAAAUCACUCGUCUUCUACCGAGAUCCUAAUUAAAUAAAGCAACUACUCGACCUAUCAUACUAGUAUUCAUCUCAAAAGGAUUCCUGAGAUCAUGCAACUAGGGUUUCAAACAAUUCCUACACCUAAGUGCACAAUCAAUCCUACAAUCAUUAAGUGAAGUAAAAUAGCAUAAAUAACAGGUUAUGCAUAAAACCGGGGCUUGCCUUCCAAAGCAGUGGCAGGCAGGUCCUCUGGUGCAGGCUCGGGUGCUGGAUCCGAGGCUACCUCCUGAGCAGCUCCUUGCUCCGGCACGAGGAUGUACUCUCCGUCAGCAAGGUUACAGUCUAUCGAAUGCAAUGAACAUGUAUGCCAUGAUUAUGCAGGAUUUAAUAACAUUCUGCUAAAAAGAAACUAAGUCAAGAAGUAACUUAGGGUUUUCUUGGUUAUGUGGGGCUUUUAGUGGGUUAGACUUAUCACCCUUAGGCUUAGGUUUUUGUUGAGGAUAAAUAUAGGGAAUUUGUAUUGCUCUUGUACCCUUCAGUGGAUGAGAUACAAAGGAUUUUAGGAUGGCACCAUUUUUCUAUUACCCACUUUCCCCUUUCUUUUAUUUUCUACUUAUGGUUUCUAGGGUAGGUUUGAACUAUGACAGGGGUCUAAUAUUUUACAAAAAUUCUGUAAAAAGUACAGAGGGUUGCCAUUGGCUAUUCUAGCCUGUUUUAAGAAUUUGAGGCUUAAUGUACAAAGGCUAGGCUUUAAACAAAAAUAACAAGAGUUAUGCAAAAUGGGCCACUUUACACUACAUCUCUUAGUUAGGUGUGGGUUCUGUCCUAAAGGUUAUUUUUGCUGGCAUCCAAUAGUAAUAAUAGGCUUCUGUGCUAAAAAUCACAGAAAACUAAGGGGUGGUUAUUGAGUUAUGAUUUUCUUAAGUUUAAUGUCAAAAAGGCACUUUCUACUACAUUAUUAUUUGAAAAAUGUCAAACAGCAGAUUUCAUAUUUUUCCUAAGUUCUCAUUAAUAAAACAUUAGUUAUCCCAAGGGUGGGGGUGUUUUUACCUUGGGGUUAUUUUUAUAGGUUUUUUCUAAGUUAUCCUUAUUUUAUUAAAAUAAAAGGUAUCCUACUUAUUUUAUACUAAACCAGGGUAUGAUAGAUUUUUCCAGUGAACUAUAUUGAAUAAGCAUCCUAACAAAAAUAGAGGUGCUCUCUGGUUCAUUAUUUAUACCCCCUUUUCUAUUUUUCUUAAUCCUAAGCAUAUUGCACAAUAAGGGGUAAAGACUAACUUAUUGGGGUGGACAGAGAGGUUUAACAUUUUUAAACAGGUCAGUAGGUAGAUAUAAACUUUUCCAAAUUUUUCUAACCCUAGUCAAAUAGCACAACUAUUUUUCUUUCUAUUAUUGAGCUUUUGGCUAAAACUAACAUUAAAUCAGAACUUUGAAGUUUUCUAUAGUACAUAGGGGGUUUUAUAUUUUUCUUAAGUGGGUUACAUUAUUUAGAGUCUGACAAAAUUGGUUUGACCAAAUUUGGAUGAACUAAACAGAAGUUAUGGAUUUUCAAAGUUUCUGUUCAAAUUUAAAAUCAGGUUUAAUAAGGUUUUCUGAAAAAGCAGUUUACACCGAGGUCCCUGGGUUUAAACUAAAUCAACCUUCGCAACUCUACCCUUGCGCCACUAUUCCCCUGAGUCUCUGACAUUUCACAAAACCCCCUGACCUUCUCUCCCUCUCACCCGCAGUCCUUCCCCCUAUGUAAACAGUAACCGCGGGAAAGAAAAGGGUGGCACGGCUUACCGGCGGCGAGGGAGGUCCGGCGAAGGGUGGGGUCGGCUCGGGGAGACUCUGGCGGUCACGUCGAGGUACGGCUUGACGUCGGGGAUGGCCGGAAUCGCCCGGUCCACGCGCGCAGGCGGGUGUUCUCAUCGGCGGCGAGUGUACCGGCCAAACCACGGUGAACUGGUUCAAUCCAAGGGCACGGUGAGCUUCACGGGGUAACGUAGUGACCGUGUGCACAAGGAAUCGAGGGAUGGUUGAGUGGAUUACCCGGUCCACGUACUCCGGCGGGGUUGAGAGCUCCGGCGAGCGUGGACUGGCCUCUCCGGCGAAGCAAACUCCGAUUCCUCGCUCGGGGAGCUUUACGGAGGUGUGCACAGUCUUCUCCGAGGGCUGGACGGGGUUGGGAAUGGCUCUAUUGGCCGGUCUACGGUGGCAGAGGGAUUGGGCGGCCGCGGACACGCUGCGCACUGGCAAACGGCGGCGAGCUCAACUUCGGUGAGGUUUGAGGGUGCGCGGAAGAGUGCAGCCGAAGCCUGGGAGGGCUUUAUAGGCGCGGGCGCGGGCCAUGGCGCUGGCUUGGCUCGGGCGCGGCGCUGGGCAUGCGGGGGCGCGCGCGAGCGUGCUCUGGCGCGGGCAGGAAGCGUCGAACACGUGGAGGUGUGUUUCUUCCAUUGUUCAAACGCCUGCAGAGAUCGCAAACGUGCGAAUCUUGCCAUGAAUCCGGCGCAGACCUCUUCCUGGCACCUAGGGCUAUCUCACAUGUGUGAGUUCCAAUGGAGGAUACGCCCUAGAUCAGGAGAUAGACGGGCGCCAAAUCUGGCUUGUCUCACUGCCCACCUCGCGACAAAACUGAUGCCAAUACCUGUCAAACGUCAAAGUCUCGGUUUCCACUUUUUCCAGGGGGUGCCUUAGGUGGUAUACCACAUUUUUGGUAUAGGACCUUAGUGGUUUUGGUGCCAUCUUCAAGGUGAACACGGUUGGUCUUUGGAUUAGGGUUAGAAUUUGACUUAGAGGGAAAAUAGAGAGCUCUAGCUCUCUCUCCACUUGGGGAUUUGAAUUGGGGUUUCUCCAGGGGUCUUUUUGCAAUAUUUCCCUCCCCUAAUUGCUGGUUAUAAGGUUACUUAAGGUUUGGGUAUGUUGGGUGCCUUCGGCUUACGAAGGUCCUCAAAAACAAGAUUUAACAGUAUUUCUGGAGUUUAAUGUGUGAACAGGCAUCUUCGGACUCAAGUCGGUAUCACAGCAGACCAGAAUAAUACGAAGGUUGAUACAGCGCCGAAGGUGUGAGCAGGAAAGCUUCGGCAUGAUAGCAAAAUGAAACCAACUUAAAGAUGAAAAGGCUAUCCAGACCUCGAUAGAUUACAAUAGAAUUAUUAUCAAAUGUAAAGGGCAUGAAUGUAAUUUUGCAUAGGCUGUGUCCUGUGCCUAUAAAUAGGUGGACAGUACCCCCGUACUGUUCACGCUGAUUGGACAUUCGCUUUUGCGUCACGCUUGUACUUUCAUCUCCUUCAAGUUGAAGGUACAUUUGUAAUUCAGCGUUAUUUCUGUUUCUAAAUAAUAAUAAGUAUACAAUUGUCUAUGCUAUCUUUUAUAUUCCUUAUAAUUCAUCCUUCGUCACUGUAAAGUGUAUUUAUGAAGGUGUGCCCUUCAUAACCUUCGUCCGAAAACCAUUAUAUCCUGGGGGGAAUAAUGCUUCGAAGGACGAAGGACUUUACCGAUUAAUAUUUUUUAUGUUGCCUUGUUCUUAACUCAUAGCAUUUGAGAACAAGUCCCCAACAUUGGCGCCCACCGUGGGUGAACUCACUUCCACACUCUGAGUUUUCUGAACACCUUCGGCGAUCAUAAACCUUCGUUAUGGCGCCGAAGAAAGCUUCAGCAACUGGCACUGCAGCUCUUCAACCGCUGGACCAUAAUCAGGAGACUGUCUCUCUUCGGGAGGCCCGAAGCCAGAAAAGGAAGGCUGUCAGCCCGACACCACCAGAGGACGAGAUAGAUCAAGAAAUCAGAGACAUGGAGAUGCUUCAUCAACAGGUGCAGAGGAAGAAAGAAAAGAUGGCCAGGCUAGCUGAACUGCAAAGGCAGAUAGACGAAGCCUCUGAAGAAGUUCGUCAUCUUGCUCAGGAUGAGCAGCACCGAAGGCCUCAGCACCAAGACCUUCAUCAGGAGGGUUUCCUCAACGAAGAUGACUGGUAUGAUAAUUUCCAUCAUGGGAAUUUUGUUUUCGAUGAUGCUUCUCCUCUGUCCGCUGAGCUGCAGGCUACACCUUGGCCCCCGUCCUACAAACCGCCUCAGCUUCCCGUAUUCGAUGGCCACUCAGACCCGAAGCAGUUUUUGAUGAGCUACGAAGCCACAGUGUCUUCGUAUGGUGGCAAUGCUGCAGUCAUGGCCAAAUCUUUUGUUAUGGCUGUCAGGAGUGUUGCUCAAACCUGGUAUUCCUCCCUUCGACCAGGAACGAUCACUUCAUGGCAGAAGCUGAAGGACUUGCUGUUAACUAGCUUCCAAGGGUUUCAGACGAAGCCGGUCACUGCUCAAGCUCUAUUCCAGUGCACCCAGGAUCACGAAGAAUACCUUCAGGCGUACGUCCGGAGGUUCUUGCGUUUGAGGGCACAGGCACCAACGGUGCCCAAUGAAAUUGUCAUUGAGGCCAUGAUCAAGGGGCUUCGGCCAGGACCGUCAGCUCAGUACUUCGCUAGGAAGCCCCCUCAAACUUUGGAGAAGCUGCUCCAGAAGAUGGACGAGUACAUUCGGGCCGAUAAUGAUUUUCGCCAAAGAAGGGAGGAGGCUUUCAGGUUUUCUGAAAUGACCAGGGGCUUCGGAGGAAGGUUCUAUCCGAGGCAUGUUAGAUCAAUUCACAACUCUGCCCAAAAUGAUGAUCGAGGGAGCCAACAGCAAAGGCCACAGUGUUCCUCACAGGCUUCGGGGCAACAGCAAGGCCCCUUCCGACCACCAGCCCCAAGAGGCAGAGGCGCCAGGGGCUUCGGCGGAAGAUUCGGAGAUCAACCAAGAAGAAUCUUUUGCUUGUUUUGCGGUGAGAACAAAGGCCAUACCACCAGGAUGUGCCAUGUUACCAUCCAGAAGCAAAAGGAAAUAGCCGAAGCCGCAGCACAGCAAGCUCAGCCGAAGCAGGUCAUGCACACUGCUUCGUAUCAUUCACCUUACAUCCCAGAAUAUGUGGGCAACCACCCUGCAGUUUCUGUUGCUUCGGCGAGUCAACCUCAAGCUUCCUGGCAACAGCCUCCGCCUCCACCUCCGCUGCAACAAGGCCAGCAGCCAGAAGGGAGCCAGUAUGCUCCACACCAAAGGGACUUCAGAGAGCAGUCCGAAGCUCGUACAGUCAACAGCACUGUGCCAGAGUCAAAGCACAUCUAUUGACAAAUAUCCUACCUUAAUAGCAGUCUUUCUUAUCCAGUCUUCUUUUCUGUGUAAUAAAGGACAUUGUUUAGAUUUCAUGUAAAUAGUUUCGUUGUUUGCCACAAGGAAAAUAUAUUUUCUUCACAGGCCUAAGUUGUUGAAGUUUAAAGAUUUAUGAUAACAAAGAGGACCUUCGGAUUAUCGAAAAUUCUUCGAAGCAACAAAAAGUCGUUCUAAGGAACGCAGAGUAAGUUUGCCGAAGUCACAAAAAGCCGCUCCAGAGGGAGCGCAGUGUAAGUUUUCUGCUCCAAAGUCGUUCCAAAGGGAAUGCAGAGCAUACAGCGAAAAGUCAACGCUGAUACCGCCUAAGUAAAAGGCGAAGCGCGAAAAGUCAACGUGAAUACCGCUGAAAGUAAAAGGCGAAGAAGCUCCUAAGGGAGGCUUACAGCGAAAAAUAAACGCUGAUUCCGCUGAAGUAAAAGGCGAAGAAGCUCCUAAGGGAGGCUUAUAAAAGAUUAUGUGUUUUAUUGCAGGGAUGCGUGUGCAUCUUCGGAAUAAACAUCACCUCACAUAACAUAACAUCAUCGCAUCAUUUCGCAUAGCAUAAGCAUCAUACAUCAUGUUGCACAUGGCACAAGAGGUGGACACAAUAUUAAUCUACAGAAGAACGUUUUGAAAAAAGGGAAAACGUUUUGAAAAAAGGGAAAAAUCAUAAUGUCACAAGGAGAUACAUUAUUGAUCUUCGGAGGUGUUGCUUCGGAAAAUAUCUUCACGAAGCCUGGAUAUUAUUCAUCAGAACACUGGAUAUUGUUGUGACAAAGAAAAAUUCUUCUUCACGAAGCAUGAAAAGAAGGGAAGGUGUUUUUUCGUCAAAGACUCAAAAGCGGUACGUGUAAAGUUUCAUGCAUCGUAAAGAAUUGAGCAAUAAAAACAGGUAUAUUACAUUCAGGGUUACAAAAUGUUACAAUAUAUUACAUUUCAGAAGUUUUUACAAUAAUACUUAAUCUUCUCUCAAAACGACUUCUGCAGCCUCGUUCAGGAGCCGAUUGACGACUUCGUCCAUAAUAGCUUCAGCCAUCUUUUUAAUUUCGUCGUCUCCUUUCGGCUGAGGGCCCGAAGACGCUUUAGCAGGAUCUGAAGUAGGACAGGAUACGGCUACAUUGCUAUUACAAAUUGCAAACGAAUCUUAAAACCUAAAAUUACAACACAAUAAAAACUAUUAGUUAAUACCUAAUUGACCUUCGGGCUCUGCGCUCUUCUCAGCAGCCUCAGCUACUUCUCUAGCAUCGUGAAUGCCCUUUUCGCUUUUUCGAAUAAUUUCUCGGGCCAUUUCUCGGCCACCAUUAUCCCAGAUAUCGGUGAAAAAUUUUCCACCAACCAUGCUAGCUUCGGCCGAUGGAUCCCUUGCAUCUUCGAAGGACAAAGCACCUUCGGAUUGCGCUAAAAUCUUUACAUGUUCGCAGCCCUUUUUCUCUAAAAUGGUGGCAAUUCCUCUGGCACCCGAGAAAGCACAUAUAUCUCCACGGCUAUUUAAAAUUUCCUCGAAGGCCUCAGCUUCGUGAUCGAUCCAUUCGAUGGGACCUUCGGGAUUGCCUCUUGUAAAGUUUUCUUCGCUUGAGAAUGCGCCGACCCUGGCGAAGCUAGUUUUUAACUUCUUAACACACUCUAUAGAUUUGUUAUAGCAUCUCUUCUUGGACGAACGAAGCUCUUCAACAGUUCCUUCUAAGUGAUCUGUCCAUUGGUCGCUGAGUUCCCGCUUCGUUUCUUCAAGUAUGCGUUCUUCCUUGACUCGGGCCAGUUGUUUCCGAAGAUCUUCAAUUUCGCGCUUUUGAGCCUCAGCCUGACCUUUAAAAGCAGCUUCGUCUUCCUUUAUUUUAUUUAUCAAUGAAUGUAAUAUUUUAUCUUUUUCGAGACCUUCGUUCCUCAGUUCAAUUACUUCGGAACAAAGGUUGCUCAGGGCUAUAGUACACCCUUCGUCUUCAGCAUCUUUCUGUGCCCUGAGGGCAUUGCUAAGUAUCAGGCCCUGCAGAGAGAAAUAUGUGUGUGUCAAUAGAUUUAAGUAAAUGAAAAAUUUUGGUCCCAGCAAAAAAUUACAAAGAUUCCAUUUGUUGUACCUUUAAGCUAUUAUAUGCCAGGCUGUCGGCCAAAUCAUUUUUCGAUAGCACUGAGAGCCCGUCUUCCAGUGUUGGGAAUCCGAAGCUCUUGCUCAUCUCCCGGCAGACAGAAAUCUCUUUGCUGUCAGGGAGACAAUACAAAAAGUCUUCUUCUCCACUGCCAUUGAAUAUUAAUGCCCCCUUUGGAUACUUCAGUUUUUGGGCGUAAAGUUGGGCCUCUUGUUUUUCUUUUUCUGAUAAUUGUUUCCCCGAAGCAUGGCGAACAAUAUAAUCAAGGACUUUGGGGGAUGCUUCGGGGGCAGCAGCACUGAUUUCCUCAACAAAAGUUGGCUCUGUUAUUUUUUCUUCCUCGAUUUCCAGGGAUUUUAUCUUCGUGGGUUCUGAGGACCCAGCUUCGGCUUCAGUUUCUUGCUCUGGAGCUUUAGUAUCAGAGACUUCAGUUUUUUCUUCGGGGAUGACAACAGUCUUCUUCGGAGGUGUGCUUGAAGAUUUAAUUGUCUCCAGAACAUCUAGCACAUUGACCAUUCUCUUCCUUUUCGGAGUCACUGCUGGCACCUUUUGGUUUUUUAUUGUCUCAAUAUUUGCUGCAGGACUCAAAACUUCUGAUAUCUUUGAUCCCUCAGUUACUUCUUUUACUUCUUCCAUUUUUUCUGUGGAUGGCGCUUCGGCCUUCUCUUUCGUUUCUGGUAACAAAAUCUUCGGUUCUUCCAAUUCUAUCCUUGUUGGCGCUUCGGCCGUUUCUGCGACUUCUGGCAGCAAGGUUGGCUCGGUUGGUUUUUCAGCUUCGGUGGCCGAAGAGGUUUCCCCGGUAAACUUAGGCACCGAAGCUGGUUCAAUAUAGCGCGGCCGAUGUGUGAGGACCUUUAUCCUCUUUCUUUUCGGUUCUGGCUCGCUAGGAGCAGUUGCAGCUUCUUCUUUCGCAGAGGUUGUGUUUUUUCUUUUCUGCCCUCGAAUGGGAUAACGAUAGUCAGGGUAGACGAACCCGAUUCAGCCUCUUCUUUUUUCGGCCUCCGAAGGCUGCUGACAGUGCAGUAUCUUCGGCCUUCGAAUAAGCCCCAAGCAGUUCAUCACUUAAAUUUUCAAUGCUUUUUAACCAGUCAUCAUCUGGCUCAACGAAUUUAUCUCCAAACUUAAAAGUGUACUUCAACCUGAUAAGUCCACCUUCGUCGGCCUCUUUUAUGGUUUCUUGCGGCAUUUCCCAUUUCUCCGCAAGUGGCCAUACCCUGAAGGCAAUAUGCUCUUGUACCAAAUCUCUCGUUCCAAUAAAAGAACAGAUAACGCCGAAGGCUCUCUGGCAUUCUUCGGCAGCUUCAUUCAUUUCAACCUUCGGCCUCCGAAGGCCGAAGCUUUGCCAAAUAGGACGCAUAAUUAUACCUUUGAUAUCUUCUCGCACUGACAGGUCAUUCUUCACAUAAAACCAUUCUGUCAUCCAGUCGCCGGGCCAUCUCUUCCGAAAGGUUGGCACGGGACAGCUUGACCCGGACCGAGAAACGAAACUAUAGCAGCCAAAAUUAUUGUGAUACUGUUCCUUACCCCAAGGUUUUGUUUCGUAUGAUAAUUCGUGUAUAUUGCAGAAGCUUCUUGCAUCAGGCUUCAGACCUUGGCUUCUCACGGCCCACACGAAGAUAUUCAGCCUUAUGAUUGCCUCGGGGGUAAGUUGGUGAAGAUAGACUUCGAAGAUUUUCAGCACCUCCACGACGAAGCUGCUCAAGGGAAAUCGCAGCCCAGCUUUCAAAAAGCUUCGGUACACUACGACUUCAUUCUCUUCAGGGUGUGGACAAGUCUUCUCCCCUUCGUCGGCCCUCACAACGGACAAAUCCCGGAAAUACCUUCCUCUCAUGUUGACAAGAUGAUUCUCUUUGAUAGUUGAUUUACCAUAAACUGAAUGGAUUGGUCGCCAGGGACGAUCUUUGGAGUCUUCACCACCGCUGUCCACAUCAUAACUGUCGCUGUCACCAGUAUCCUCAGACAAACCUUCUAGAAUCUCCUUGGUGAUUUUUUCUGUGUUGGUCUUCGACAUCGCUAUAAGAAACCCCAAGUUUUUCUCUUCGUCAAGACUCAGCUUCAUCUCAGCAGCAGCCUUCUUAUCUUCAGACAUCUUCGGAAACACUAAAAAACUGUUUUCAAAGCCGAAGCUUCAAAACUAAAAGCUCAGCAAAUCUUAGUGCACAAAAGCUAAAAAUUGAGUGAGCGAGAGCAGAUGGCAAGAGAGCGUGCCAAAUGAGUUUGCAGUAUGACCGUAUUUAUACGCCCAGUGCGUUGAAAAUUGAAAGACCCCGCUUGUCAGUGAAUGUUGCUAUUCUAGCAAAGGGAAGGUGUUUUUUCGGACCUUCGGCGUAAAGCCUUCGUCCAGGUCGCAAUCUAAAUUUAUUAUUUUAAACAAAUUAAUAUUGCGAGGGGCUACUGUUGGGGGCCUUCGGCUUACGAAGGUCCUCAAAAACAGGAUUUAACAGUAUUUCUGGAGUUUAAUGUGUGAACAGGCAUCUUCGGACUCAAGUCGGUAUCACAGCAGACCAGAAUAAUACGAAGGUUGAUACAGCGCCGAAGGUGUGAGCAGGAAAGCUUCGGCAUGAUAGCAAAAUGAAACCGACUUAAAGAUGAAACGGCUAUCCAGACCUCGAUAGAUUACAAUAGAAUUAUUAUCAAAUGUAAAGGGCAUGAAUGUAAUUUUGCAUAGGCUGUGUCCUGUGCCUAUAAAUAGGUGGACAGUACCCCCGUACUGUUCACGCUGAUUGGACAUUCGCUUUUGCGUCACGCUUGUACUUUCAUCUCCUUCAAGUUGAAGGUACAUUUGUAAUUCAGCGUUAUUUCUGUUUCUAAAUAAUAAUAAGUAUACAAUUGUCUAUGCUAUCUUUUAUAUUCCUUAUAAUUCAUCCUUCGUCACUGUAAAGUGUAUUUAUGAAGGUGUGCCCUUCAUAACCUUCGUCCGAAAACCAUUAUAUCCUGAGGGGAAUAAUGCUUCGAAGGACGAAGGACUUUACCGAUUAAUAUUUUUUAUGUUGCCUUGUUCUUAACUCAUAGCAUUUGAGAACAAGUCCCCAACAGGGUACAUGUUACUCAUGCUUUGCACACUUGCUCACUCUCUUUUCCCUCUUAUCUAGGGUUUUGGGAGAUAGGGUUUAAGAGAGGUCUAGGGUUCUUCUCCCCUCUUAUCCAAGGUAGUAAGUGUGCAAGGAUUAGAGUAAUGCUUCUUAGGUCAUUGGCAACUUGAUUAGCACAUGAUCUCCAAAGUUCUUAUGUGUUGCCCUAAGCCUCUACCACAUAUAAUUCACAGUCCUUAGUGCCAAGGUGUGCUCUAGCCAUGAUAACACCUGGGGUGUUACAAUAAUGUUUACUUUUUGGAUAUAUAUUGCAUAAUUUGAUGGGAUUUGCCUAAAUAAGGAUUCCCUAGAAUUAUCAACCCUAUUCCUUGAAUUACCCUGGGAUAAAUGCUAUGCUUAGCAAUUUUUGCUACUGCUCAACUUGAUGAAUAUGAAGUCACUCUUUGAUGAUACUAUGUUCUAGAAAAGUUUUAUUAUAUUGUUAACCCGAUGGUUAAACAAGAACAUUUUUGUGAUAAAUGGAACAUGGAGUGACCACCCAGGAUAACAGUGCAACCAUGAGUGCUAUCAUGGCUCUGGCUUUGGUAAUUCGAUCUAUAGACUUAGUGCAUAGCAACCCUACCUGAAAGAGGGCAAGAGGGGGCGGCAGUGGUUUGGUGGUAGCUCACGUUAACAUGGGGUGGUAGUCUUGGCUAAGUUACCUCACCUAGAGGGCCAUAAAUACUGACGUGGAAACCUUAGCGGGUGGCUUUGUACUAAGGAUAUUUUGUGAAAGUCUCAUAAUGGAUCCCUAGCCAUUCACCUUGGCAGUGUUUACGGGUCUGAUCAACCCAGGCUAGAUGGGAUACAUGGCUUGUGGGUAAAGUUGUACCACCUCUGCUGAGUGUAAAAAUGAUAUGUCAGUCGUGCUCACGGUUAAGAGCAACCUGGACCCUCACUUGAUAAUUGAACUUAAAUAUGGACGAUAAAUCGAGAUUUGAUGAUCUACCAAUGGUUUGCUUAAUUGGUUUCACUUAAGUACUUUUGAUAUAAACUUAUACCUUUGUUUAAUUGGGAUACUUGAGAUACACACUUAUUAGUAAGACAGGUGUUGCUAAUAUAAUAUUGACCAACUAAAAUGCUUACCGCUUAUCCAUAGCCUUUCUUGUUAACUUGCAUUAAUUUUCCCCCACUUGCUGAGCCUCGACCAUAAGUGAGCUCACCCUUGCUAAUAUUUUGAUCAGAGGGUGAUGCUGGAGACUUCGCUGGUGACGAUGAUGAGUUUUAAGUCUAACGAUGCGCCAGUCACCUUCCUGUGGAAGAGUGUCCAUAUUUAAUUCCGCCCUACUUUGAUGUUGAUACUUGUUAAAGAUACAAUGAUUCAGAUGAUGUAAUAAAGUAUUUUACUCUCUUUAUGCCUUUAUUGCAUUGUCUUUUGAUAUAUUACACUUGUGACGUCAACAUAUGUGUGGGAAAUGGAUCCUGGCCCACAAUGCUAAGCAUUCGGUUUUGCCCCUAGAACUGGGUGUGACGUAAGUGGUAUCAAAGCAAUGUUGACUCUAGGUUGUUAGAUUAGUUAGAAAUAGAAAACCUAGUCUAUUCAAAACAUGCUAAUUUUGUCCUUACAAAAUUAUUUCAUUAACCUUACCUCUUUAAACAUCAACUAAGUUGAGAUUUUCUCUUAUAGAUGGUCCGUACCAUUCAAACCACUCGGAUCAACACCAACUUCAUUCCUCCACCAUGACAAGUUCCUGUCUACCCAGUGGUAGUUGAGGAAAUUCCUGUGGAUCUCCCUCGCAUUCGAGUGGAGCGUGGAGUCGUCUUGGAGGGCAGUUCGGAGGAACUUCUACCUAUGCCCAACCCGUUGGCAGAAUCACUAGCCUUCGUAGCUAGAUCAUCAACCUCAGCACCUCCUGCACCAGCAGUUCAAGCCCCUGCUCCCAGCGGAAACAACUCGGACGACUCUGGGGAUGACGACGACGAAGAAGAUGACGAGGAGAACGUCAACGAAGAAACCAACGAAGAACAGAAGGACCACUACAUGGGGUUAUGGCCUGUCACUGAACAUUACAUCUCAAUGUUCGAGACAGGUCAUGAUACGACCACGCCAUUAAGCAACACGUUACAACCUCCAAGUCAUACUACAUCAACUCAAGUACAACCAACAUCAUCACCAACCCAAGUCUUUGAUGGACCAAUUACACGUAGCCGAGAUAAGAAGCUACAACAAGAGGUGCACGCGCUACUUUAUGAAUUUCAAUUAAACACUAAUGAGAACUUUAUGCUAUCUAAGUCGUGUAUGUUGAUAUUACUUAGGUUCACCAAAGAGGAAGGACAAAACAUAUCAAGGGCGAAUCAAUAAGAAGAGCUAUGUCCGAGUCAGUCCAGCGCAACAGAACCGUCCAGAAGAAACAGUCAUAUCUUUUGAUUUCUAAAAGCUAUGAAGGCCCAUAAGUACUUUUUGGAAAGCUUUUGAAGUCUAGUUUCCAAUGCUUCUAAGGCCGACUUAAUCAAAUCUACCAGAAAGGCAGCCGACCUACUUUAGUGCUGACUGGUCAGAAGGUCAACAGUCUAUUUGAUGACCAAGUUUUCGUAUUAAACUGCAUCAAUCUAUGAAGUUUCAUUAAGUAUGUUAUACAUGGUGAGAAAGCUUAUCAAGUUAGCUUUUCAACGCAUCCGGCCCCAUGUCAUUUGGAGAUUUAUAGAGACGUUAUUAUCAAAAUACUGAAGGCUGCCCAGAAGUCAAAUAGCCACACGAAAUUUAGCUCUACAGAUCUCCCGAAGAGGCUCCUCCACAUUAGCACAUGAAAAUACUUUUGUUUCGUGUUUAUACCUCUCUAAGGAUGGUUGUUACUAGUAUAAAUAGCCCCUAAGUCUAUGAUGUAUGGCACCUUUGGAUAAUCUAAAAACAGAACCCUUUUUGUUCAGUUGUGUGCUAACAAAUAUUGAGAGUGAUCUCUACCCCCUUUGCUCUUGUGAAUUCCUUCACGGGAUUGCAGAAGCGGCGACUUCAUCCGCUCCCAAGUGGUGCUCCUACUCCCUUCGAGGUCUCCUCGAUUGAUUGUAGGAUGUGUUGGUUGGUUCUUUGAGAGUGUGGUUGGGCGAAUCCUCGAUUCAGGUUGCCGGUUAAAGACAGUCGUUGGCUUCGAGUUUUAUUUGUCAGGUUGCACUAGUUAUCGUUGCUUGCAGUAAGUUAUCUUGGUUUCUUCGAAGCUAGUUAUCUAAAGAUUGAUCAUACAUCGUGAAGAUCGGGCAUCAUGACGCAUCAGGGCACUUCCCUAACCUGCUGCAAGACGUGUUGCACGUGUUGGGAACCUACGUCCGACCCCUAUAUGAGACAAGGCGAGUGUACGAGCCUCCUCGGGCUUGCUACUAUAUCACGCGCAUUCAUGUCAGGGUGAUGGAUGCAGGUGAUAGAGGGUUAAGGACUCUAUCAACACAUGAGUCUCUGACGCCGCUAACCACCUACGCUGCUUCGGUCAGCGACGCUGCUAGGUGAACGCUGUGGUCUCUCAACCACACCUACCGGCAACAGCUACACAACAUGAAGUACAGGCAUCUUCCUUUGCGUAUUCGUGGAGAGAACUAGACCAGCAUCGUUCUAGGUGGAGCUGGAAAAGAUCGCCUCAACACCCUAGCUGGUGUAGUGGCAGGUCCUAACACUGAUCUGGAUAGUGCUACCCUGCACCUCUCUAGGGUACACUUAGAGCUAGAGGAUGCACAUGCAAGGAUUGCAGCCCUGGAAGCUCAGCUUGAUGGAAGGAAUCCCCUGGAAGUUCAAGUCCCCACCAUGGCGUUAUCCCCUCCCCGCAAGAGGAUCCGCUUUGGAGAACCAGGAUCCAUCACCAAACUGCUUUAGAUUUUAAAAUUUAUAUUGUAACAAGUUAGUUUCCGCGAUAGACGAAAAACAUCUUUUAUAUUAUUACAAUAUUAAUAAUAACAACCAUGUGAUGAUGUUGUUUGAAAUGUUUGAUUUGGAUUUUUGCUUGAGUGUGAUGGUCUUAUGGAAUGAUGGCCAUAAGAGCAUAUAAAAAAUAUAUCACAAUAGACUUAACAUUAAUAAUAAGCUAUUCCCCUUAGAAUCUUCUCUACUCCUCACUUACCCCGGGAGUGCACUUUCUAACCGAACAGAUGGUGAACACUCGAUCAGGUCCCAAUAGUCACCAGCACCAGCGUGGUCAGUAGUUGCCACCACCACCACCCAAUCCCAUGAUGGAUCAGUUCAUUGCCACGCAGAUGCAACUUCUGCAAGGACUUACCGCGUCAGUACAACAGAUUCAGUAGAAUCAGCAAAACCAACAGUACCAACAACAACAGCAACACACACCAGGCUAGAGACAAGCAUCGGGACUUCACGAGUCAUCACCCGCCUGCUUUCUCUCACACAGUAGACCCUUUGGAUGCUAAUGACUGGCUUAAAGUCAUUGGAAAUAAGUUAGACAUCACCUAGUGCAAUGACCGAGAAAAGGUCUUGUACGCUUCAGUAAGACUUGAAGGAGCCGCGUCCGAUUGGCGGGAUUCCUUCACUGCGGCACACACCAAUGUUGAUGCCAUAACUUGGCAGGAGUUCCAAGUGAACUUCUGCGCUCAUCAUAUUCCCUCGGGAAUUAUGAAGCUGAAGAAGAAGGAGUUCCUUUCCCUCACUCAAGGGAACAUGUUCGUCAGUGAGUAUCGUGAUCGCUUCACCCAGCUUUCACGUUACGCCCAGAGGAAGUUGACACCGACAAGAGGUGCCAAUAACGUUUCUUGGAAGGCUUGAUUGGACCCUUGAACUACCAACUACAGAGCCACAGUUUCCCCAAUUUCCAGACUUUUCUGAACAAGGCAAUUGACCUUGAAAACAAAAGGAAAGAAUUGUCCGACCAUAAAAGGAAGUACCAAGGGCAGACCAGCAGAAACACUCGACAAAACAACUCCCAAGGUUCUCAGUUCCCCUCUGGAAAUCAGAGUGGAAACAACAACUAUCAAGCACAGCGCUUUGGACAACAAAGCCAGAGGAACAAUCAAUACCAGAACCAGCAGAGAAGCAAUACUCAGACCGACCGAAGGUCUAGUGGGCAACAACAGAAUCGUCAUGGAAGCACAGUGAACACACCAGCCAAGAAUAACAAUGCAACUAGCCCAGUUCAACUGAAUGGCUGUUUCAAGUGUGGCGAACUUGGCCACUAUGCCAACAACUGCCCCAGACGUAACCCACAAACACCCCAGAAGAACAACAACCAGAGGAAUGAUCAGAACACCCCUGCUCGUGGAUCUGCAUAGAACAAGACUCCGCAGAACUAGAGUAGAGGAAGAGUCAACCAUGUGACAGCAGAAUCAGUUCCUGAGGAUGCCGACGUGGUGUAUGGUAUGUUUCUUAUUAACUCCAUACCUGCAAUAGUUUUAUUUGAUUCUGGAGCAUCUCAUUCCUUUGUAACAAAGUCAUUCAUGGAAAAACAUAAUAUACCAAACUAUCCUUGAAGAAGAAACUAUUAAUCUGAUCACCAGGAGGUGAACUUAGAGCUACUCACUCAUGCCCUUGGACUAAGAUUGAAAUUAGAGGCCUAAGUUUUCUAAUAGAGCUGAUAAUUUUGGAAUCAAGUGGAAUCAAUGUAAUACUUGGAAUAGACUACUUGACCAAGUAUGAUGGAGUGAUAUCUUGUGCCAAGAGGAUGGUUACAUUAACCAGUCCACAAGGAGAAAGAAUUGAAGUCAAUGUCAGUAUGCCAAUAACAGUAGAGACAAUGGUAAAUCAGUUGGAAGAGAAAUCUUUGUAGCACAUUAGGAUAGUGUGCGAAUACCCAGACGUAUUUCCGGAGGAAUUACCAGGUAUGCCACCUGAUCGUGAUAUAGAGUUUUCUAUUGAACUAUUACCCGAAACCGCACCCAUUUCGAAAAGAGCUUACCGAGUGGAUGUCAAAGAUUUAAUUGAACUGAAGAAACAAUUAGAAGAAUUAUUAGAAAAAGGUUUUAUUCACCCCAGUUCAUCACCAUGGGGAGCCCCAGUUCUAUUCGUGAACAAGAAAGAUGGUUCAAGAAUAAUGUGUUUAGACUAUAGAAGUUUGAACGAAGUAACGAUCAAGAAUAACUACCCGUUACCUCGGAUUGAAGAUCUGUUUGAUCAGAUGAGAGGAGCUACAAUAUUCUCAAAGAUAGAUCUAAGAUCAGGCUAUCAUUAGUUGAAGAUUCGGACUGAAGAUAUACCUAAAACAGCUUUCACUACAAGAUAUGGACUAUAUGAGUUUUUAGUCAUGUCUUUUGGACUGACUAAUGCACCAGCUUACUUUAUAGAACAUGAUGAAUAAAGUAUUCAUGGAAUACCUUGACCAGUUUGUAGUGGUAUUCAUUGAUGACAUACUAGUAUACUCUCAGAAUGAAGAAGCACAUGAAGAUCAUCUGAGAUUGGUUCUACAGAAGCUUCGCGACAAUCAGUUAUAUGCGAAAUUUUUGAAGUGUGAUUUUUGGCUAAAGGAAGUUGCUUUCCUAGGUCAUAUUAUCACCAAUGGAGGAAUCAAAGUAGACCCCGAUAAAAUAAGUGAAAUACUAAAUUGGAAACAACCCACAGAUGUGUCCAAGAUUAGGAGUUUUCUUGGAUUAGCAGGAUACUACAGAAGAUUUAUCGAAGGCUUCUCUAAAAUAGUGAAACCUCUUACUUCACUGUUGGAGAAAGGUAAAUAGUUCAAGUGGGAUGAAGCAUGUCAGAAAUGUUUUGAGGAGUUAAAGGAAAGGCUAACCACUGCACCAGUGUUAAUUAUGCCUGAUAUUCAUAAAGGAUUCGAUGUGUAUUGCGAUGCAUCACAACUAGGACUUGGAUGUGUGUUAAUGCAAGAAGGAAAAGUGAUUGCAUAUGCUUCAAGGCAGUUACGGAAGCAUGAAAAGAAUUAUCCUACACAUGACUUGGAAUUAGCUGUCGUAGUGCACGCUUUGAAGAUUUGGAGGCACUACAUGAUUGGGAACAAGUGUAAAAUCUUCACGGAUCACAAAAGCUUGAAAUACAUCUUCACGCAGAAAGAACUCAACCUAAGACAGAGAAGAUGGAUUGAGUUAAUCAAAGACUAUGAUUUGGAAAUACAAUAUCACCUAGGAAAAGCAAAUGUAGUGGCAGAUGCUUUGAGCCAUAAAGGUCAGGUGAACAACAUCACUACUCAUUUGAUGGCACAGAAAUUGUGCUGGGAGAUGGAACAACUCAAUCUUGGAAUGCUCAAUAAUAUGGAAGCAACAGUUAUGGAAGUUGAAUCUACUUUAGAAGAAGAGAUUCGUAAAGGACAGGAGACUGAUGAGAAAAUCAAGGAAAUUAAGACACAAAUUAGUUUGGGAAAAGCCCCAGAUUUCAUAGAAGAUGAUCAAGGCACAUUAUGGUUUAAAAAGAGAAUCUGUGUACCAGAAAUCGAGCACCUACGCCAACUUAUCUUAAGAGAAGCCCAUGAUUCAGCUUAUUCUAUUCACCCUGGAAGUACUAAGUUGUACCAAGAUCUUAAGGAAAGUAUUGGUGGUAUGGUUGGAAAAGAGAUGUGGCUACUCAUGUUGCACUAUGUGACGUGUGUUAGCGAGUUAAAGCCAAACAUCAAAGACCAACAGGAUUGCUACAAACUCUCAAAGUAUCGGAAUGGAAGUGGGAAGAAAUCAGUAUGGAUUUCAUAGUUGGACUACCUCGUACUCGAGAUGGCUAUGAUUCAAUAUGGGUUAUAGUGGACAGGUUGACUAAAGUGGCACACUUUAUACCUGUGAAGACAACCUACUCAGGAGCCCAGUUAGCAGAGUUAUACAUGUCAAGAAUUGUUUGUCUGCACGGAGUACCAAAGAAGAUUGUAUCGGAUCAAGGAACCUAAUUUACCUCGCGCUUUUGGAAAAGAUUACAUUAGUUUAUGGAUACCAAACUAAACUUUAGUUCAGCUUAUUAUCUGCAAAUAGAUGGACAAACGGAAAGAACAAACCAAGUGUUGGAAGAUAUGCUGAGAGCUUGCGCUCUAAAGCAUGGUAGAAGCUGGGAUAAAAGUUUGCCUUAUGCAGAAUUCUCAUAUAACAAUAGUUACCAGGCAAGUUUAAAAAUUGCACCGUUUGAAGCACUUUAUGGACAAAAGUGUAGAACAUCGCUUUAUUGGAAUCAGACCGGAGAAAGUCAAGUAUUUGAUCCAGAAAUUCUCCAAGAAGCAGAAAAGCAAGUACAGAUUAUCAGAGAGAAUUUGAAAACAACACAGUCGAGACAGAAUAGCUAUGCUGACAAUAGAAGAAGGGAGUUGAUAUUUGAAGUAGGAGACUUCGUAUACCUUAAAGUUUCACCGAUGAGAGGCAUGAAAAGAUUUAAGGUUAAGGGUAAACUAUCUCCUCGCUACAUUGGCCCGUUCAAGAUUUUGGAAAGAAAAGGUGAAGUAGCAUACCAGUUAGAGCUACCCGAUAGUUUGUCAGAUGUGCAUGACGUAUUUCAUGUGUCACAACUUAAAAAUGCUUAAGAGUACCGGAGGAGCAAUUACCUAUGGAAGAACACAAUUUUAAGGAAGAUUUGACUUAUUCAUAGUACACUGUCAGAAUUCUGGAAACAUCUCGCAGAAUUACACUGAAUAAAGUUAUCAACAAGUGUAAAGUUCAAUGGAGUCAUCAUUCAAAAGAUGAGGCCACUUGGGAAAGAGAAGAUGAACUUAGAGCAGAAUUUCCCCAGUUAUUCUCAGAAGUUGCUUAAUCUCAAGGACGAGAUUCUUUUAAGGGGAUAGAUUUGAAACACUAUAAAAACCAUCAACUAAAAAUAAUGCAUUUAGUUUAUUAGUGGUAAUUAUGGUAAUGAAUUUUUCUUCUAAUGUUUGAUAUUUAUUUGCAUCUAGAAUAAUUUUAUUUGCUCAUUUUUUAUUUUUGGAUGUUUAGUAGAAUUCUUUUAUAUUGAAAAUCCAAUUAAAUAAUAUAGAAAUAUUGGUCCAAAAAUAAAUAUUUUAGUUAUAAAUAAUUUUGAUAUAAUUAUUAUAAUUUUUAGAAUUUUUAAAAAUAUAUUUGUUUAUAUUUUUAAAUAAGAAAAGAAAAAAAGAAAAAAAACGAAAACCGAAAACCUAGCCAAACCGGCCAUUUCGGCCCAAUAGGCCCAACCGGCCGCACCCCCAACCCCCUCCUCCCUCUCUCCCUAUGAUGCGUGGGGCCCACCCGUCAGGGCCCCCUCGUCUUCCUCCCUGGCCACGCCGCCACACCCUCGCGCGCGCCUGGCCAAGCCGCCAUGCCGCCGCGACCCAUGCCCCUCGACGUCCGCGCCGAGCGCCCUCGGUCGAGCCCGACCCCGCGUUCCCUCCUCUCCCUCGCGUGCCCGGCCGUUUCCCUCUCUCCCUCCCCACGUUCUCCUUAAUGACUGUUGGGACGAAGGCGAACACACCACCCUUCGCUCGUCGACUUUGUCCUCGCCUUGCGCAGGCGAAGGCUGGAUCCAUAGAGCCCGCCGGACAGGCCAAGGGCGCGAACCGGAUGGAGGCCUGUUCGACCCCCUUCGCUCACACAAGACAAGAUGACGACCCCGCCGAAGUCUACGGGACCUCCCACUUCCUUUCCACGGGGAGAGGCCCAUGUACGGUUCGGCCCACAGAGUUGGGGCCCACGUGGACAUGCGUGAUUUGGGUCGUGUCUAUAAUAAAGUUUACCGUAAUGACUGUCUGUAACCUCCCCUUGUGGGAAUAUUAUGGGGAUAAACCAGGUACUCAAGGGUCUAAAUGUCUUUGACAGGGACAAGAAGCCCCUCGAGUACCUAUAAAUACCCCCGUACUAUGCCCAGGCACAGGGAGAUUAACGUGGCUUUUGACAUCCCGUGUUAGCAGCACAAACUCUCUUCCCAUUCCCCCGUUGGAUCAACCUGUCUAAAAGGGUAGGUUCCAACAUUUGGCGCCCACCGUUCGUGUGACGAAAAAACAACCUGCGAUGGCCCCCAAGAGAGCAACUUCGAAGGCUACCGCAUCCAUUGACGACGCGACGAAGGCAGCACUACUGGCGGAGAAGAAAGGCAAGGCCCUCGCGGACACCACCCCCCAAGAGGCCUUCGAAGAUAACGCUGUCAAUAGCAAGAGACAGCGCCAGGACCACCCCACCCCCGAUGGCACUGUACGCACCUGCAGUUCCGAGGGCGCACCACAAGCACCACCACUAGGCUUCGCUCCGCCAGAGGGCGAAGACACCAUAGAGGAUGGAGAAGUCAUCAGCAUCUCAGCCGAAGACCAGCUAAAGCUACGAGCUCUACGCAUAAAAAACAACCAUCUGCAAAAGCAGAAAGAAAUCCUCGAAGCCAAGCGCCAACGAGUCACCAUGCAAGCCAAGGUGUGUUACAUGAUACAAGAUGAGGAGCAGAGAGCUCAGGAGCUAGAGCAAGAGAUCACGCUCAUACAAGGCGAAGGCCAAUAAAACUUGCAGCGCGGACCCCUCGCACCGCCAACGCCUCUCCAGCAAUACAUUCAAGCCGGAGACCCAUUCCAACCACAACGCGACGCCUUCAUUCCACCAGCCGCCGCUUUCCAGGGGAUCAACUAUCUCGACGAGUGAAGUCCUCUGGCUCUGCAGCUCCAAGCAUCACCCUAGCCCGUCAAUUUCAGGGCCGGCACCUACCCGAAAUACAACAGCAGCACCGACCCAGCUCAGUACAUCAUGAGCUACCAGGUCGUCGUCGCAUCAUCCGGAGGGGACGACGCCACCUUGGCCAAGUCCUUCAUCAUCGCACUCGAAGGCCUGGCCUUAACUUGGUACACCAAGUUACCGCCACUGUCCAUCGAGUCCUGGAAAGGGCUUCGCGACAAGUUCCUGCUCAACUUUUGUAAGGCCCAAAAUUUGUAUAAGAAAAAAAAAUAGUAAAUUCAGAAAUCUCGAAUUAUACUUGAGUACUGAGAAUCGAGGACUGAAUUUUGAAAACGAAGAAUUAUUUUGGAAAAAUAGAAAAGUUUUCUAUCCAACUAAAUAAUUAUGCAUAUCAUUAAAUGAUGCACCAUGAGCAUUUAUUUGCAUGAAUAUCAAAUUUUGAAGUGACUUUUAUUUCUCAUCCCACAUUCAAAAUUUUAUUUUUCUAAAAAGAAAGGAAUAAUAUGAGUGUGUUUCAUAUUUCAAACAUUUAUCAAACAAAUAAAUUAAUUAGAAUAAAUAGAUAUCUAUUUGCUUCAUAAUUGAUUUUGAGUAUGUAUUGAAUUUGAAUUUUUAAGUCAAAAAGGAAUAAUGUGUGAAUAUAUUAAUGAGAUGAGAAUUGGGAUUUAACCCAAAGAUACAAUUUAGGAAUUGGAAAAUGGAAAUAGGAAAUAAUAUAUAUAAAGCAAGAGCGAAAACACUAUGCAAAACAAAAUAAAUUUAUAAAUAAAUAAAACUUAUCCAUGCUAUGUUCAGAGGAAUUGAACAUAUAAAUGUGAAGACGAAUUUGCCAUGAACUUUGAAUUUAAAAUUGAAAAUAAAUAAGAAAAGAAAUUGAGAAGAAAAGGAAAUAAAAAGAAAAAGAAAAUAAGAAAAUAAGACGCGUCUUGGGCUGAAUUCGUCACCCCGCGGCCCACCUCCUUUUCCCUCUCCCCUCUCCUUGGCCCAGGAAUACCUCCGCCGGUGCUGACGAGUGGGCCGGUCUCACACGCACUCACUGCCACGCGGGUCCCGUCUGGCAGUCACACACGACGCGCGCGCGGAUUGCUCCAUGUUGUGGCGAUGACGGAUGGGCCUGCUAGGACAGCUCUAUUGUCUUCCCCUGUUAUCCACCUCCGUUCCGCAUGGCCAGCCUUCCAUUCCGGAAUCUGCCGCGAUCUGUUCAAUGGGAUACCCCUCGAUCCGAAACCCGCGCUGGCCUGAGUCUAUCCUCCGGUGCUAUCACUGGCACAUGGAUCGCGUGCUCAGUUUGUUCAUCCCGGCGCGAGUCGUUCUCACGGAACGCCGUACUGGGCGGAGCCGGAGCUCAACUGCCCGCGCCAAUCGCGGUUCGGUAGGUAGUAGAUUUGGAACCGAGCUCCGCCAGGAUUUAAGCGCUGGUCGGGCUUCCUGUUACCUCUCCUGCCUACCCUUGUGCAAAGCCGUCAACACCACCGCGUGUAGGGAGAGAUUUGGGGAGGAAAGAGCGCCGCUCGGCCGUUUUCGCACCCACCACCACUAGUGACCUCCGUCCGCAUCGACUCUCCUCUAGGUGUUUGGACCCGUGGCUUCAUCGUCGGGUCUGAAGUGCACGCGGGGAGUCACUGGGCUUGGGGAGCCGGCCAAACAUGGGAAAUUUCUCAUCGGAGAAGUCCUCCGCCACCGAACCUUGGGGCUGCCGCGGGGCGAUUCUCGUGCGCCGCCGCACGGGACGAAUUGGGUGGUCUAGACAAACUGCCGCAUCAUCCCGCGUGUAGGCGUAUGUUGGCCGUGCGAAGAGACCCACCCGAAGUGCCCUAAUUGCUCGUCGAUGUCGGAUGUUCCGCCGCCAUGCUACUGCUCCCGUGGGCGGCAGCGCCCGCGCUACAGCACCGGGGUAAACACCUACCAAUUAGCUCGUAAUAAUCUCCCCUGCGUAUUGAACCUUCCGGUUGGGUAAAUGGGGCUCCGGGGCACCAGGCGCGCUGCUCGCCGCCGGUAGCUCCGCCGCGGUACUCGCACGUCUCCACGGCAGGCAAACUGAGGGAAGAAGAUCGGGUCCUGGCCAUUGGAUCUUUUGCCAACGCGUUGGAUUAGAUGUGAGGGUAUCCUUUGCCUACUUUGAUGGGUGAGCGUCGAUCUGGGAUCAUGUGGCUCGGUGUGGUGGGGGUGUGGCAUAUCCUCGGCCCUUGAUCACGAAUCCAACGCAGCAUGUCGUAUACCAAUUUAGAUGUGAGAGGUUUCUAAUCCAAACCCUUGAUUCGCGAUCUGGCGGCUCAGAAAGACCCGUACCCCUUCACCAUGCCACUUUUGCGUAAGAGCCCCAGAUCUUCACAGUAAUCAACCCGCAGUCCUCUCUGGUAGGAAUCUGAGUCUAGGGAAUUUUUGUAGAUCAAUCCCUGCACUAUUCCGUAUUCGAUGCGCAGUCAAGUGACCAAGGAAAUUGAGAAAAACAUUAUGGAAAGUGAUUUAUAGUACAAAAAUAAUUGUAGGAACUUGUAUAAUUCAUAGAAAAUUCAACUAGCUCCUUUUUAAUCCAUUCUAGUUCCUAUAAUUUUGUAUUAAUAUUGUUUAAUACUUAGUGUAUCUGUUUUGUCAUGAAAAUAAUAAUAAAAUUGAUCUCCUAAUUAAUCUCAUAUCAAAUACAUACAAACUUUGGAAAUUCAUAACUUCUUCGUUUGAACUCCGAUUUGAUCCGUUCAAGUUGCGUUAGUCCCGUAUAAAUAUUUACUACGUAGUAACAACAUUUAUUAUAUCAUGUCUCAUUCUUUUCUAAUUAGAUCUUUAUUUAAUUUAUGUGGGAUAGUCUUGUUAAUCUACUUAUCAUUAUAGUCUACUAGAAGAUGAUCUAUGGUCAAUUCAUAACCUAGAUUAAAGUUGAGAUAAUUUAUUUAUAGAAUAACCUCUCAUAUGAUUUAUAUUAACCAAUUUAUAAUAUAUUUUAAUAUUUUAAUCACAUAAAUCCUCUAUAAAAUCAUAACUCCUUAACCGUAACUCCGAUUGUAGUGGUUCUUGUUCCCACGAUCUCGUAGCUUCGCGUAAAUUAUUAUUAUUCAGUUUGUACUUAUGUUUGGUGUGAUGUUAAUGUUGUAUAUACCAUGUUUGUUUGUAUUGCUACGACUAGCAGUGAGGUCACGAGGAUCUGAAGAGUCAUCCUGGUACAUGGAUUCUCAAGUGCCAAACAAGUUGUGCCCUUGAUGUAUUUGUCGGUGUUUCGGACCCGCGAGGACCCUCAACCGACUAGUGAAUUUGACGUUGCGUGUCCCUGCCCAGAUGGGUUGAUGCAAGAUGAAACACAAGAGGGAGGAUGGGGCUUAUAUUAUCUUGCACCGGGGUGCUCGUAGUAGGGGUUACAAGCAUCGCGAGAGAGAGAGGGUUCGGCCUUGAGGUGAGCCAUCAGAGUUAGGCUCCUUCACGUCCGCCCUCCUCCCUCUCUACCUGCCUGCCUCCGGGAAGGCCCUGGACAUCCCCUUUUAUAGAUACAAGGAGAUGGUCCAGCUGUACAUGGGGGUGUAGCUAUGUGCUAACAUGGCCGGUGGAGAAGUACUUGAGCCCUGUAGAAGCGCAGCUGGCGGUGCGACCUGGGUCCUGCUGACGUUUCCUUGCAUUCGUAGAGAGCUGAGAACAAUCGACGUCAUGGACGCAUGCAGGGGACCAUCAUUACCUGUUAUUGGAGUAAUUUUAUGUGACACCGGUAUUGUUCCUUCGUAGCCUAGGGUGGCUAGCUAGGAGUAGGGCAAUGAUGUAUCUCCUGUAGCGUAGUCGGUCCGAGGCCGAGGUCGGGCGAGGCGGUGACUUCUCCUGAGGCCGAGGCUGAGGUCGGGCGAGGAUGUGACUCCUCCCGAGGCCGAGGCUGAGGUCGGGCGAGACGGGGACCUUCCCCCGAGGCCGAGGCCUGGGUUCGGGCGAGGCGGAGACCUUUUCCGAGGCCGAGGCUGAGGCCGAGGCCUGGGGUCGGGCGAGGCGGAGCUCCCUGUUGUGCCCGAGGCUGAACUCGGGAGAGGUCGCGACUUACUGUUGUUUAGUCUUACCCUGGUGGUUGGCACAGUAGUCGGAACGGGGCGAACAGUGAUGUUAUCCUGUCAAAACGGUCAGUGAAAGGGCGAAGUGACUGCGGUCAUUUCGACCUUGCCAACUGAGGCACACGUGUCAGGAUGAGGUGUCAGGCGAUCCCCGCAUUAAAUGCGCAUGCGAUAUGGUUGGUGGUAGGGCGAUUCGGUCGAGGUUGCUAUACGACAAAGUUUGCCCGAGCUUAGCCUCGGGUGAGCCGGGGGUACGCCUGCUGCUUGAGGGGACCCUCGGGCGAGGCGCGAGUCCAUUCGGGACUACUGUUCCUGCCCGAGGCUGGGCUCGGGCGAGAUGAGAUCGCGUCCCUUGGUAGACGAGGCUUGAACUUUGAGCUAUGCUUGCCAGUCUUUACGGUCUGUUUUGAAGAUGAUUCCCAUCCAUGCUUAGGAGUAUUGGGGUACCCAUAAUUACGGUACCCGACAGUAGCCCCCGAGCCUCAAAGGGAGUGUAGGCACUCGCUUGGAGGUUCUGCUGGAUUUUUUGCAAGGGGACUAGCCUUUCUCGGUUAUAUUUUGUUUCGAUGGGUGCGCACGAGCGCACCCGUCGGGUGUAGCCCCCGAGGCCUCGGACGAGUGGUUUGGCUCCUUUGAGCUCUUAAUUCUUCUUGUGAUUCUUCGGUCGGCCUUGUUGUUCCCUCAUGCGGCCUGGCCGCAGCCCGGGUGCAUGGUCAGGCUCCGAGUUUUUAAGCUGGUUUGUCGACGUGGUCAACAAUUUGGCCGUAGCCUGGUGCGAGAGCAGACUCUGAGCCUCUGCACGGAGCGAGAGGACGAUCAAGGACCGUCUCGACUUUUAUUGUACGCCCCUUCGUCGCCUUUCCGCAAGGAGGAGGGGGGAACGCGCUAUGUUACCCUCGGCGGGCACUGAACAUGGUGUUUCCAGUGAGUUGCUAAUGGGUGAUUCGAGCGGAUGCCCGAGCCCCAUUCGAUAAGGGUCGGCUAGUGGCCCGAAGGCGCGCUCCAAAAGUACAUGCAGGUGAUUCGCUGGACCCGGACCCAUUUGAUAGGGUCCGAGGGCUCGGUGCCUCCCUCCGGUGGGAUUCCUUUACAAAUUGUUCCCGCUGGUCUCGGAAAUGUCCUAGGGUACCUCGGGAGCGUAGCCCGAGCCUCGGCCAUGUAACAGACGUACCAAGGGUCAUCUUUGACUCUGCAUGCUCUGGGGCGGCUGUCGAACCCUUUCGAGGGGCCAGCCUUCGAUCCCCUGAUCAGUAAAGGGCUCGGAGCCCGAGUGCUCUAGGGCGGUUGCCGAAACCCGCAGGGCGCAACCUUCGAACCCCUGAUCAGUAGGAGGGCUCAGGGCCCGUUUCCUUCGCUGAGAAGGAUCCUUUCGAAAUAUCCGCUUUCCCGAUCCCUGUGGCAAGAGAGAGAGAGAGAGAGAGAGGAAAAAAGAUAUAAAUUUAAACAAUGUGGCGUACCUUUUUUGAGGCGGUCAUCAUGAUGGAGACGAAACGACGCCCGCUUUGCCUGCCAGAGGUGUCGCGUGCCCUGCCAGGGAGUUAAUGCGACGGGACAGGCGACUCGCGGGGUAUCUGUGCGCGUGCGCGAGUCAUUCGAGGGAUGGAAAAAAUCGCUUUGCCUUCGAGUUUGAAAUUCACGAAGGGUUCGGGAAAAGUUUUGGGUGGACCUUGCUCGGGCCUUUAUAUACCCGUAAGAGGGGCCGGCGGUGGUUCUUUACCCUGUCAUUUGCUCUUGCCUUCUGCUUUUGUUUUCACAACCUAAGAGAGUAGACAGAGAAGUGAAAACCGCGCACCUCAUCCCUUCCGCCUCCACUGCUUCUGCUUGGCGAUGGCUGAUAAGGCGACCGUCCUUCCGCUGCACGACCCGUGGCCUUCUCCACCGUCACUGCGGAGGAUUUGCAGGCCCUCGUUACCGAGGGUUUGCUUCGUCCUCUCUCUAGCGGGCCGCAGCCUGAGUGGAUGGCCCCCGGGAGCGAGGCCAACCCGACUCCGCUGCUGGGGUACGUGGUCAGUUUCACCCCCUUCCAUGAGCGGGGGUUUGGGAUGCCGGCGCGCCGCUUCAUGCGGGCGCUCCCGCACUACUACGGGGUGGAGCUGCAUAACUUCAACCCCAACUCCAUCGCGCAGGCGGCUAUUUUCGUGGCGGUUUGCGAGGGGUUUCUAGGGAUUGACCCCCACUGGGACCUGUGGACCCAUCUCUUCUCCGCGGAGUUCUUCGCCGCGUCAACAGAUGUGAAGAAGGUCGGUAUGGCGGUGCGGGCUGGCGGCUGCACCCUCCAGCUGAGGUCGGGGCGGGCAGCGCAGUAUAUCCCCGCCUCCCUUGUGUCUUCGAACAAGGGGUGGCAAAACCGGUGGUUUUAUCUCCGGAACGACGACGGGAUGCUUCUGCCGUUUUCUCAACGAGUGGUGACCGUCGCUGGUGAUAACUGGCGCUGGGGGGCCCACAUGCGAAAACCAGGAGAAGCUCCAGCCCAUUCUCCAUGCCCUGCAGAAGUUACACACUGAGGGCCUUACCGCAGCGGGGGUCGUCGCAGCUAUCCACUGCCGGAGGGUGCUUCCAUUGGCAGAGCGGCAGUUGCGGCUUUUGGAGAUGAAGUCGGGGGUUGAUUUGGAGGGUUCACGGAUGUCCUCGACCUCCCUCUCCGCCGACGACCUCCUCAGACGGGUGCAGGCCGAGGGGGUACUUGACCCCUUGGCCGAGAUAAUUGGGGUGACUCCGGGAGGUCAGACCGAACCGCAUGUCCCCCAAGAGCAGGUGCCAGUGCCGGCCGUACGGGAAGUUGGUCCCCCGGCUGUCGCGAUGUCGCCUGGGCAGGCCGCCCCCUCGGUGCCUCGGGCGUUCGAGGUGGAAGCGGCGUCGAAGCCGGCCGCGGGACAACCCUCGGCAGCGCCUGUGGAGACCGGGGCCCGAGGGGCCUCCCGGCAGGCACGAUUGGCCUUGCCCCGGAGCGGGUAAGUAUCUGAGGGUACCCCUGUUUCAGUUAUUUCGCUGUGUGUCUUGAACUUGCCCUCUCUCUCUUUCAGCAAGCGGAGGCAGGGCUCGGCUGGUCUGGCCCCCUCGAAGGCCCUUAAGACGGGACCGACUUCUGCGGCCGGGGUUGCGGCGCGCCACACUGGUUGGUUGGCCUCCGCGCAAGGCACCCUCCGGCGAGGGGCCCAAGCGGCACAGGCUGCCAUGGGGCAAGCCUCCCGGGUCGCGCCCCCUGUUGGAGCGACCAUCAUACCGGGGGAGGCCGUUGACGCAGCCGCAGCCCCAAGUCCAUCUGUCUUGUUGCCGGCGCCGGCAUCGAUUCCUGCCGAGGCCGUCGCUGAUUCGCCCGCGGAGCCACCCGUCACCGCCGAUGUUGAGACGGCUGAGGCGCCUCUGCCCUUGGUCAUCCCCGAUCUCCCCAUUUUUGACCAUGAGGAGGGGGCGACCGUUGUUGCCGAGGUCGGUGAGCGGAGGCCUGUCACCUUGGCCAAGGAGAGGCCCAAGAUGUCGACUGCGGUGGUACCCGAUGCACCGACUGCAGGGGGACCCGACGCCUCAGCCGAGGGCCGCGCAGAACUGUGGCCCGUCUUGGGGAGCAGCGGCCUUAUCCCCACGCAGCUCAAUCCCAAUGAGUGGUGUGGGCAGCCGCUCCUGUUCUGGAGCCGCAACACCUCGGAGCCGCUCCUCUCCCUCAACGAUGAGUUGGAGGAGCAGUUUCAGAAUAAUUUCCGUGAAUAUACCGAGGCGGCGAUGAGGUCGCUUCGGUCGACCAUGGAAAUCCUUUCCAGGGACAUUCCUAGGGUCUUCCAGGUAAGGUUUUAGACAUACAUCUCACGUGAUCAGGGCAUUCUUCGUGAUAUCCUAUUUUCCUCUCUCAGGAGCUUGUGGACGUGAGCACCGCUAAGUCGCUGUUCAUCCGUCGCGAGAGCGACGUUUGGGAGUCGCUGCGGUCCUAGUGGGCCACGCUUACCGAGGCUAAUGAGCGCCUUGCCCAAUGGAGCGCCGAGGUGGCAGACCUUCGGCUGCUCUGUGAUGAGCUGACGUCGGAGGCAGCGGCGGUGCGGACAGAGGCGGCGUCGACACGAACGGAGGCUUUGUCGGCACGGGAGCAGGUGGCUUCCCAGGCCGAGGAGAUGCGCCAGCGGCAGUUGGAGCUUGGCCAGGUCACCGGCGAGCGGGACCAAUUCCAGAGCCAAGCUACCGAGGCCGUGAGCCAGGCCGAGGCCCUUAGGGGACAGCUGGCUGAGGGUACGGAGCGGCUAGCCGAGGCGACCGCUCGGGCCGGGACCCUGGCGGAGGGUCUGGCCGUGGCCGUUGGGUCUGCCUGGUCCACCCGAGUCGUGGCCUCACAGCAGCGUGCCUGGGCCGAAGGUAUGUUUUGCCUGCUUUGUGAUUUUGUUUUUGUCUUCAUUCUUCUCCUAUGUUUGAAGAAUAUCGUCCGGCUGUCUUCUGGGUUCGAGACGGCUCUUAACGAGUCCGUCAAGAACUGCAAGACGCUUGCCCAGGCAGCUGAGCAGAAGGAGGUCGACCGCGUGGCCAUGUCCGAGGCCAUCUCGGCCUUUUAUCGGACCUUCGGCCUCGGCGACGUCCCCUCGAGUAGCUCCCCCCAGAGUCGCCUGCGGGCCUUGGGCGGCCAUGUGCGCAGCAGACUCCGCGGGGCGCUGCACCACGGCGUUAGGCGGGCCUUCGCCGUCCUCGCUUCCCAUUAUGACGUGGAUUUGGAGCGGGUCAGCGAGGGCUACUGCUUACUUGACGAAAAGGAGACCGCCCUAUCCGAGGUCCAAAGCUUGACGCGGCUGCCGAGGGCCCAGGCGCGACGUUGGCUUCCUUCUUCGAGGUGGAGAUCCUUCCGCCUGCGUCGCCGUCCGAGGCCGGGCCAGAUUCCGCCGUGGGUGGAAACGACGCUGAGGGUGCUCCUCCUCCCCCUUCUGACACCUGAGCCUGUGGGGAACAGUUUAUUUUAAGUAUGCGUAUGUUUCUUGCGGCCACUGAGGCCUAAACCUUUUUUAGUGUUAGAGUAUAAAGUUGCGUUUCUUUCCUCUUAUUUCGAGCAUUAGGACUUGUUCGGUAGCAGAAUCACUUAUCCGAGCGUGAGUUACUUUUCGCGGAAGGUGAUGAGUGAGGUAUCCAUAUCCCGGAGGCGUAGGAGUCCCUCGGCUCGGUCGGCCUUGCCGUUCAAGGUCUCUCUAGCUCGUUUUUAGGAUUCCAUUAUCGAUAUAGUCAAAAGGCACGAAAGUCGUUUUGGUAGAAAACUUUUCCGAGGAAAAUUUUGAUGCAGAGGGGGUUCCCCCUGUCGCAGAACCUCCCAAGUUAUCGGGCCCACAUGCACCUGUCCUUGUCUCAACCACCUCAGACGGCUAUGCAUGUGCACCAAACAACUUAACAGGAUCUGUCCGAGUGCCCCGAGGACCCCGGAUAAACGACUUACCGCCAAGAUCGCAGGAUUAAGUAAACACAACUCACAUACAAACACUUGCAGCGGAAAUAAAUUCUUUAUUACAAAAUGAUUACAUGUUACAAUAAUUUUACAUUAUACAAUUAUCGGAGUGAUUACAAGAGAAAAAGAUUCAAAAGAAUUACAAAUUUGAAAUGUUAUAAAAUAUUUGUAAAUUUGAAGAUACAUGCUAGCUUAAGUGACAAUCCUCAAUAUAGAAGCUAAAGAUGGGAUAUACUUAUAUAAGAAGGCCGAGCCCACCGGCACUUAGCACCAUCCACAACAGAACAAAAUUACAACCUGAAAAACAACAGGGAAUAAACCCCUGAGUACGCAAUUACUCAGCAAGACUUACCCGACUAAAGAAAAGACUCUCAAGGGUAUGCAGGUUUAUUGGGAAUCAAGGUAAAGCUUAUCAAAUUUCAAAGACUCAUUUUGCAGAAAAGCUUACUAGUAGUGGAUCCUUAUGCCAAGCUUUUACUUCACAGAUUAAGUACUUUUCCUGAAUCUAGAUUUGCCUAAUCUAGAGCAUUCACUUGUCCUACACUAGCUUCGUUUUAGCAGCUUUAGUUUCACUUGUUAUCUACGAUGCAGGGCAGUGAUCCAGUCUUCAUAUCCGAGAAGUAACGGCGAUCCGAAUCGAUUAAUACUCAGCUGAGGAUCUCCAACCACACGACAUAUGUAGCACUUAACCCUUGCAUAUGUCAACUCGCCCACAGUUUUCUCAAGACCAGAACGGGUUCACGCGACCCGAGAGCACAGCACUCCACCGUCCAGCCGUUGGUACACGUUACUCUCGCCAUAGUGCCCGCCAUGUUUCCGAGAGUACAACACCCCACCUUCCAGUCUCUUGCCACGGAGGGUACAAGCUACUCUCGCCAUCUCUCCACUCCCAGUGCGUGCGAGCUGUUCUGGUAUUGGUCCGACCGAGGCUAAGCUUACCCAUGACGAGGCAUGUGGCCAGUUAAAGGGUCCUAGAUCAGCAAGCCUACUUUCGGUACGGUCCUUAAUCGACACAGACGGGCGACCUUUCCUGCUCAACGUCUGGUCUCAUCUUAUUAUUUAACACCCAAAUCAUGUACCUGACAGAGGUACCAUACUUGAAUGAUGAAUUCAUCACUGCAGAUGAUGCGCUCACCAUUACAAGUCUCUUUUCAUAAAACAAACCCAUAACCAGUGUCACACAUCAUUCUUUUAAAAAGAAACAAGUUUUAAUUCUCUAGGCAGGGCUAAGCCUCAUUAGUUCUUUUUGUAAAACAGGUAUCAAGGAGGAUAAUCAAAUUCCAAGGAAUGGUAAUGCAUCAAUUGUUUAUUCACACAACUCCUAUCACCUAAUGCAGCAGGUAAGUGAUAAAAGUUUUUUAAAUAGAAGGAGGUGGCAAAUGCACCGGGGCUUGCCUGGGAUAAACAUUAUGUUAGUGUUGUUAAUUGACGACCACUUGGUAAGUAUCUUCCAUUCUGGUGCUGGCUUGAUGCAUCCACAAGAUUAAUCCUCCAAUACCAUCUCAUGGUUCGCUCUGAUCCAUGUCCUUCAGCUCGCAUAAUCAUCUAGCGUACCUAUUGGAAAUGCAUAAUGCAUAUGAGCAUGGACAUGAAUAGCAUGAGAUAGAUGUUCUAUACUAAAGAGGGUAAACACUUAAAAGAAGUCAUCAUAACUCCUAUGAGCGCACUAGAUGUGAAGAUAUUACUAUGUACCACAAGCACAUCUUUUACACAUAAAUAGGCCUAACGCAAGUAUCAGGCACUCAUACACGCUUAUAAACACAAGACAAUCCAAUCAACUCAAUAAUACUAGAUAUAAAUGUCUACUAACCUUUUUCGCAUUAUUGAUUCACCAUACUCACACAAAACCUAAAUAGUCACUAAUUCAAAUUUACUCACCAAAGUAUUUACUUCAUUCCCAAUUACUAAAGUCUAAAUCAAACAGUAAGAAGGAAAUGAAUUAAUCAAGUAUAACCAGGCAUUUCGAUAAACACUUCAUAUGCAACAAGUUGGUAUCAAUCAAGGACCAAGGAUUAACUAAUCCUCCCUAGGCAAACAAAAAUGACACCAAGAAAUCAGUUUAACACAUGCAGAUUUUCUAGACAGCAGCACAGCAGUUAACUGUUUUAUUCAUAACUCACAAAAUAUGCAUCCAAAAAUAGUAAACUAGGACUUUCUGGAAAGCUUAGAAAGUCCUCCACGAUUUUGGUAUUAUCAUCACAGUGAGAUUCAACAUAUAGAAAUGUCAAACAGUACUAAACGCAAUUUCUGUCCAGAUUUGGACAGAAUUCGGCCACUCACUUUAAAAUUCCGUAACUGGAGUUUCAGCCAUCCAAAUCAGGUGAUCCUAGACUUUUUAGAAAGUUAAUAUAAUUGUCUACAAUUCAUUUAUAAUCAUCUCAAGGUGAUUCAAUGUGUAUCAAAGUCAGUUAAUUCAAACACACAUUGUUGUCCAGAUUUUUAACAGAUUCAAACAUUACAUUUCAAACAGCCAUAACUUGAUUUCUAGACCACCAAAAGGGGUGAUCCAAGACUUUUUGGAAAGCCUAUAAAACGUACUAUAACUUCUUUAUAAUUACUAAGAGCUGAUUCUCAGUUUUACUUAAUCAAACAAUCCAAUUUUCGAAACCUGUACAGAAUUUGGACAGAUUCUGAAACUGGACUUGGAAAAAUCACAACUCCUAAACUGCUAGUCCUAUGGUCAUGAAAUUUUAGCACAAGCAAGAUAAAGGAGUUAUCUAUAACUUUUCUAUAUAACAUUUUCACAGAAAAGAUGAUUUACUUUGCUAAACUAGCUUUAUAAUUAAAAUCGUACCUACAGCCCUAAACAGCAGGAAUUCUAGUUUAGUUCCUAUUUAAGUUAACCACACCUUACCAACUCUUUUAUCAAAGCAUCCAUUGCCUAAUUUGCAUCAUAAACCAAUCUUUAGAUCAAACAAUACUUUGGCUUCAUAAUACUAAUGCACCUAUUUCAUAACAUGAAACUAUACAAUACACCAUAUGCACAUGAUUCAUCCAUUGCACUAUUAAGAAUCCACCACAACCUUGCAUAUAUUUCUACCAUGACAUAUUGCAUAAUUUGCAUUUAAGAACUAAACUGUAACGCAUGACUCGACUACUUCAAAAUCCUGAAUCCAUUCAUUUCAUAUAAUUUGCAAUUCAAACUUAAAGUCAUAUCGCAACGAAGAACCGCUUUCAUGACACUAUGCACAUUUCAUUUAGCACAAAUAUCGACUCCCUACAAAUCAACCAUUUAUUCGAUUAACGGAAACAACGGGUCGACUUACCACGACUAAACUCAAAGCGGCGUCCACAAACACGGCGAUGGCUUUGGGUUCAGUCUUUCUAUCAGACACCUGUCAAGCCCCACCCGGAUCUCGCUUGCUUUCACCCAACAUCCGGGAUUCGCUCCACACAACCACACAUAAAUAUACACAUGAUUAAUUUCUUAUAAGCGACGCCGAGAAACAAAACACCCAAGUAAGAACAUAACCUCAUGGUCGUGCAAAAACUUGCGGUGUCACGGAUGAAGAACGAGGAUGAACUCUGGUCAAUCCUCCCGUCGAACACAUGGCGUGCGUCGUGGACAUUGGACUGCUCCGGCGUGCUGCUGCUCGCAUAGAGACAAGGAGGGAUGCUGCUGGGGAAGAAAUAGAAGCAGUGAAGGCGAAGUCGCCAUGGGGAGAGGAGUAGAGACGACAGCCUUCGGAGUUCGGACAUGGGGCGAGCUUGGCAUGGGAUCUGCCACCAUGGGGAAGAGACCUGGGCGCCCAUGGAGAGGAGCGUGACUAGCAAAGAACCAAGAGGGAGAGGGCUAGGGCAAACUCGACUGGGACACCAUGGGAGGAACAGGAGCAGGGAGUACGGGCGACCGGUGCCUAGAGGUUGAGGACCGACGCCAUGGGAAACUGGAGCACGCCACAAACAGAGAGGGGCUAGGCGAGCUGGGACUGGACGCCAUGGCUGCUUGCCGCUGCUGGCAUGGGGAGAAACCAGGGAGCAGAGAGGGGCAGCCAUGAGGGGGCUGGGAACCUGGCUCGGGGCUUUGACGCCAUGGGAGGGGUAGGGAGAGGAGUGCCCAAGUGGUGGCUGCCGCAGGGAUGAACGCCAGGGAAGAGGAUGGCGUGAGGGAGUUCGGUUGGAGCUUGAGGAAGAGAUGAGGAUGAAGGAGAAAUGACGUGUGUAGCUUCUAGGAAAUAAUGGGCAGCGUGGAUAAGAAGGAGAGGAGCUUGAGCGGUGGAGAAGAUAAGAGAAAAAUUCAGAUUUUUUCCUUCUCCAAUCUUUAACCAAAAGAAUACCCAAAUAAGUGAAAAAAUCUGGGAUUUGAAUCCGGGCGAGAUGCAAACAGACCCAUCAAAACAAUAUAAAUUUUAAUAUUUUUGGACUACGCUAACACUGUUAGGUAUUUUCGGGAUCAGGCAAAUUUUCACAGUUGUAGACAGUGGAACAGAUUAAUUACGAGUACUCAUUUCGGUUCUAGUUAUCUCGGUCCGAUUUAAUUUUUGCAGCACUUCUAUCGUGAAGUUCUAGUAAUAUUUACUUGGGCAAAAAUACAAGAGUGGAUCGGGAUUCCAAAUUCAUGUUCUCUUAAUCCAUAAAUUCUAAACAAACACCAGGCUCGACAUUUCGCGAAAUAAAUACGCGAGAUCGAUCCGGCAUCGAAAUUGUGAUCCCUUCGGAAGCGAAGUCACACAUCGUUCACGUGGGCGAGAGGCUGUGCGCUGUCUAGACACCGCUUAACACCAGCCACGCGCCACGAUGCCAGGCCACAGAGAGACACGGGCAACAUAAGCGUGAAAGGAUUUCAAAUGAAGUUUAAGAAACCAGAUCCGAUUUCCAGAAUUAAAGUUUGGGCAAGACGUUGAUGGCUUAACCCAAACGAUACUGGAGUCGAUGUUCCGAAAUUACUAAAGUCUGAAUUUUGCAAAAUAAAUUAGGACAAUUUAGACAGAUGGAGACAGACACGAUAUCAAAAUCGUGAUAGACGAGGAUGAUUAAAAUUUAGUGACCUUUACAUUCACAGCUAUCACGUGUUAACGUCCGCACUCGUGGUCGAGUAGAUGAUAAACACCUGGGGUGUUACAACCUUCCCCCUUAAAAGAAUCUCGUCCCGAGAUUCAGAACGAAAGACUUCUAAGAGUAGAGAGGCAUAUAACCCUGUCCAUAAUAGUGACAGCAUAAGCUAAUUCCAAGCAAAGACGAGCAUCUCAAAAUGUUGCUUCUCUAGUGGGUAUAGCACAUACCAUUUUAGUUCAACUAGAGACGUCAAUAAACAAGCUAUAACUGACAAAAGAACACAUAAGGUUCCAUGUGUGCAGUUUACUUUUUCUGAUGACACGGUACUAUCUGAGUCUAUUGAAAACGGUGGACAAAUGGAUAGCAAUUCCUAGCACAUGAGACGAGUGUGGAUGUCAAACAACAUCACAAUUAACUCGUGGUUAGCCAGGGAAUCCAAGUCCAAGAAAAAUGAUAGAGAUUCAAGGAAUGUAGGGAUCUGUAGAUGUUGACCUUGUGUCCAAUCCAUUUUAUCAAGCACUAAGCAUGGCUCGGCUUGAUCACACAUGUUAGAAAAUCACAUGUGAGGCGAUUGAGACACAACUAGAACUGUGGUCGGGCUAUUACCAGUUAGCUGAGGAUGGCAAAAUACCUCGGACAACAAUGUCGAGUUAAGAUGCAUAUGCUCAUAAUCUAAUCCAAUAUGGCCCAAGACCUGCGCAUAUGUUCAUAACCUUCACUUGGUCUUCAUAAAGGUUUCUUCAGGAUAGGCUGAACUAAAGUGAGUUUAGACAACUCGAUAAAACGAUCUCUAAACUCAACCUUUGUUCAUUGGGCAGUUACAAGUUAGUAAAACCAACUUGUUGAACUACUUUUGACAUUGAGCAAGUCCUCUUAUUACCCGUCGGCAAACCAGAGGUUGGGAGUUUACAUUUACGAGUACGAGGGCAUGCAUUUGGAUAAGGAUUCAGUUGAUCAGAUUAUUUAUUCAUCUCCUCCACACGAGACAAAAUAACAUGUGUAUUAGAUGUAUGAAUCCAAUAAGGAGGCGAAUGAACAAACUCCUGCAUUUAGCAGCAAGGGAAGUCAAUCUCCAUUUUGAGAACUAAUCAGUUGUCACCCAACACUAAAAAGCUUCAAGGCUUCACCUUUGUAGAAAGGGUAGCGGAGGGAAGCUGUAUAUGGGUAGUCACCACCAAAAUCAAGAAAAAUGAGACUACACCGAUAAGAAUGGUUACAGGUAGAAAGCCAAAUAGGUCCUGGCCCGAUGAAAGGAACACGAGAUUGCCAAAACCUAAAAUGGUUGAUGAGGGAGUACGAUGGAAGACUAUUAUUUCAGCCCCAAGCAUAUUUCUAUGCCCAUCGCAGAAAUUUCAAGGUCAAGGAUGAGCAUCUAAUUAGAUACAGAGAGGUAAUGAUCAUAAAAUUAAACUGAUAAGUCUUCGAGAGAUAUGAGGAAACCAAAGGCAUUGAACUCAAGGAAAUGAUCGGACAUGUCUUUCCUGGGUUAGGUUGAUAAAAUAACGACAUGGUCCCCAAGAAGAUACAGAGUGGAAUAGAAACAUCAGCUUGCACCAAGCGAGUAAAGGCAUGAUUUUGGAUGAAAAAAAUGACUACAAAAGAGUCACGUUUUAAACAACGAGAACACGUACUCGAGAUCCUUGUUUUAAGCUCAGGUGCAUUUAUUUUCUACGAUAAGAUUACCUAAACACCAAUUUAGAUAAACUUGGUCCUAAAGUAACGAUGGAAAUUUAAACUCGUCCACUUUUGGAAACUGGGGAAAAACUUUGGGAAAUUAACAUCGAUUUGGGUCAUGGCUCCUAGAUGAGGACAUGGCCAAAUUUUAGGUUUAUGCAAACAAGUCACCAAUAUUCUAUCGGCACACAGGCACAAAAAUAAACAUAAGUUGCACUAUCAGUCAAACUAAGAAGAACCACAGACCACAUAAACACAUGUCUAAAGGACACAUCAAACAAAGCUAGAAAUUGCUUAUAGAACAGUAAUACUUCAUACAGUUUCCAAUUAUUUAUUAUCGGGAUAAAGAUGAGAAAAGCAUGUUCGUUCACAAUCACCUAUUAUUAGAAUAAAGGUGAGGAAAGUAUUUCUGUGCGCAAACAACAAACACAAUGCAACAAUCGGGAUGCAUGCUCGUCCUAUUCGUCCUCACGAAUUUCGCCAACAUAAUAUGGCAAUAGCGUUCUAUAUCGGUGGCAUACUUACGACUCUCACGGUAUUUUGCUAGUCGUCAGCUAAACAUACGAGUUCGAAGUUAGUGUACCUGCAGAAAAUUUCAUCACAGCCCAUUUCCUAAUGAUGCAAUUCACACAUGACAGUUUAUCAUAGUUUAUACUCCAUAUAUUUCUAUAUGGAGGCCAGCUCCUCAUUAAGCGCCGAGCCACGCAUAGGCGCCGCUGCCACACUUUAACCAUAGGGCAGCUCAUUAUGGUAACUCACCUUCUUACCUGAGCGUAGGUGCGUCGUUGCAAAUACAUUACACUUCUCAGUAUUCCCAUGUCUGUAUACCCAUACACAUCCAUGGGGUACUGAAUCCCGAAAAAGUAAUUACUCCACAUCGCAGCCUUCAUAUAUACAUAUGUGUAACAUGUAUAUAAUCAAGCGCCACAAUUAAGCACUCCCCUAGACCGACGUUUGUCCGGUCACGCUCUCACAUCUCACCUUACCUGAGCGUCGAUCCAUUCAAGACUGAAUGGCCUCAAAAACAACAUUACACAUGUAUGCAUCACCCUUCCCAGGUUGUGGGUUAGUAUUCUGAACUAAGCCACCUAGUAGUCCUUAACUUAGGGCUUAUAGAGGAUGUCGCUAGCAUUAUAGUUUUUCAAAUAUGUUUUUCAAAACCAAACAAUGUGUUUAGUUGAAAAUAGAUUUUCCAAAACCAAAAUUUUGUUUUGAAAAUACGUAUGUGACCGUAUCAUACUUAAUCAAGCUCCGAUACCAGCUGUCGCAGAACCUCCCAAGUUAUCGGGCCCACAUGCACCUGUCCUUGUCUCAACGACCUCAGACGGCUAUGCAUGUGCACCAAACAACUUAACAGGAUCUGUCCGAGUGCCCCGAGGACCCCGGAUAAACGACUUACCGCCAAGAUCGCAGGAUUAAGUAAACACAACUCACAUACAAACACUUGCAGCGGAAAUAAAUUCUUUAUUACAAAAUGAUUACAUGUUACAAUAAUUUUACAUUAUACAAUUAUCGGAGUGAUUACAAGAGAAAAUGAUUCAAAAGAAUUACAAAUUUGAAAUGUUAUAAAAUAUUUGUAAAUUUGAAGAUACAUGCUAGCUUAAGUGACAAUCCUCAAUACUUAUAUAAGAAGGCCGAGCCCACCGGCACUUAGCACCAUCCACAACAGAACAAAAUUACAACCUGAAAAACAACAGGGAAUAAAACCCUGAGUACGCAAUUACUCAGCAAGACUUACCCGACUAAAGAAAAGACUCUCAAGGGUAUGCAGGUUUAUUGGGAAUCAAGGUAAAGCUUAUCAAAUUUCAAAGACUCAUUUUGCAGAAAAGCUUACUAGUAGUGGAUCCUUAUGCCAAACUUUUACUUCACAGAUUAAGUACUUUUCCUGAAUCUAGAUUUGCCUAAUCUAGAGCAUUCACUUGUCCUACACUAGCUUCGUUUUAGCAGCUUUAGUUUCACUUGUUAUCUACGAUGCAGGGCAGUGAUCCAGUCUUCAUAUCCGAGAAGUAACGGCGAUCCGAAUCGAUUAAUACUCAGCUGAGGAUCUCCAACCACACGACAUAUGUAGCACUUAACCCUUGCAUAUGUCAACUCGCCCACGGUUUUCUCAAGACCAGAACGGGUUCACGCGACCCGAGAGCACAACACUCCACCGUCCAGCCGUUGGCCUGGUUGGUACACGUUACUCUCGCCAUGGUGCCCGCCAUGUUUCCGAGAGUACAGCACCCCACCUUCCAGUCUCUUGCCACGGAGGGUACAAGCUACUCUCGCCAUCUCUCCACUCCCAGUGCGUGCGAGCUGUUCUGGUAUUGGUCCGACCGAGGCUAAGCUUACCCAUGACAAGGCAUGUGGCCAAUUAAAGGGUCCUAGAUCAGCAAGCCUACUUUCGGUACGGUCCUUAAUCGACACAGACGGGCGACCUUUCCUGCUCAACGUCUGGUCUCAUCUUAUUAUUUAACACCCAAAUCAUGUACCUGACAGAGGUACCAUACUUGAAUGAUGAAUUCAUCACUGCAGAUGAUGCGCUCACCAUUACAAGUCUCUUUUCAUAAAACAAACCCAUAACCAGUGUCACACAUCAUUCUUUUAAAAAGAAACAAGUUUUAAUUCUCUAGGCAGGGCUAAGCCUCAUUAGUU